UUCCAUAUUGACAAAAACUCCACAUUCAACUAUUUAGUUCACACUCAUUUAAUGACACGACAAGUUUAAAUGUUAUUAUGCAUGGCAAGAGGUGAGGCGUAAUUAAACUAUUUAUCUAGGCUUUUUAAAUGAGGCCGGAAACAACUUAUAGUAUUUCUGAAACGACCCAUAUGUUAAUUUUGAAAUUGGCCAGAUAUGAAUUAACAUAUUAUAAUAAUUAAUAGGAACAAAAUGACACCNUAAAAAAAAAGUGAUACUAACGUACUAGAAGAAUACAAUAAUACUUACUAAAGUAAAAAGAACGUACGGUUACGUACAAUAAGAACAAUACUACUUACUAGUAGNNNNNNNNNNNNNNNNNNNNNNNNNNNNNNNNNNNNNNNNNNNNNNNNNNNNNNNNNNNNNNNNNNNNNNNNNNNNNNNNNNNNNNNNNNNNNNNNNNNNAUGUUGUUCGUCUUGUACUCUCCGUACGGAACUUUAGGGGUCGACUCUUUGUAAGUUACUUUGUUGUUGGAUUGUAACAUGAUGAAUACUGAAAUUAGUGUCAUGCAUAUCUUNUAAUCAAGCCCACUGGGUACGUUGUGGUGACAUUGGAGUAUCUAGGUGACAUUUGGUUUUUGGUAUGAUGUGUAUCUUAAGGUGUUAUUUUAGUUACGAACUCUAGGGCUGUUCGUGACACUUAUAGGGAUAGCUCAUAGAUUGAUCAGAAAAGAUAACUUUGAGGUUGUUUCGUACCCUACAAUAAUUUCUUCGUUCGUUCUCUGCUAUUUGUGACGUCGGAGUUUAGUGAACUCUUUGUUCGCACGUGAGGGAUUUAUAUAUGAUCCAACUAUGUUAGUAUUGUUGGGAGAACUUGCACCAUUGAAAGUAUGGACCCUAGGCCUUGUUUGCAAGCAUUUAUACAACGUUUUUUCUCAUUGUUUACUAUUUUUUUACCUUGUUGUUUUAUAUUUUUCAUAUUACAAAAACCUAUAUCUACCAUCCGUAUUACACUUGUAUCACCAUCUCUUCGUCGAACUAGCGCACCUAUACAAUUUACCAUUGUAUUGGGUGUGUUGGGGACACAAGAUACUCUUUGUUAUUUGAUUGCGAGGGUUGCUUGAUAGAGACCAUUCUUCAUCCUACCGCCUCCGGAACAGGUAUUGUAACUAAAACCCUUAGGUCCUAUCCCGUAACGUUGGAACGGGUAAAACUUUUACGGUCGGUAGGGUUNNNNNNNNNNNNNNNNNNNNNNNNNNNNNNNNNNNNNNNNNNNNNNNNNNNNNNNNNNNNNNNNNNNNNNNNNNNNNNNNNNNNNNNNNNNNNNNNNNNNCGACACGACGGAACGACGAAGGACUUCGUAAUAGGUCGGAAAAACGGUAAGGUUUUUGGUUGGGGUUGACCGUUGGGGUUUCUUGGGAGUAUUUGUAGGAGUUUAUAAAAAUACAAGAGGGGCGAUGAGGAGACCAUGACCAUAAUGAUGCUUUGCUCUAUACCUUCGUACGAUUUUUGGUGACUUGUUGCCAAAAGGGGGAGAAUUUGUAUAGAUCAUAGGGAUUCGAGAGAGAGUCUUGAUUUUUGGUUGUUCUUCUCAUUUUUAAAACAUUUGGCCUAUAUUUUGUUCGUCUAGAAGUUUGUGGUGUUUGAUCAUAUGCUUUGUGAUUGAUGUUACUAUUUCAUAUCCUUUUGAUAUUCAUAUUAUGAUCAUUCACUCAUGUUUGGUGUUAUGUGCAUUGUAAUCCAUUCAUAUCAUUUAUGUGCACCACCAAGAUGUAUGUGACAUGGAAGAGUCUCCCAUGAUCCUAAUCGAUUGUGCUAUUUGCUAUUMMAAAUGAACUAAAAAUUUUAAAAUAAGUGACUAACUAAAAGUUUARGGRAAGUACGUMCUUACUUUAACUUAUACCAACUAUUACUUCGUACAAAGUGAACUAAUUGUUAUAUGUAGUCGUGGUGUNNNNNNNNNNNNNNNNNNNNNNNNNNNNNNNNNNNNNNNNNNNNNNNNNNNNNNNNNNNNNNNNNNNNNNNNNNNNNNNNNNNNNNNNNNNNNNNNNNNNUCCUUCGUGGGUUCGUAACAAUUCCACUAUUACCACUUCCUAUCUUUAGUAGAUUGCUACGAUGAUUCCUUGUACUUGGGAGUUAUCAGUCCUUGCCCUCCMMUGGCUCCCGUACGGGAGAGAGCCCUCCGAGAUUGGAUCUCUCUAUCUAUCUAUCUAUCUAUCUAUCUAUCUAUCUAUGUUUAUCUCUGUUUUUAAUGCUGCUUGUGGCCAUUCACCAUUUCUUAAAAUUAUCUUUCUUGCGGCAAAAGAAUGACCCCAACCAACUUAAGUGAUGGUCAAAAGGUAUCAGGGCUCAACCACCCCCCUGGUCACACCCUGUUAGCUUCUCUGUCCCUCGGGCACCAUAUUGUGUUAAUUCUUCCUCCCAAAAUUCACAUAUAUUACAAAAAAAUCUCCAUAAAUUUUUAUCGCAUUUGGACUUUGUUUGAUAUGGACUUUCUGACAAAACAAAAACAGAACAAAAAUAGGAACUCACACUCGGCACUAGAUAAGUAAGUUAGUACCCAAAAAUAAUAUAAAAUGUUGACCAAAAGUAUAUGAAAUAUGUAGAAUAUUGGCAUGAAUACUUCAACAAAUUAUCGAUACAUUGGAGACGUUUCAGCACUCCCCAAGCUUAACUGCUACUCGUACUCGACUUAGGUAAUGAAUAAAAGAAAUUACUUUAUGAAGUCUGAAUGCUAGCAUAGUCGUGGUGUNNNNNNNNNNNNNNNNNNNNNNNNNNNNNNNNNNNNNNNNNNNNNNNNNNNNNNNNNNNNNNNNNNNNNNNNNNNNNNNNNNNNNNNNNNNNNNNNNNNNCCCUAUCCCCUGUGUGCCUUGACUCAAAGUAUGUUGAGAGGUACAGAGAGUGAUCCAUGAUUGAAUCACUAGCAGCGGUCGAAAUUUAUCCUUAGUAACUAAUGGACUAAGGAAUUUUUCUCGAUUGUGGAGGUGGUUAAAGAGUUUGUCGUAAAGGGUUACGUCAAUGCAAGCUUUGACACUAAUCCGGAUAACUAUGAGUAGUGAAACGGAUUCGUAUAGUAGAGUAGAUAUUUGGAGCAUUUCCGAAUAGCACGUAGUAGCAGCAUCUAUAAGAUGACAUAAAGAUUUGUAAAGAACGCACGAAUCUGAAAGUUUCAGAACCGUUGACUAAAACCUCUCUCACGAGCAAGACGUGAUCAGACCCCAUAACUAUAUGGGUGUUGGAUGCGUUGGAAUCACAUGGUGAUGUGAACUAGAUUAUUGACUCUAGUGCAAGUGGGAGACUGUUGGAAAUAUGCCCUAGAGGCAAUAAUAAAUUAGUUAUUAUUAUAUUUCUUAGUUCAUGAUAAUCGUUUAUUAUCCAUGCUAUAAUUGUAUUGAUUGGAAACACAAUACUUGUGUGGAUACAUAGACAAAACACUGUCCCUAGUAAGCCUCUAGUUGACUAGCUCAUUGAUCAAAGAUGGUCAAGGUUUCCUGGCCAUAGGCAAGUGUUGUCACUUGAUAACGGGAUCACAUCAUUAGGAGAAUCAUGUGAUGGACUAGACCCAAACUAAUAGACGUAGCAUGUUGAUCGUGUCUAUUUUGUUGCUACUUGUUUUCUGCGUUGUCAAGUUAUUUACUUCCUAUGACCAUGACGAUCAUAACUAACUCGACGUGGGCCGGACCGGGAAGGUAACUUACGUUUGGUCGGNNNNNNNNNNNNNNNNNNNNNNNNNNNNNNNNNNNNNNNNNNNNNNNNNNNNNNNNNNNNNNNNNNNNNNNNNNNNNNNNNNNNNNNNNNNNNNNNNNNNUACAUACAAACAACUAAAUUUAGUUUUUUUUGKUUCUAACUAGAAAAUUAAAACUUUAAAUAACAGAGAACUAAUAUAUAAAUUUAACCAAGAUAAAAUAAAGUACUUUUCACAAAACUAUUUCAAAGUAUUUCCAAACGGGAGUUGAAACACUAGAGAAAUCAAUUGCAAGUUAUUAGGGAACUAGAAUUGAUUUUCUUGAUAACAAAUAAAAAUAAAAAUAAAAACUUGUUGCAAAUCUACUGUUAACUAACAGAAACAAAACAUAAUAUUUUUGAAACAAAAAUAAAAUACUUUAAAAACAACUAAAGAGAGAGCUAUAGUCAAAAUCCUAAAAAGAAGUGAAACAGAAACUGUUUCACAUGAAAAAAUGAGUUAAAAUGCCCAAACAAUUUUGAAAUUUUUACCACUGAUAAAUAAGAUCACUAGUGAUCACUAAGAAAAAAUAAUUAAUUAAAAAUCUAUUUUAAACUCCUAGAWWAGCAAAACAAGGUUUAAAUUAAAUCUGAUCUAAUUCAAAUUUGAAANNNNNNNNNNNNNNNNNNNNNNNNNNNNNNNNNNNNNNNNNNNNNNNNNNNNNNNNNNNNNNNNNNNNNNNNNNNNNNNNNNNNNNNNNNNNNNNNNNNNCCGACAUCCUCGUCGGCCAUAGGAGCAUUCCCUCUUGGUACAACGUCUGUGCAUCCAGUCCAGUCAUGUACCACUGUCCGUGUGCAUGACAGGUCNCAACAUCAUGAACACAUGACCGCACACCUGUCCGCAAACAUCCGUGUAACCGCGAGAACCUGGCUCUGAUACCAAACUUGUAACGCCCCAAACACACCCGCCGACGGUUGUUACUCAUGGCGGGAUCUAGACUGGCCCCACAUAUCAAUACUAGUCUUUUCUACGCACUUUGUCCUCACUCAUGCGCACCCGGGAUGAACUUCUCGGUCGGUCACCCAUCCUAGAACUACUCCAAGCUGAGCACACUUAACCUGAGAGUUCUGUCCGAAUGGGCUCCUCGAAAAGAAGGAAUUCCUUAUUGAUAUGAGUAGUCUAUCAUCCCUAAUAAGCCAGGCUAUCACGGGCGACCUUGCGUACCAGCUCGAGCUUCCGUCAACAUUUUGCAAAUGUCCAUGAUGAGUUCCAUGUUUCUCAGCUUCGGAGGUGUUUCAAGACCCCCAAGCGCACUGUGCAUCUUCAAGAUAUCGACCUUCAGCCUAACCUUUCUUAUCGUGAGCAUCCAGUUGCGGUUCUCGAGGCGACUGAGCGCAACGACCCGUAACAANNNNNNNNNNNNNNNNNNNNNNNNNNNNNNNNNNNNNNNNNNNNNNNNNNNNNNNNNNNNNNNNNNNNNNNNNNNNNNNNNNNNNNNNNNNNNNNNNNNNAUCUUACUUGGUAGUCUAAUUUUAAUUGGUCACAUAAUAUGUGUUUGUCAUAGAGUCGUAAUUUUAUUUUGUUAUUAUUUGCUUGUUGUUACUUAUAAUCUUGUUUGGAAUGUUAAAAAGUUCCAGGUAUUUCCUUUAGAAUGCUUGAAUUGCCUGUGUGAGGUGAGCUAUAUAAAAACAGAAACUUUUGUUGUAGUAUUUUAAUUAUAAGAUUUUACUAGAACGUGCAUAGUUUUUGAAAGUUUUAUACAGUAUUGGCAUACCAAGUCGUUAGCUUUUCCUAAAGUUUUAGAAUUUUUGGACAUACAAAACUACAACGUUUAAAUGAAUUGCUACAGACUAUUCUGUUUGGAUAUAUUGUUGUCAUAGUUUUGUUAUCUACUUAUCCUAGAGCUUUCAUGGCUUAUAUUGGUUGAUAUAAAUUGUGGAAAUGAUAGUAUAUAGUACCUAACAUUUCAAAAUGGUUAUGCAACUUGUCUUGGUAGUACAUGAGGUAUAGAUUUAUUCUUAUGCAUACUAACCUAUCUCAAGAGUUCUUUUAAAGUUUUGUGUGGAUGAAGUUUUUGAGACUUAGGUGAAACCGGGAUAUGAGAGAUUUGAACGGGAUACAAGAGCUCAAGCUUGGGGAUGCCCAAGGCACACAGGGGAUAGGNNNNNNNNNNNNNNNNNNNNNNNNNNNNNNNNNNNNNNNNNNNNNNNNNNNNNNNNNNNNNNNNNNNNNNNNNNNNNNNNNNNNNNNNNNNNNNNNNNNNACACAAGUAUUGUGUUUCCAACUCAAUACAAUUAUAGCAUGGAUAAUAACGAWUWAUCAUGAACUAAGAAAUAUAAUAAUAACUAAUUUAUUAUUGCCUCUAGGGCAUAUUUCCAACAGUCUCCCACUUGCACUAGAGUCAAUAAUCUAGUUCACAUCACCAUGUGAUUCCAACGCAUCCAACACCCAUAUAGUUAUGGGGUCUGAUCACGUCUUGCUCGUGAGAGAGGUUUUAGUCAACGGUUCUGAAACUUUCAGAUUCGUGCGUUCUUUACAAAUCUUUAUGUCAUCUUAUAGAUGCUGCUACUACGUGCUAUUCGGAAAUGCUCCAAAUAUCUACUCUACUAUACGAAUCCGUUUCACUACUCAUAGUUAUCCGGAUUAGUGUCAAAGCUUGCAUUGACGUAACCCUUUACGACAAACUCUUUAACCACCUCCACAAUCGAGAAAAAUUCCUUAGUCCAUUAGUUACUAAGGAUAAAUUUCGACCGCUGCUAGUGAUUCAAUCAUGGAUCACUCUCUGUACCUCUCAACAUACUUUGAGUCAAGGCACACAGGGGAUAGGNNNNNNNNNNNNNNNNNNNNNNNNNNNNNNNNNNNNNNNNNNNNNNNNNNNNNNNNNNNNNNNNNNNNNNNNNNNNNNNNNNNNNNNNNNNNNNNNNNNNCUAUAGUCAAAAUCCUAAAAAGAAGUGAAACAGAAACUGUUUCACAUGCAAAAAUGAGUUAAAAUGCUCAAACAUUUUUGAAAUUUUUACCACUGAUAAAUAAGAUCACUAGUGAUCAGUAGCAAAAAUAAUUAAUUAAAAAUCUAUAUUUAAACUCCCAGAAUAAGGAAAACAAGGUAUAAACUAAAUUCAAAUUUGAAACUUUCAAACAUAGGAAAAUAAUAUGUUUUUGAAAACUACAGGAAAAUUGUGAUCUACUGGAAAAAGAAUCAACCCCAUUGGAGUUGUAGAUCAAAAGUUAUGAGCAAAAGAAAAUUUGAUCUGCCUCUGUUUUUUGAAUUAACACUGAAAACUGAAUAGCUAAUUAGUGAGCGGGGGUCCACGUGGCGUGUUGUGAUUGGCUCUGGGAUGUGUGUUGUAUAGGCAAAACAGCGGAUGGCUGCUAUAUAAGAAACCGCUUCGGCUAAACUUACUAAUAAAAAUAAUCGCUGGUUCUUUUAAAAGAACCGAAGGGGUAUCUUCAGAUCUAAUCUCACGCGUAGGAUUUUAAUCGAACGACUAAGAGAGGGGAUGGGGUUGCUCACAGAGGUGGCUGCCGGUGCUGGCUCUUCCCCGGCGAACAGGGAUAUGGUGGUCGACGGGGACGAGGCUCCGACGAGUCUCCGGCGGGUCCGACGGCACCAUAGGAUGGCGGCGAGGCUCCGGCAUCCGAGGGAGGUGACGGCGAGGCGAGAGGGAGCGGGGGGCGAGCAGGGGGAGCUCAGGGAGGCUCGGUGGUGGCUGGGAACUCCGGCGAGGCGCGGGGUGGCGAUGGAGUGGAGGGGCUAGGGUGCAGGGGGAAGAAAUGGGGCGCGGCGGCGGCGGCGAGCUCGCUGGUGGGGUCGGACGGGGUGGGGAGGCGAGGGUGGCGAGGCAGGGCGAGGAGGGGCUUCUCUGGAGCUUUUGCUCCGGCGAGCAGUAGGGCAGGGGCAGGGGAACGGGGGCUCGGGCUAGGGCAGGGGAACGGGUGCGGUGGCGAGGGGGAAAGCUUUAUAGGAGAGAGGGGGGGGGGGGCUCGGGNNNNNNNNNNNNNNNNNNNNNNNNNNNNNNNNNNNNNNNNNNNNNNNNNNNNNNNNNNNNNNNNNNNNNNNNNNNNNNNNNNNNNNNNNNNNNNNNNNNNNNNNNNNNNNNNNNNNNNNNNNNNNNNNNNNNNNNNNNNNAUCGGGCUCCGGCGAUCUCGGCUGAGAGAAGGAAGGAGAGAGGGAGCGGGUGUUGGGGGUGACCGAGGGUGGGGGAGGUUUCGGGCGGUGGGGCCCGCUGGCAGGGAGAGGGGUGCUGGGGAGCUUCGGUCGGUUGACCGAUUUUGGAAGGAGAGAGGGAUCCCGGGCUGAGGGGAUUCGGCCCAGAGCACUAAAUGCCGCCCAUGCGCUUUCCUAAAAAAACAUAUUUCCUAUUUUCUAUUUUAAUUAAAAACAGAAAGAAAAAUACAAAAAAGGAAAUAAAAUAAAAUAUAGAUAUAGGGGGUAUUAUAUACAAAAAUUUUCAGAAAAAUAUUUCCUAUUUGUUUAUCAUUUUUCCAAGAGUAAAAUAAAAAAAUUUAAAAAUGUUUUUUCAGAAAAAACCCCUAAAGGUUUUAUUUUCUUUUGUAAUUAUUUUCUCAAUAAAACUCUGGUUUUCUUGGCUCAAAAAUAUUUCAAAAAUGCCCCUGAUUUUGGGAGGGUCAUUUUCCUCCGCUCUUUCUUGCUUGCAAGAAUUUAUUUUCGGGGUAUUUUCUCGGAGAAGAAAAAUAGAAAUGCAGAAGCAAAAUUUGAAAGAAUUCAAAUGCAAACUCCAUUCAAAUUCUUUAUAGUUGAAGAAGUUAUGUCAUCUUCUCUCAUUGCUUUUGAAUUUGAAUUUACCGGAGAAGGGGAAAGUCAUUUUAUUCCCUCUCGUUCAAAAGUUUUGAAAAGUUUCAAAUUUCACUCAAGCUUCAAUCACUCAAGCAAACAAACAAACAAUCUAAUAAUUUUUUUUAACAUUCCAANNNNNNNNNNNNNNNNNNNNNNNNNNNNNNNNNNNNNNNNNNNNNNNNNNNNNNNNNNNNNNNNNNNNNNNNNNNNNNNNNNNNNNNNNNNNNNNNNNNNUUUUUCGCAAGAUGUCAUGGCACGUCUCCAUGCAUCCCGGGUCAUCCACUGGUUUCUCCAGGGAGCCGUUCAACCGUCCUUCACCCAGAGUUGCAUUGCAUCACGAGGUCUUGAAAAUCUUGACUUAACAGGUCUUGGUUAUUAAAUUAUUCUCGCAUCACUCGUGAUAUGCACUCAACCAGAAUCCCGUCUACUCAAGCAUAACAAUAUGAAAUUUGUCGUCCCGGGCCAAGUAACGGGGUUGUUGGGCGCCUACCACAUGAUACUACAAUAUGUAACCAUAAUUUCCAAGUACCUACUCAGCAUGUAAUUGGGUAUAGGAUGGUAGAACUACAAUGCAUAAAACAUAGGUAAGACAUGAUCAAAUGACUUGCCUGGUGAGGUUGAUGAAGAAGAAUUAUCGUUCUCGAGAAAUAACUUGAUAGACUAUUUGUCACUCUCCGAUGAAAUCUAUAUAACAAACAUAUCAUUCACAUAAGCNNNNNNNNNNNNNNNNNNNNNNNNNNNNNNNNNNNNNNNNNNNNNNNNNNNNNNNNNNNNNNNNNNNNNNNNNNNNNNNNNNNNNNNNNNNNNNNNNNNNNNNNNNNNNNNNNNNNNNNNNNNNNNNNNNNNNNNNNNNNNNNNNNNNNNNNNNNNNNNNNNNNNNNNNNNNNNNNNNNNNNNNUUUUUUGUUCUAACUGAAAAUAAAACUUUAAAUAACAGAGAACUAAUAUAUAAAUUUAACCAAGAUAAAAUAAAGUACUUUUCACAAAACUAUUUCAAAGUAUUUCCAAACGGGAGUUGAAACACUAGAGAAAUCAAUUGCAAGUUAUUAGGGAACUAGAAUUGAUUUUCUUGNNNNNNNNNNNNNNNNNNNNNNNNNNNNNNNNNNNNNNNNNNNNNNNNNNNNNNNNNNNNNNNNNNNNNNNNNNNNNNNNNNNNNNNNNNNNNNNNNNNNAAGUUAUUAGGGAACUAGAAUUGAUUUUCUUGAUAACAAAUAAAAAUAAAAAUAAAAACUUGUUGCAAAUCUACUGUUAACUAACAGAAACAAAACAUAAUAUUUUUGAAACAAAAAUAAAAUACUUUAAAAACAACUAAAGAGAGAGCUAUAGUCAAAAUCCUAAAAAGAAGUGAAACAGAAACUGUUUCACAUGAAAAAAUGAGUUAAAAUGCCCAAACAAUUUUGAAAUUUUUACCACUGAUAAAUAAGAUCACUAGUGAUCACUAGAAAAAAUAAUUAAUUAAAAAUCUAUUUUUAAACUCCUAGAAUAAGCAAAACAAGGUUUAAAUUAAAUCUGAUCUAAUUCAAAUUUGAAAAUUUCAAACAUAGGCAAAUAAUAUGUUUUCGAAAACUACAGGAAAAUUGUGAUCUAAUGGAAAAAUAAUCAACCUCAUUGGAGUUGUGGAUCAAAAGUUAUGAGCAAAAGCAAAUUUGAUCUGCCUCUGUUUUUUGAAUUAACACUGAAAAACUGAAUAGCUAAUUAGUGAGCGGGGGUCCACGUGGCGUGUUGUGNNNNNNNNNNGUGUGCGUUGCAUGGGCUAAACAACGGAUGGCUGCUAUAUAAGAAACCGCUUCGGAUAAACUUACUAAUAAAAAUAACUGCUGGUUCUUUUAAAAGAACCGAAGGUGUAUCUUCAGAUCUAAUCUCACGCGUAGGAUUUUAAUUGAACGGCUAAGAGAGGGGAUGUGGUUGCUCAGAGAGGUGGCUGCCGGUGCUAGCUCUCCUCUGGCGAAUAGGGACGUGGUGGUCGACGGGGACGAGGCUCCGGCGAGUCUCCGGCGGGUCCGACGGCACCAGAGGAUGGCGGCGAGGCUCCGGCGUCCGAGAGAGGCGAUGACGAGGCGAGAGGGAGCCGAUCUAAUAAUUUUUUUUAACAUUCCAAAAUUUGGGAUGUUACAUAAAGUAUCUUGGACAUCUUCUUUGAUUGUGAGCCCCCAUUAAUUAUUUUCAAACUUGAUCAAGUAGUUGACGUUGGACAAGCAAGAAAACGUAAUGGUUAUGUUUGCUUAUAUUCACAUAGAAGUUAUAUUAUCAUGGAUCCUCUAACAUGUGGUGCUUGCUUUAGGUCAUUUGAUAGACCAAAUAUUCGCACUAAGUAGAGAUACUACUUGUGAAUCCAUAACCUUUGAACCUAGUUUCUUGCGAUGAGAGUCUAUCGUACCUACCCAUGGAUUGAAUAAGAUCCUUCAAGUAAGUUGUCAUCAGUGCACAAAGCAAUAAAAAUUGUUCCUAAACAUUUAUGAUCUGUUAUUGUAUGGGAAAAUAAUAUUUAUAUGAUCUUCUGAUGGUGAAGAAAUAAAAGCGACGAACUGCAUAAUAAAGUUUGCUAUCACAAGGGGCAAUAUAAAGUGACUUCCUUUUCAUUAAAAGAUUGCAUAUCCAGAAAUAAAAAGAGCAUGCCAACCUUUGCUUCCCUCUCGGAAGGGCCUAUCUUAUACUUUUAUGUAUUUAUACAUUUACUUUUAUGCAAGAAUCAAUAAUGUUCAUUCCUAUUUGAAAAUAUUAAUUCUUUAGUUGGCAAGCAUCAUGUGGUGUGGCAAGAUCCAAACACAUAUAUCUAACUGGAUAUAUGUGAUCAUGAUUCGUUAUUGUUGACAUUAUCCCUGAGAUAAAUAAGUUGGGAGGUGGAACAUUAAGCCCUAUCUUCCUAUGUGUUUGAUUGAAACUGCUUGUUCUAAAAGUAUUCCUUGAGUGUGAGCAAUCAUGGAAGACUAAAUGAUAGUUGAGUAUGUGGAAUUUUCUAAAUCAAAGCUCUUACAUAGACCCUUCCUGAAAUAAGAUGAAUUGUAACUGUUUGAUGACGGAAAAUGUAGUUUACUAGUUUUCAAGAAAGUUUAUGGUCUAUACUUUAACAUGUGAAUAGGUUGUUACUUGAUCAUGAGAAGUUCUAUGAGAAAAUAGUUGUUGUUUUAUGGUGCUAGAAAAAGUGACAUUGAUUAAAUUUAUAUACUAUGCUAGCAUUCAGACUUCAUAAAGUAUUUCUUUUAUCAUUUACCUAGUCGAGUACGAGUAGCAGUUAAGCUUGGGGAUGCUGAAACGUCUCCAAUGUAUCGAUAAUUUGUGAAGUAUUCAUGCCAAUAUUCUACAUAUUUCAUAUACUUUUGGCAACAUUUUAUAUUAUUUUUGGGACUAACUUACUUAUCUAGUGCCGAGUGUGAGUUCCUAUUUUUGUCUGUUUUUUGUUUUGCAGAAAGUCCAUAUCAAACAAAGUCCAAAUGCGAUAAAAAUUUAUGGAGAUUUUUUUGUAAUAUAUGUGAAUUUUGGGAGGAAGAAUUAACACAAUAUGGUGCCCGAGGGACAGAGAAGCUAACAGGGUGUGACCAGGGGGGUGGUUGAGCCCUGAUACCUUUUGACCAUCACUUAAGUUGGUUGGGGUCAUUCUUUUGCCGCAAGAAAGAUAAUUUUAAGAAAUGGUGAAUGGCCACAAGCAGCAUUAAAAACAAGAGAUAAACAUAGAUAGAUAGAUAGAUAGAUAGAUAGAUAGAUAGAGAGAUCCAAUCUCGGAGGGGCUCUCUCCCCUACGGGAGCCAUGGAGGGCAAGGACUGAUAAUCCCCAAGUACAAGGAAUCAUCGUAGCAAUCUCUAAAGAUGGAAGUGGUAAGUAUGGAAUGUUGAACCCACAAGGAGCUAAAGGUAAGAUCAAUAUUCUCUCAAGUCCUAUCUGCCACCGAUACGACUCUACGUACACCAAACAUUAGCUUCAAUCUAGUAACGGGAAAUAAAAUUGCGUUGUGGGUAUAAAGAUGAUAGAUUUGCAUGAUAUUGGAGAACAAAAAUAUGAAAAUAGUCGCUACCUAAAAAAAGCUAGAAUAUAUUGCAAAUAGCAAGCAUGGAAUAAUGAUGGUAUGGUUUGCGGAAUCAUCCUAGACAAGUGAUAACAAGAUCAGUAAUCAUUAUUAUAAUUUAAUUUGAGGGUGAGGCAUGAGCUAACAUACCUUCCAUAAUUGGAUCAUAUGAACUUAUGAUUGGACCUCUAUCAAGCAUCCACGACUACCAGAAAUCAUUGAGGUAAACUCAACCAUAACAUUAAACAUCAAGUCACCUUUGCUCACAUACGCAACAAUCCCCUUACUCGGGUGUAAGCUUCUGUUACUCUAGUCACCCACUAUAAGAGAAUCAUGAACAUAUUGCAAACCCAAGAGUGAGAAUUCCCUCAUGUGUGCGUGACAUGAAGGGCACCAUAGGACAACACCAAAAUAAAACAUACACUCAAAUCAAUCAAGAUCAUCAAUCAACCCAAAGGACAACAUAAAUCUACUCAAACAUCAUAGGAUGGCAACACAUCUUUGAUUAAUAAUAUGUGGCAUGAAACAACAUGUUCAGUUAGGGGAUUAAAGUGGGGUGCACGAGAGUGGACCGCCAUAGAUGGAUGAGGGAAGGUGGUGGAGACGGUGAUGUUGAUGAGGACGAUCAUUGCGUCGAUGGUUCUCCCGCUGGCACUCCGGCGCCACCGAAAGAGAGAGUGAGAGACUCUCCCCCUUAGGCUUCUUCCUACAUGGCCUCUCCCUAUAUGGGGAGAGGUUCUCCCCUCUGGUCCUUGGCCACCUUGGCUCCCAGAGGGGCGAGAGCUCCUUCGGGAUUAGAUACCUCUGUGUGUUUCUCUCUUGUUUUCGCCAUUGUUUUCUCUCCGCAUUGGUUUUUCGUUGAUAUUGAGAGUUCCCAUGGUGAGGCAGAGAGUCUCUCAUAAUUUCUGAGGGUUUCUCUAUUUAUAGGAUUUUUUUGGUGUUGGAAUCACGCAAGAAAGAAUUACGAGGGCCCCACAAGCCAUCAGGGCCCUUUGACCCCCCCUCUGCGCGCCCUGAUUGCUUGUUUUCCAGAAAAUUCACCAAAAAGUUUCGGGCGAUUCCGAGAACUUCCAUUUUGUGCACACAAAAAAUGUCACCAUGGCAAUUCUGCUGAAAACAGCAUUAGUCCGGUUUACUUCUAAUUAAACCAUCAAAAGUGCAUCAAAGCCAUAGAAAAGUAUUGUAAACAUAGGUGAAUAUGGCAUGAAUACUUCAUAAAUUAUCAAUACGUUAAAGAUGUAUCAGCAUCCCCAAGCUUAAUUCCUACUCAUGCUCGAGUAGGUAAAUGAUAAAAGAAAUAAUUUAGGAAGUGUGAAUGCUAGCAUAGUCUAUAAGUUUGAUCAAUGUUACUUCCAAUCACUUUUUUCUAGCAUCAUAAACACGAACUCUUCUCUUNNNNNNNNNNNNNNNNNNNNNNNNNNNNNNNNNNNNNNNNNNNNNNNNNNNNNNNNNNNNNNNNNNNNNNNNNNNNNNNNNNNNNNNNNNNNNNNNNNNNUCAUCAUUUAAUCUGUUUGGUGAUGUUAACAUUUUCAAACAUGUUUGAGAAUAUCAAAAUCAGAUUCCUUCGAUUUUUCUGAUACUUUUUCAUAUAUAAAUUAUUUUCAUUGGAGUUACAGAUUAUUUUCUAUGAUUUUAAGAAGUUUUGGGCAUUUUCUGGAAUUCUUUUAAAUCAAAAAAUCUCUUUAUUGCGUCAUAACCACGUCAGCACUGCGUCAGCAGGUCAACCGACCUAGUCAGGUCAAACCUGACAGGUGGGGGCCACUGGUCAGUGUCUCAGGAGUUAAUCCCGCACUGACCAGCCCCUAAGUGGGUUUGACCCACUGCUAGGGCCCACUGUGAGUGGCUAAUUAGUGUUAAACCACCGGGAUUAGGCCGGCCACGUCGUCCCCCGCCGAAGACUGGCCCGCGGCGACCAGAUCUGCGGCGGAUCUUCGCCGGAGAUGCACCAGAUCUUGCUAGAUGUUCGAAUCAAGUGCCGAGAGCACUGGGAUGAUCCCCAGGCUCGGCCUCAUUCACAACGGUCGUCAGGAGGGGCUAUAGGUGGCCGGAGCAUGCUGGUGACGAGCCGAGGCGGCUGUCGGAGCUAGGGCUCAUCGGUCCCGUGGCUAGAGUGCCGGAGAGAGAGGGGAAACAGAGGGGAAAUGCUCGCAAGCUCAUGGUGGAGACGAAGCUGGGCUCAGACUGCUCGGGGAGGGGUUGUAGUCGACGAUCCAUCGUCGAUUUGUCGGCGGCCGGAGGUUGAAGACGGCGGCACUGGGGGCAUUGCAGGGCUCGGGGAGGACGGUUCCGUUGACGUGCGCGUCGAGCUCAACGUUGCGGAGAGGAUGGAGCACUCGGGGGGGNNNNNNNNNNCUGUAGCCGGCGAUCCACCGUUGAUUUGCCGGCGGUCGGAGCUUGAAGACGACGGCACUGGGGACGUUGCAGGGCUCGGGGAGGACGGUUCCGUUGACGUGCGCGUCGAGCUCGAUGUUGCGGAGAGGAUGGAGCACUCGGGGAGGGGGGGCUUCCCUAUGGCCACGGAGCACGGGCUCCUCGAGCUCAAGCUCCUGUCAAUGGCGGUAGGAGGAGAGGAAAGAAACCGAGAGGAGGGGGAGGAAUGGAGAGCGGGGAUGGAUAGGGACGCGCUCGGCGAAGUCAUCCCCAUUGUCGCGCUGUCCUGGGGGCACCGGAGAAUGCCAUGGCGAAGCAGGAGGUGGAGGAUGCCGCCGUGGUCGAUCUCUCCUUUGCUAGAAGGCAGAGGAAGAAGACGACCCUGCCCCUGGUGGGCUGGGCCUCGCAGGUGAGCGUAGUUUAGGGUUUUUUCUUUUCUUCUUUUAUUUGUUUUCUAUUUUACUUGUUGACAUUGUUGUCAUUUAUUUUUGCCACUAAAUCAAAACUAAAAUUAGUUUGAAAAAUGCUUGGGUGUUAGUUGGAAUAUUUCCAAUCACCCAUAAAGUUUUCAACAAUUUUGAAAACUUAUACAUUUUUGAAUUCAAAUAUAAGUUUGAAUUCACGGACUUUGCUGGUUUUAAAUAAAAUGCCAAAAGUGAUUUAAAAAUAGUAUUCUCCCCUGAUAAUUUGUUUUCAAUAUUUAUCAGAAAUAUUGAACUUUUAAGAAGNNNNNNNNNNNNNNNNNNNNNNNNNNNNNNNNNNNNNNNNNNNNNNNNNNNNNNNNNNNNNNNNNNNNNNNNNNNNNNNNNNNNNNNNNNNNNNNNNNNNAUACAGCCUGUAACACAUCGCAUCUCUUUGCGGUCUCACGCACGGUUAUCCCCACGGCUGCAGCCUUACCUUAGUCGGGACCGUUUGCGCCUUUUGACUCGCGUAUGCAAUUGUGUCACUAGCAAUCCAAUGACAAAGAACCCGGAUCGACAUGUCUAGUCAUAAACCAAAGCGGCGGUUCCGCAUAGGGACAGGCAUACAUGACCCAGCAAAGCAGGUGUCGGUCACCAGAGAAUGUAGACGAGUCAUAGCAAGCUAAAAGGACUCCAUUACAUCACGUGAUAUUCCCCAAAGGGGACAGACACAGCAGCUAAGAAGGACAAAUGCCGGUCAACCAAUGUGUCCGGAGCAGUAGCGAACUACCAUGGCUCGUUGGAUCACAAAGGGGCAUUUCACUGUAAAGAGUGCUCCUAAGCCUACGACUAGGUAAUCGAACCCCAUACAUAUCAAGUACAACACACGUACGCAUGGCAUACCUAUAUGUAUAGAUACAUCGAUGGCAUCACAACAUAACCAUAAACAUACAAACUUUAUUUAGAAGGCUCGGAAGAGCCACACACAUAAUAUUACAAGGUAGGGGUCUCACGACCCAUCAUCACAAGUCAUACACGCAAUUCUUACAAACCAGCGGAAGAGUAAAGCUGUCUAACUACAGACAGAUGGAAAGAUAAAGGCACAUGGCCUGACUAUCUAUAGACCCAUCCUAGGGCCAAAUCGUAGCUGGGAUACCAUCUACUCAUCGUCGUCGAUGUCUAGAUUGAACCCUCCAUUAGGGUCAUUAACAACCUCUGCAACAAUUAUUAAGCANNNNNNNNNNGGGCUGUAGCCUUAACUUAGCCGGGACCUUUUGGCCUUUUGACUCGCGUAUGCAAUUGUGUUGCUAGCAAUCCAAUGACAAAGAACCCAGAUCGACAUGUCUAGUCAUAAACCAAAGCGGCAGUUCCACACAGGGACAGGCAUACAUGACCCAGCAAAGCAGGUGUCGGUCACCAGCGAAUGUAGACAAGUCGUAGCAAGCUACAAGGACUCCAUUACAUCAUGUGACAUUUCCCCAAGGGGACAAACACAGCGGCUAAGAAGGACACAUGCCGGUCAACCAAUGUGUCCGGAGCAGUAGCGAACUACCAUGGCUCGUUGGAUCACAAAGGGGGAUUUCCCUAUAAGGAAUGCUACUAAGGCCUACGGCUAGGUAAUCAAACCCCAUACAUAUCAAGUACAACACACGUACGCAUGGCAUACCGAUAUGUAUAGAUACAUCGAUGGCAUCACAACAUAACCAUAAACAUACANNNNNNNNNNNNNNNNNNNNNNNNNNNNNNNNNNNNNNNNNNNNNNNNNNNNNNNNNNNNNNNNNNNNNNNNNNNNNNNNNNNNNNNNNNNNNNNNNNNNNNNNNNNNNNNNNNNNNNNNNNNNNNNNNNNNNNNNNNNNNNNNNNNNNNNNNNNNNNNNNNNNNNNNNNNNNNNNNNNNNNNNNNNNNNNNNNNNNNUGUAAAGCUGUCUGAGUACAGACAGAUGGAAUGAUAAAGGCACAUGGCCUGACUAUCUACAAACCCAUCCUAGGGCCAGAUCGUAGCUGGGAUACCAGCUACUCAUCGUCGUCGAUGUCUAGGUAGAACCCUCCAUUAGGGUCAUUAACAACCUCUGCAACAAUUAUUAAGCAAACAUGAGUACAAAAGUACUCAGGAAUACUUUAGGAUAAGCUAUCUACUCAUGCAAUGUAUCAAUAAGGAAUUGUGGGGUUUCAUGCGGAAAGCCAGCAUUUGACUCGUGGCUAGACAACUUGCAUUUUUAAAUAGUUUUGACAACUUUGAUUUCUCGCACACGAGUCCACUAACACCACAACAAUACUCCAUCGUGGAAUCAUUCCGUCUCCAUACGGAAAAGCCGUCCACGACACUCAUGCUUAUCUUGACAAUUUUAUGAGUAGCCAUUAAAGUUAUCUAUGAACAACAUAUGUCUCCAACUAGUCCAUAUCCGCGGACGCGGCUAUUCGAAAAGAUCAUAACCCUGCAGGGGUGUACUUCUUCACACACGCUCUCGCCACUUAUCGCCAUGUGCACGUCAUGCACCUCGGCAACCUUCAAGUGGAAGCCCAGCGAGGGAGUCAGCCACGACCGUUAACCACGCUAAUACUUAGUCCUGGUCUAUCGCCUAUCUGAGGGUAACCCGCACGGAAGUCCGGCCGAGGUUUCCGCCACGGCCCCAAACGAUGUGCGCAGGGUUUCCAAGCCCACCAUCCGGGUGCCACUUGGUACACCGUGCCACUGCCUACCUCAUCAUAGCCCACCUCUCAGGUCAGCGCUACGCACGGCCUCCAGCAUGACUGUAAACACCAGAAACUACUUGCAACUCCUGGACCGAGUACUAAGCGAUUAAUAAGUCGAGAGGGUCAAUUAAGUAUCCCAACGUGUGGUACUAUCUAGUCAUAGAUUACAUACACGGAACUCAGUUCCUAAGGACGGUUCCAAUGAAACAANNNNNNNNNNNNNNNNNNNNNNNNNNNNNNNNNNNNNNNNNNNNNNNNNNNNNNNNNNNNNNNNNNNNNNNNNNNNNNNNNNNNNNNNNNNNNNNCUGUUCAUCACCCAGAUGACAGACCAUACACAACUCUAAGCAUACGAUGCAUAGAGGAUAAGGCACAUCAUGGCUCAAGCAUCUACCAGGUAUGCUAGGUUGNNNNNNNNNNCCCGCCAUGUACUCCUACAUAGCCAUUCACCGAUACCUUUACCAAAUCAGGUUCAUCACACAACCUUUACUUACUGAACACAUUCUCACAAUUUUGUUCAUCACCCAGAUGACAAACCAUACACAACUCUAAGCAUACCAUGCAUAGCAGGAUAAGGCACAUCAUGGCUCAAGCAUCUACCAGGUAUGCUAGGUUGCAAGGUUCAGCUAUUCACUGUGACAAGGACAGGUCAUGCAAAGGAAGUGGGUUCAACUAACGUAGUAAAAGCAGUGAAAGCAUUUGCCCUAAUGCAAGAAAUACAAGUAGGAGCGCGAACAUGGGAUUUAUCGGGAUGAUCAAAAUUGGUUGCUUGCCUUGUUGCUCAGCAGAGGGACAAUAUCCGCCAGUCGGAUAUUCGGUGGAAUCCGGAGGAGCGGGGCCUAGCGGUAAAACAAUAUCAAUCAAUAACAAUCAUAUGCAACAAGAUGAUGCAUGAGCAUGGNNNNNNNNNNUACUGUGACAAGGACAGGUCAUGCAAAGGAAGUGGGUUCAACUAAUGUAGUAAAAGUAGUGAAAGCAUUUGCCCUAAUGCAAGAAAUAAGAGCAGGAGCGAGAACAUGGGAUUUAUCGGGAUGAUCAAAAUUGGUUGCUUGCCUUGUUGCUCAGCAGAGGGACAAUAUCCGUUAGUCGUUUAUUCGGUGGAAUCCGGAGGAGUGGGGCCUACCGGUAAAACGAUAUCAAUCAAUAACAAUCAUAUGCAACAAGAUGAUGCAUGAGCAUGGCAUGGAAAUUAAAGGUGGUAGGCUAAUGUAGCUACCAUUUCUUAAGUUGAAGUUGAUUUGAAUCAAGUUUCAAAUAUCACUUCAAACAAGGUAUUUUCAAACACUCUUUUAAUUGAUUCGACCUGAUGCUCAGGUAAUCUUGUUUUAGCAUGCAUGAUGAUGGUAUGUUGGGUUGCUGGUUGUUCUUGAUCAUGGUUUGGUCAUAAUAUUUGAAGUGGAAUUCAAAUGGAUUUCAAAUUCCAACUCCAAUUUAUUUAAUAAGGUUAUCCUAAUCAUCAUUUAAUCUGUUUGGUGAUGUUAACAUUUUCAAACAUGUUUGAAAAUAUCAAAAUCAGAUUCCUUGGAUUUUUCUGAUACUUUUUCAUAUAUAAAUUAUUUUCAUUGCAGUUACAGAUUAUUUUCUAUGAUUUUUAGAAGUUUUGGGCAUUUUCUCGAAUUCUUUUAAAUCAGAAAAUAUCUUUAUUUCAUCAUAACCACGUCAGCACUGCGUCAGCAGGUCAACCGACCUGAUUAGGUCAAACCUGACAGGUGGGGGGCACUGGUCAGUGUCUCAGGAGUUAAUCCCGCGCUGACCAGCCCCUAAGUGGGUUUGACCCACUCCUAGGGCCCAUUGUGAGUGGCUAAUUAGCGUUAAACCACCAGGAUUAGGCCGGCCACGUCGUCCCCCGCCGGAGACUGACCGGCGGCGACCAGAUCCGCGGCGGAUCUUUGCUGGAGAUGCACCAGAUCUUGCUGUGGUGCUCGGAAUCAAGUGCCGAGAGCACUGGGAUGAUCCCCAGGCUCGGCCCCAUCCACUACGGGCAUCAGGAGGNNNNNNNNNNAAUUUCUUAAGUUGAAGUUGAUUUGAAUCAAGAUUCAAAUAUCACUUCAAACAAGGUAUUUUCAAAUACUCUUUUAAUUUAUUCGACCUGAUGCUCAGGUAAUCUUGUUUUAGCAUGCGUUAUGAUGGUAUAUUGGGUUGCUGGUUGUGCUUGAUCUUGGUUUGGUCAUAAUAUUUGAAGUGGAAUUCAAAUGGAUUUCAAAUUCNNNNNNNNNNNNNNNNNNNNNNNNNNNNNNNNNNNNNNNNNNNNNNNNNNNNNNNNNNNNNNNNNNNNNNNNNNNNNNNNNNNNNNNNNNNNNNNNNNNNGUCCGGAAAAAAAAUCAAGGAGAAGAGUUCAUCGCAUUUUACGAUAGGAGGCGCCGCCACCACCUGUUCUUCCUCUGGAGGGCUGAUCCGGAGUCCGUUCUGGGCUCCGGAGAGGGGAGAUUGUCGCCAUCGUCAUCACCAACCUUCCUUCAUCGCCAAUUCCAUGAUGCUCUUCACCAUUCGUGAGUAAUCUCAUCGUAGGCUUGCUGGACAGUGAUGGGUUGGAUGAGAUCUAUCAUGUAAUCGAGUUAGUUUUGGCGGGGAUUGAUCCCUAGUAUCCACUAUGUUCUGAGAUUGAUGUUGCUANNNNNNNNNNAGUUUGCCAUGCUUGAUGCUUGUCACUAGGGCCCGAGUGCCAUGAUUUCAGAUCUGAACCUAUUAUGUUCUCGUCAAUAUAUGUGUGUUCUUGAUCCUAUCUUGCAACCUGUAGUCACCUACUAUGUGUUAUCACCCGGCAACCCCGGAGUGAAAAUAGCCGGAACCACUCCCGGAGAUGACCAUAGUAUGAGGAGUUCAUGUAUUCACUAAGUGCUAAUGCUUUGUUCCAGUUCUCUAUUAAAAGGAGAACCUUAAUAUCCCGUAGUUUCCAUUAGGACCCCGCUGCCACGGGAGGGAUGGACAAUAGAUGUCAUGCAAGUUCUUUUCCCUANNNNNNNNNNNNNNNNNNNNNNNNNNNNNNNNNNNNNNNNNNNNNNNNNNNNNNNNNNNNNNNNNNNNNNNNNNNNNNNNNNNNNNNNNNNNNNNNNNNNAAGCACGACGGCGUGGUGUCGAUGGAGAGACGAGGUCUCCCGGCACGGCUUCGCCAAGCACCGACACAGAGGAGGAGGAAGAAGGGCAGGGCUGCGCCGAUGGAGAGGGAGAAGUCUAUCUCCCAAGGGCAAAAACCCCUCUCUAUUUAUAGGAGGAGGGGGAAGGGGGUGCACCACCCCUAGGGUUCCCCCUUAGGUGGUGCGGAAGCCACCAGAUGGGAGAGGGGCGCCGGCCAGGGCAGGGAGGAGGGGUGGUGCGCACCCCUGGUGGGCCUUAGGCCCACCUGCCUUAGGGUUUGCCCCCCUUUUUCUCUCCCCUGCGCAUUGGGCUGAGUGGGGAGGCGCACCAGCCCACCUAGGGGCUGGUUCCCUCCCCCACUUGGCCCAUCUUACCUCCCCGGGUCGUUGCCCCCCUUUGGUGGACCCCCGGGGCCACCUCCGGUGGUCCCGGUGGUCCCGGUACGUUACCGCUGAUGCCCGAAACACUUCCGGUCGUCCUAUAUAUCAAUCUUUACCUCCAGACCAUUCUGGAGCUCCUCGUGACGUCCAGGAUCUCAUCCGGGACUCCGAACAACUUUCAGUAACCUCGUAUAACAAUUCCCUAUAACCCUAGCGUCAUCGAACCUUAAGUGUGUAGACCCUACGGGUUCGGGAGACAGGCAGACAUGACCGAGACACCUCUCUGGCCAAUAACCAUCAGCGGGGUAUGGAUACCCAUGGUGGCUCCCACUUGCUCCACGAUAAUCUCAUCGUAUGAACCAUGAUGUCAAGGAUUCAAUCAAUCCCGUAUACGAUUCCCUUUGUCUGUCGNNNNNNNNNNCUGGAUACCCAUGGUGGCACCCACUUGCUCCACGAUGAUCUCAUCGGAUGAACCACGAUGUCAAGGAUUCAAUCAAUCCCGUAUACGAUUCCCUUUGUCUGUCGGUAUAGAACUUGCCCGCGAUUCAAUCGUCGAUAUACCAAUACCUUGUUCAAUCUCGUUACCGGUAAGUCUCUUUACUCGUUCCGUAGCACAUCAUUGUGUGACUAACUCCUUAGUCACAUUGAUCUCAUGAUGAUGUUCUACCGAGUGGGCCCAGAGAUACCUCUCCGUCACACGGAGUGACAAAUCCCGAUCUUGAGUCGUACCAACCCAACAAACACUUUCAGAGGUACCCGUAGUGCACCUUUAUAGUCACCCAGUUACGUUGUGACGNNNNNNNNNNAUAGCACGUCAUCAUGUGACUAACUCCUUAGUCACAUUGAGAUCAUGAUGAUGUUCUACCGAGUGGGCCCAGAGAUACCUCUCUGUCACACGGAGUGACAAAUCUCGAUCUUGAUUCAUACCAACCCAACAGACACUUUUAGAGGUACCCGUAGUGCACCUUUAUAGUCACCCAGUUACGUUGUGACGUUUGAUACAACCAAAGCACUCCUAUGGUAUCCGGGAGUUGCACAAUCUCACGGUCGAAGGAAAAGACACUUGACAUUAGAAAAGCUUUAGCAUACGAACAACACGAUCUAGUGCUAUGCUNNNNNNNNNNNNNNNNNNNNNNNNNNNNNNNNNNNNNNNNNNNNNNNNNNNNNNNNNNNNNNNNNNNNNNNNNNNNNNNNNNNNNNNNNNNNNNNNNNNNGCAUAUUUCCAACAGAAGCUAGCGUCGACGUAACCCUUUACGACGAGCUCUUCGUCACCUCCAUAAACGAGAAACACUUCCUUAGUCCUUUUCAGGUACUUAAGGAUAUUCUUGACCGCUGUCCAGUGUUCCAUACCGGGAUCACUUUGGUACCUCCCUACCAAACUUAUGGCAAGGUUUAUAUCAGGUCUGGUACACAACAUGGCAUACAUUAGAGAGCCCACGGCUGAAGCGUAGGGGACAUAACUCAUCUUCUCUCUAUCUGCUGCCGUGGUCGGUGACUAAGUCUUACUCAAUCUCAUACCUUGCAAAACUAGCAAGAACCCUUUCUUUGAGUUUUCCAUAUUGAACUUCUUCAAUAUCUUGUCAAGGUAUGUACUUUGUGAAAGACCUAUGAGGCGUCUCGAUCUAUCUCUAUAGAUCUUGAUGCCUAAUAUGUAUGCGGCUUCUCCAAGGUCCUUCAUUGAAAAACUCUUGUUCAAAUAGGCCUUUAUGCUCUCCAACAUUUCUGUAUUGUUCCCCAUCAAUAAUAUGUCAUCCACAUACAGUAUGAGGAAAGCUACAGAGCUCCCACUCACUUUCUUGUACAGACAGGCUUCUCCGUAAACCUGUAUGAACCCAAACGCUAUAAUCACCUCAUUAAAGCGAAUGUUCCAACUCCGAGAUGCUUGCACCAGCCCAUAGAUGGAGCGCUGGAGCUUUCACACUUUGUUAGCACCCUUAGGGUCGACAAAACCUUCUGGUUGAAUCAUAUACAACUCUUCCUUAAGGUUCCCGUUAAGGAACGCUGUUUUGACGUCCAUUUGCCAAAUUUCAUAAUCAUAAAAGGUGGCAAUUGCUAACAUGAUUCAGACUGAUUUCAGCUUCGCUACGGGAGAGAAAGUAUCUUUGUAGUCAACUCCUUGAAUUUGUCGAAAACCCUUUGCGACAAGUCGAGCUUUGUAAACGGUUACAUUACCGUUUGCAUCAGUCUUCUUCUUGAAGAUCCAUUUAUUUUCUAUGGCUCGCCGGUCAUCGGGCAAGUCCACCAAAGUCCAUACUUUGUUCUCAUACAUGGAUCCUAUCUCGGAUUUCAUAGCUUCAAGCCAUUUGUUGGAAUCCAGGCCUGCCAUCGCUUCUUCAUAGUUCGAAGGUUCACCGUUGUCUAACAACAUGAUUUCCAUCACAGGGUUGCCGUACCACUCUGGUGCAUAGCGUGCCCUUGUGGACCUUCGUGGUUCAACAGUAACUUGAUCCGAAGCUUCAUGAUCAUCAUCAUUAACUUCCUCUUCAGUUGGUGUAGGCGCCAUAGGAACAACUUCCCGCGCUGCGCUACUAUCCUGUUCGAGAGGGGGUGUAAUUAACUCAUCAAGUUCUACCUUCCUCCCACUUACUUCUUUCGAGGGAAACUCUUUCUCUAGAAAGGAUACGUUCUUGGCAACAAAGGUUUUACCUUCGGAUCUAAGAUAGAAGGUAUACCCAAUAGUUUCCUUAGGGUAUCCUAUGAAUACGCAUUUCUUCGCUUUGGGUUCAAGCUUUUCUGGUUGAAGUUUCUUCACAUAAGCAUCGCAGCCCCAAACUUUAAGAAACGACAACUUAGGUUUCUUGCCAAACCAUAGUUCAUACGGUGUCGUCUCAACGGAUUUAGACGGUGCCCUAUUUAAAGUGAAUGCUGCAGUUUCUAAUGCGUAUCCCCAAAAUGAUAGUGGUAAGUCGGUCAGAGACAUCAUAGAUCGUACCAUAUCUAAUAAAGUGCGAUUACAACGUUCAGACACUCCGUUGCGUUGCGGUGUGCCAGGCAGCGUCAGUUGUGAAACGAUUCCACACUUCCUUAGGUGUGUGCCAAACUCGUGACUCAAAUAUUCUCCUCCACGAUCAGAUCGUAGACAUUUAAUUUUUCUGUCACGUUGAUUCUCAACCUCACUCUGAAAUUCCUUGAACUUUUCAAACGUCUCAGAUUUGUGCUUCAUCAAGUAGAUAUACCCAUACAUACUCAAAUCAUCGGUGAGAGUGAGAACAUAACGAUAGCCACUGCGAGCUUCAACGUUCAUCGGACCACACACAUCAGUAUGUAUUAUUUCCAGUAAGUCGGUUGCUCUCUCCAUUAUUCCUGAGAAUGGAGUCUUAGUCAUCUUGCCCAUGAGCCACGGUUCGCAUGUGUCAAAUGAUUCAAAGUCAAGAGACUCUAACAGUCCAUCAGUAUGGAGCUUCUUCAUGCGCUUAACGCCGAUAUGACCAAGGCGGCAGUGCCACAAGUAUGUGGGACUAUCAUUAUCAACUUUACAUAUCUUGGUACUCACACUAUGAAUAUGUGUAACAUCAUGAUCGAGAUUCAUCAAGAAUAAACCAUUCACCAGCGGAGCAUGAUCAUAAAACAUAUCACUCAUAUAAAUAGAACAACCAUUAUUCUCUGACUUAAAUGAGUAGCCGUCUCGCAUUAAGCAAGACCCUGAUACAAUGUUCAUGCUUAAAGCUGGUACUAAAUAACAAUUAUUAAGGUUUAAGACUAAUCCCAAUGGUAGAUGUAGAGGUAGCGUGCCAACGGCGAUCACAUCGACCUUUGAACCAUUCCCGACACGCAUCGUCACCUCGUCCUUGGCCAGUCUCCGCUUAUUCCGCAGUUCCUGCUUUGAGUUGCAAAUGUGAGCAACAACACCGGUAUCAAAUACCCAGGAGCUACUACGAGUGCUGGUAAGGUACACAUCAAUAACAUGUAUAUCACAUAUACCUUUAACGUUGUCGGCCUUCUUGUCCGCUAAGUAUUUGGGGCAGUUCCGCUUCCAGUGACCCUUUCCCUUGCAAUAGAAGCACUCGGUCUCAGGCUUGGGUCCAUUCUUUUUCUUCUUCCCAGCAUCUGGCUUACCGGGCGUGGCAACAACUUUGCCGUCUUUCUUGAAGUUCUUCUUACCCUUGCCUUUCUUGAAACUAGUGGUCUUGUUGACCAUCAACACUUGAUGCUCUUUCUUGAUUUCUACUUCUGCAGACUUGAGCAUCGAGUACAACUCGAGAAUGGUCUUCUCCAUCCCUUGCAUGUUGUAGUUAAGCACAAAGCCUUUGUAGCUUGGUGGGAGCGACUGGAGGAUUCUGUCAAUUAUAGCAUCAUCCGGAAGUUCGACUCCAAGUGAAGUCAGACGACCGUGUAACCCAGACAUUUUGAGUAUGUGCUCACUCACAGAUCUGUUCUCCUCCAUCUUACAACUAAAGAACUUGUCGGAGACUUCAUAUCUCUCGACACGGGUAUGAGCUUGAAAAACUAGCUUCAGCUCCUGGAACAUCUCAUAUGCCCCGUGUUGCUCAAAACGCCUUUGGAGCCCCGUUUCUAAACUGUAUAACAUGCCACACCUAACCAGAGAGUAGUCAUCACUCCGCGUUUUUCAGACGUUCAGAAUGUCCUGGGCUGCUGCGGGAGCGGGAGGGUCACCUAGCGGCGCAUCAAGGACAUAAGCCUUUUUAGCCGCUUCAAGGAUGAGCUUCAAGUUGCGAACCCAGUCCGCAUAGUUGCUACCAUCAUCUUUCAACUUGUUUUUCUCUAGGAAUGCGUUGAAAUUGAGGUUGACGUUGGCCAUCUACAAUAUUUAUAAAGACGACUUUUAGACUAAGUUCAUGACAAUUAAGUUCAUUUAAUCAAAUUAAGUAUGAACUCCCACUUAAAUCGACAUCCCUCUAGUCAUCUAAGUGAUACAUGAUCCAUGUUGACUAACCCGUGUCCGAUCAUCACGUGAGACGGACUAGUCACCAUGGUGAGCAACUUCAUGCUGAUCGCAUUCAACCAUACGACUCAUGUUCGACCUUUCGGUCUCUUGUAUUCGAGGUCAUGUCUGUACAUGCUAAGCUCGUCGAGUCAACCUAGGUGUUUCGCGUGUGUAAAUCUGGCUUACACCUGUUGUAUGCGAACGUUAGAAUCUAUCACACCCGAUCAUCACGUGGUGCUUCGAGACAACGAACCUUCGCAAUGGUGCACACUUAGGGGAAUACGUUCUCGAAAUUUUAAGAGGGAUCAUCUUAUUAUGCUACCGUCGUUCCAAGCAAUAAGAUGAAAAACAUGAUAAACAUCACAAUGCAAUCAUAUAGUGACAUGAUAUGGCCAUUAUCAGCUUUGCCCUUUCGAUCUCCAUCUUCAGGCAUCGCAUGAUCAUCAUCGUCAUUGGCGUGACACCAUGAUCUCCAUCAUCAUGAUCUCCAUCAUCAUGAUCUCCAUCAUCGUGUCUCCGUGAAGUCGUCACGCCAACUACUACUAUCACUACUACUAUAGCUAACCGUUAGCAAUGAAGUAAAAGUAGUAAGCACAUGGCGUUGCAUCUCAUACAAUAAAAUAAGACAACUCCUAUGGCUCCUGCCGGUUGUCAUACUCAUCGACAUGCAAGUCGUGAAACCUAUUACAAUAACAUGAUCAUCUCAUACAUCAUACAUGCAACAUCACAACUUUGGCCAUAUCACAUCACAUGUCAAACCCUGCAAAAACAAGUUAGACGUCCUCUAAUUGUUGUUGCAAGUUUUACGUGGCUGAUUUGGGUUUCAAGCAAGAACACCUUCUUACCUAAGUGACAGCCACAACGAUGAUAUGCCAAAGCUAUUUACCCUUCAUAAGGACCCUUUUCAUCAAAUCCAAUCCGACUAGAGUAGGAGAGACAGACACCCGCUAGCCACCUUUAUGCACGGUGUGCAUGUCUGUCGGUGGAACCAGUCUCACGUAAGCGUACGUGUAAAGUCGGUCCGGGCCGCUUCAUCCCACAACACCGCCGGAAAAUAAUAAGACUAGUAACGGCAAGCAAAUUGACAAAUCAUCGCCCACAACUUUUGUGUUCUACUCGUGCAUAGAAUCUACGCAUAGAAAACCUGGCUCGGAUGCCACUGUUGGAGAACGUAGCAUAAAUUCAAAAUUUUCCUACGCCAUAUUCAGAUCUUCCUAUGGAGAGACCAGCAACGAGAGAGGGGUAAGAGCAUCUUCAUACCUUUGAAGAUCGCUAAGCGGAAGCAUUGCUAGAAUGCGGUUGAUGGAGUCGUACUCGCGGCGAUUCAGAUUGCGGUGUGAUUCCGAUCUAGUGCCGAACUACGACACCUCCGCGUUCAACACACGUGCAGCCCGGUGACGUCUCCUGCACCUUGAUCCAGCAAGGAGGAGGGAGAGGUUGGGGAAGAACUCCAGAAGCACGACGGCGUGGUGUCGAUGGAGAGACGAGGUCUCCCGGCACGGCUUCGCCAAGCACCGACACAGAGGAGGAGGAAGAAGGGCAGGGCUGCGCCGAUGGAGAGGGAGAAGUCUAUCUCCCAAGGGCAAAAACCCCUCUCUAUUUAUAGGAGGAGGGGGAAGGGGGUGCACCACCCCUAGGGUUCCCCCUUAGGUGGUGCGGAAGCCACCAGAUGGGAGAGGGGCGCCGGCCAGGGCAGGGAGGAGGGGUGGUGCGCACCCCUGGUGGGCCUUAGGCCCACCUGCCUUAGGGUUUGCCCCCCUUUUUCUCUCCCCUGCGCAUUGGGCUGAGUGGGGAGGCGCACCAGCCCACCUAGGGGCUGGUUCCCUCCCCCACUUGGCCCAUCUUACCUCCCCGGGUCGUUGCCCCCCUUUGGUGGACCCCCGGGGCCACCUCCGGUGGUCCCGGUGGUCCCGGUACGUUACCGCUGAUGCCCGAAACACUUCCGGUCGUCCUAUAUAUCAAUCUUUACCUCCAGACCAUUCUGGAGCUCCUCGUGACGUCCAGGAUCUCAUCCGGGACUCCGAACAACUUUCAGUAACCUCGUAUAACAAUUCCCUAUAACCCUAGCGUCAUCGAACCUUAAGUGUCUAGACCCUACGGGUUCGGGAGACAGGCAGACAUGACCGAGACACCUCUCUGGCCAAUAACCAUCAGCGGGGUCUGGAUACCCAUGGUGGCACCCACUUGCUCCACGAUGAUCUCAUCGGAUGAACCACGAUGUCAAGGAUUCAAUCAAUCCCGUAUACGAUUCCCUUUGUCUGUCGGUAUAGAACUUGCCCGCGAUUCAAUCGUCGAUAUACCAAUACCUUGUUCAAUCUCGUUACCGGUAAGUCUCUUUACUCGUUCCAUAGCACGUCAUCAUGUGACUAACUCCUUAGUCACAUUGAGAUCAUGAUGAUGUUCUACCGAGUGGGCCCAGAGAUACCUCUCUGUCACACGGAGUGACAAAUCUCGAUCUUGAUUCAUACCAACCCAACAGACACUUUUAGAGGUACCCGUAGUGCACCUUUAUAGUCACCCAGUUACGUUGUGACGUUUGAUACACCCAAAGCACUCCUACGGUAUCCGGGAGUUGCACAAUCUCACGGUCGAAGGAAAAGACACUUUACAUUAGAAAAGCUUUAGCAUACGAACAACACGAUCUAGUGCUAUGCUUAGGAUUGGGUCUUGUGCAUCACAUCAUUCUCCCAAUGAUGUGAUCGCGUUAUCAAUGACAUCUAAUGCCCAUGAUCAGGAAACCAUGAUCAUCUAUUGACUAACGAGCUAGCCAACUAGAGGCUUGCUAGGGACACAUUGUGAUCUAUUUAUUCACACAUGUAUUACUGUUUCCUGUUAAUACAAUUAUAGCAUGAACAGUAGACGAUUAUCAUGAACAAGGAAAUAUGAUAAUAACCAUUUUAUUAUUGCCUCUAGGGCAUAUUUCCAACAGAUGGCUCCACUUGAGUAGAGCAUUGUCCUUCUCUUUGAACCACAAGGGGUUCCUCAAUGGGGAGUAUUUGACAAAUCCCCAUUCUUCUUAUGGCUCGAGGAGGAAUUUCAUCACCUACAUCACAAAUACCACUUUGCUCCACUUGGGAGCCAUUAUUUUAAUCAAACUCUACGUUACACGUCUCCUCAGUGAGUCCGGUAGACUUGUUGAGAACACGGUAAGCAUGAGAGUUUGUAGAAUAAAGAACAAAUAUGCUCUCAUGAGCUCUAGCUUCGAAUUUAGACAAACAAACACCUUUCUUGAGUAUGAAACACUGACAACCGAACACCCUAAAGUACUAGAGGUUGGGCUUGUUCCCACUAAGAAUCUCAUAUGGAGUCUUGUUCAAGCCUUUGCGGAGGUAGAGCCAAUUGGAUGCAUGACAUGCGGUGUUAAUGGCUUCGGCCCAAAAGUUGUACGGAGAUUUGAACUCCGCCAUCAUGGUUCUUGCCACAUCCAUCAAUGACCGGUUCUCCCUCUCUGCCACACUGUUUCGUUGAGGGGUAUAGGAUGCUGAAUAUUGGUGCUUGAUCCCCUUAUCACUAAGGAACUCAUCCAAGGUGUAGUUCUUGAACUCGGUGCCGUUUUCACUUCUAAUCAUCAAUAUGUUUGCUUCAUGUUGACAUUGAGCUUCAUUAGCAAAGUCUAUGAUGGUUUGUUGAGUCUCACUCUUCCUCUUGAAGAAGUAUACCCAAGUGUAUCUUGAGUAGUCAUCCACAAUCACCAAGCAAUACUUUCUUCCCCCAAGACUAGAGGCUUUGUUGGUAGAGGUGGUUUUGCCCUUCUUGGCCUUGUCACCCACUUCCUUCUUCUUCAUAUUAUUAUGACUACUCUCACCCUCUUUGACAAAGAUUUCCUUGAGAGGGGGAGAAAGCUUGGUCUUGUUCUUCUUUUUCUUCUUAGACUUGGGUGAAAACCCAAGUCCCUCCUUUCGUACAACUUCCUUUUGAUUACUCAAAAGGUCAUUUAGAUUCUUCUCGCCUUGGAUGCAUGACACAAUGCCCUUUUCAAGUUGUUCUUUCAACUUGGCAUUCUCCUCCACAAGAUGCACAUGCUCACAACAAGGGUUAGUAGCACAAGCAUUAUCAAUUAGAACAAAAGGAGGACAAGUAGAAAUCUCCUUGGUUAGUUUUACUUGGAGUUGAUCAUGAGACUCCUUGAGAGAGAAAUGAACACCUUUCAAGACCUUGUGGGCCUUGUCAAGUGUGUCAAAUUCCUCCUUGAGUCUAUCAUGGCCAACCCCAAGUGCAACUUUCUCGAAUUUAAGCACACGUGUAAGAACAAUAGAAUGAUCAAGAUCUUUUUGCAAUUUAGCAUGAUCAACAUUGUGUGACUCCUUAAUAGCCAAACAAAGACCACAUUCUUCCUCUAGAGUAAUGGAUAGUUCCGCAAUCUCAUUGGCGUAAUCACGACUAUGUACUUCCAACUUGGAGAUAAUAUCCUCAUGAGUCUCUAUGAGAUCAUUGGCCUCACCAAGUUGUUCCAAAAGAGCAACAAAGUGCUUCUUGGAUUCACCUUUGAUCUUACACAAGAAUUUCUCAAACUCAUUAUCAUCAUGCUCCACUACUUCACUAUUAUCAACACAAUCUAACAACGAAGGAGAUGUAGUGAUAGUGGUCUUGAUGUUGGGGGUUACCUUAUUGAUACCUUUGGCCAUGAGGCACUUGGCGAUGCGGUUCUCAUUGGUGGCGCCUAAGAGAGAGACCUUGGGGGAGGAAGUGGCAAUGGCCACAGUAGCCGUUGCCAUCCCCUCACGGCAUGUAUCAUCUUCGUCAUCAUCGUAGGUGUACUCUUCAUGGGACACCAAACCCCUUGGAGGAGUAUUCUUGGUGAAGAUGUUCUUGCUUGGGAAAGACGUGGCUUUGUCUUUGUGAAUGAGCUUGCCCCCGUUGUCUUCCCUCUUCUCAUAAGGACAAUCCGCCACAAAGUGACUCACAUUACCGCAAUUGUAGCAUGUCCUCACUCGUUGCUUGUUCUUGGACCCACUUGACUUAUUCUUGGAGAAGUUGGGCCUUGAGUUCCUCUUGUUGCCCCAAAAUUGCCUUGAUGCAAGAGCCAUGUGCUCGUGAUAAGCAUACUUUGUGUCUUCGGGGCAGCCCUCUUCUUCCUCUUCCUCUUCUUCAUACGAAAUGACCUUGGCUCUCAUGGCAAGGUUGGGUGAGGCUUUCUUUGAUCGGACACGAUCAAGAGCAUUGUCGGCGGUCUUGUUCAUGAUAUUCAUGGCAAUGAACUCAUCCAACACUUCUCUUGAGGUCAAGGUGUGGAAAUCUAGCCUUUGACGAAUGACGGAGGACAUGGCUUUGUUGAAUGGCAUGAUGGCCUUGAGAAACUUGCACUUGAUCCAAGUGUCAUCUGUAUCCUUGAUCCCAUGAUCUUGGAGAGCAACGACAAGAGUAGCACCCUUCUAUAGAGAUCACGUGGGUCCUCAUCUUCUAGCAUCACAAACUCAUCGGCCUCAUCAAGAACCACUUCAAAGUUGGACCGUUGAAUGCUUGAGCUCCCCUUGUAAAACACCAUGAUUUGCUCCCAACAAUGCUUUGCAUGGGUGAAGGGGCGCAAGUGAGAUAGAUCUUCGGGAGGAACCGCGGAUUGAAGGAUGAACAAUGCAGAAUGAUUGUAUUGAUUAUCCGCCUCUUCUAUUGGAGUGAGGUUGUUUGGAUCAUGUGGGUAAAAGCCUUGUUCGAUGAUUGUCCAAAGAUUUGUUGAGCUGUGAUUCAAAUGAGACUUGAUGCAAAAUACCCAGUUAGCGAAAUCACCUUUAACAAGUUUAGGGGAGGACCAAGGUUAUUAAUAUGCAGCGUAGGGACCGGUCCUCCAUAGACCGGGGGAGGAGGAACCGAGGCAAAGGUUCCCGUCCCAUUCUUGUCAAGAGGGGAAGAAGUUUGAGCACCUUUAGUCGGUUCCUUUUCGGAAUUGGCCUCCGACUCCGAUGUGGUGGGUUUAGCCACAAGUAAUGGUUCGGGAGAAUUCUUCAUCCCCUAAAGUAAUUCUUUAAGCAUGGACUUGACUUUGGUCGUCAUGGACGUCUUGAGUGAGGCCAUAGCCUCAUUCAAGUCAUCCCAUGUGAUCGAACUCAACUCCACGUCCUCGAGCACUUCGUGCCCAACCUCACCAUCGUCAACCAUACUCUUCGAGUGGUCAAACCCUUAAUGAAGAGAUGUGACUUUGAUACCAAUUGAAAGGAUCGAUAUGCUUGACUAGAGGGGGGUGAAUAGGCAACUACCAAUUUUUAGCUCUUCUUAACAAAUUAGGGUUAGCAACAAAAGGUUCUCUAGAUGAACAACUAGGUGAGCAACCUAUAUGAUGCUAACAACAACGACAACAAGUGCAAGCAAGGAAUACACCACAACAAUAAUAAGUACAAAGUAAAGGUAAGAGAUAACCACAAGUGGAUUCGGUGGAGACGAGGAUGUGUUACUGAAGUUCCUUCCCUUUGACAUGAAGUACAUCUCUGUUGGAGCGGUGUGGAGGCACAAUGCUCCCCAAGAAGCCACUAGGGCCACCGUAUUCUCCUCACACCCUCACACAAUGCGAGAUGUCGUGAUUCCACUAUUGGUGUCCUUGAAGGCGGCGAUCGGACCUUUACAAACAAGGUUGGGGCAAUCUCCACACAAAGUUUGGAGGCUCUCAACAAGACCACGAAGCUUUGACACGUCUCCAUCGUAUCUACUUUUCCAAACUCUUUUGCCCUUGUUUUGGACUCUAAUUUGCAUGAUUUGAAUGGAACUAACCUCGACUGACGCUGUUUUCAGCAGAANNNNNNNNNNNNNNNNNNNNNNNNNNNNNNNNNNNNNNNNNNNNNNNNNNNNNNNNNNNNNNNNNNNNNNNNNNNNNNNNNNNNNNNNNNNNNNNNNNNNNNNNNNNNNNNNNNNNNNNNNNNNNNNNNNNNNNNNNNNNNNNNNNNNNNNNNNNNNNNNNNNNNNNNNNNNNUUUCAGCAGAAUUGCCUUGGUGUUAUUUUUGUGCAGAAAUCAAAGUUCUCCAAACGUCCUGAAAAUUUACGAGGAGCAAUUUUGGAAAAUAUGAAAAAUAUCUGCACCAAGUUCCACCUGAGGGGGUGGGCCAGUGGGCCACAAGCCCUGGCUCCGCCACCACCCCCUGGUGGCGGUGGGCAGGCUUGUGGGGCCCACACGGCUGUGCCGCCCCCAACCUUAGGUCUAUAAGUUCACUUUCGUCCCAGAAAAAAUAAAAAUAGAAGUUUUCGUCGCGUUUGCGAUACGGAGCCGCCGCCACCACGUGUUCUUCAUCUGGAGGGCAGAUUUGGAGUCCGUCUUGGGCUUCGGAGAGGGGAAAUCAUCGCCAUCGUCAUCAUCAACCUUCUCCCCUCUCCAAUUCCAUGAAGCUCUUCGUUGUUCGUGAGUAAUCUAUUCGUAGGCUCGCUGAGCGGUGAUGAGUAGGAUGAGAUCUAUCAUGUAAUCGAGUUAGUUUUGAUGGGGAUUGAUCCAUAGCAUCCACUAUCUUCUGAGAUUGAUGUUUCUACUACUUUGCCAUGCUUAAUGCUUGUCACUAGGGCCCGAGUGCCAUGAUUUCAGAUCUGAAAUUAUUAUGUUGUCACCAAUAUAUGUGUGUUUUAGAUCCGAUCUUGCAAGUUGUAGUUACCUACUAUGUGUUAUGAUCCGGCAACCCUGGAGUGACAAUAACCAGAACCACUCCCGAUGAUGACCAUAGUUUGAGGAGUUCAUGUGUUCACCAUGUGCUAAUGCGUUGGUCCGGUUCUUUAUUAAAAGGAGAACCUCAAUAUCCCGUAGUUUCCUUUUGGACCCCGCUGCCACGGGACGGAUGGACAAUAGAUGUCAUGCAAGUUUUUUUCCCUAAGCACGUAUGACGACACACGGAAUGCAUGCAUACAUCACAUUGACGAACGAGAGCUAGCGACAUAUCUCUCCGUGUUAUAACUAUUGCAUGAUGAAUAUCAUCCAAACAAAUCACCGACCCAUUGCCUACGAGUUUGUCCUACUGCUGCUGUUACUUGUCUUGCUCUGCUGCUGUUACUACUGCUGCUACUGCUGUUACUUGUCUUGCUCUGCUGCUACCGUUGCUACUACUGUCGCUUGCUACUGCUGUCACUACUGCUUUUCCUUGCCGCUACUAUUACUCGUUACACUGCUGUUACCUGCUACAAUUUUGGUUCGCUGGUCGUUGACGGGAACUGACAACUUCCGUCAACGAGGCAACUUGGCGCCAUUGAUACAAUCGUUAGGAAUAGUCUACCGUCAACAGAUCGUUUCUGACAUCGUUGUUAUCAUACUACUUUGCUACUGAUACUUUGCUUGCAGAUACUAAUCUUUCAGGUGUGGUUGAAUCUGACAUAUUCAGCUGCUAAUACUUGAGAGUAUCCUCUCACCUCCUAUAGGCGUAUGAACAAAUUUGGGUUGAAUAAUCUACCCUCGAAAACUGCUACGAUCCCACGCGCUUGUGGGCCGUCAACAACAUUCUUCUAGUUUCGAUUGCCGGAGAGUGCUAGCAGAAUUCUUCUGGUGCCGUUGCAAGGGGAAGAAUAGUUGACAUCAAGACCACAAUGGAAUGUGGAUCCGAGGUGACCUCAACCAUCUAGGGUGCUCAAAUACCCAAGAGUAAUAAGAUCCGCAAGGGAUUAGUGGGGGCAAUCAAAUAUCUCUUGGUGGAAGUGUAGAUCAUGGCCUUCUCAACCAAUCCCUAGGAAAUCAACAAGUUUGAUUGGUUAGGGAGAGAGAUCGGGCGAAAAUGAGCUUUGGAGCAACAAUGGAGCUUGGGGAGGUGAGAGGUACCUUCUUGAGGAAGAAGAUCCUGUUAUAUAGUGGGGGAAAGAAUCCAACCGUUAACCCCACUCACAGCCCGAGCAGAGCGGGACUACCGCUGCUAGGAGCAGUACUACUGCUGCCAGGAGCGGUACUACUGCACGGUAGGUUCACCAACCACGGUAGUAAACAAUUACCACCGUGCCUACCACCGUAGAGGCUGAGGUGGUGAAAAAAGUCUGAGGGAGCGGUAGUAAAAAAUUACUAGCGCCCAGAGAGCGGUACUACCGCUGUUCCUUUUGCACAGACAGGGAGAAACACGCUGGAGAUCCAUGGAAGCAAGGGAAAGGUGGUGCAAUAGAGAUGUGUACGUGUUGAUUCCACCCUAACCUUUCCUAAGCGGACCCCCUCUUAAUAGUAAGGCUUUCCUAUGACUCAAAUCCACCAAAGAGAAAUGUAGAAAGCAACCAUCUUUGAAAGACUCCGAGGGGCACUAAAUCAUCUUGUGCCUAGUCAUGAAUUAUCUGAAAUGCUCAAUGCACACGAUUAGUCCGCACACGCAUUGUCAUCAAUCACCAAACCCACUUAGGGAGAAAUAUGCCCUAACAAAGGUCUUGUUGCAGAAAAAAAAGAAACACCACAAACAACUCCAUCAGUAGAUCACCUCACUCGUGAGGCAAAUGUCAUCACAAAAAAAGGAAGUUUCUGCAACGCGACCGUUGUUUCUGCGACGCAACCGUUGUUUCUGCAAUGCGACCAUUGUUUCUGCAACGCGAUGUAGGAUCCGAAGUAUGUCUAGAGGGGGUGAUUAGAUGAGUUGACCAAAUAAAAACCUAGCCUUUUGACAAUUUUAGUUGUGGGCAAAUUUUAGCAAUUGUACUAAGUCAAGCACACCUACACAUGCAAUUCUAAGAGUAUAGCAGCGGAAAGUAAAAACAUGCACAUGUAAAUAGAGGGUAGGGAUAGGAAGAUCAAACACAAAGAUUGGUACAUAGAUUUUUGGCGUGGUUCUGAUAGAUGGCACUAUCGUACGCCCACGUUGAUGGAUACUUCAACCAACGAAGGGUAACAUCCGCGCGAGUCCAUGGAUGGCUCAACCCAUAAAGGGUUCACGAAGAAGCAACCUUGUCUAUUCCACCAUGACUUACGUCCAUGAAGGACUAGCCAUACUCGGGAUAGAUCUUCACAAAGUAGGUGAUCUCCUUACCCUUACAAACUUCUUGGUUCAACUCCAAAACACAAAGUUGGAGGCUCCCAAGCGACACCUAACCAAUCUAGGAGACACCACUCUCAAAAAGGUAAUAGAUGUGGUAGUAUGAUGAACUCCUUGCUUUUGUGCUUCCAAAGAUAGUCUCCUCGACACUCAAUCACUCUCUCACAUAUUUGGCUUGGGUAGAAGAGAUUGAUUGGGUGGAAACUUGGAAAGACAAGAAAUCAAUAUUCAUAUGGUAGGAAUGGAAUAUCUUGAUCUCAACACAUGAAUAGGUGGCUCUCUCUUAGAAAAAUGGAUGGGGCAAGUGUUGGUUCAUUCUGAGUGCUUCCUGUGCGAAUGAGAGGAGGUCGAGGGGUAUAUAUAUGCAUGUCUAAAAAUUCAACCGUUACAACAUUAUUACCCAACUCAGUGAAACCGGAGUAAAACUCGGUUGCACUGACUAGUGCAAAAUGUGGCAACUUUUGGAGUUUCGGUGAGACCGAUAUAAGAAUCUCGGUGGGUGUGAUUUUGGCUCGCCUAGGCAGUUUCCAGACUCGGUGGCACCGAUUCCCAAAUCUCGGAAAUUCCAAUUCUUAGAAAUAGGUAGACAGAGAGUUGGUCGCUAAUUCUCGGUCAGACGGAAACCGAACUUGGUGUCACCGAGAUGCUAGGGUUUGGCAUAUGAUCUGUUUGAGGCAAAACUUUAUAGGGCCGAAUGGAAAUUGUUGGUGGCACCAAAUUUUGGAUUUUUAGGAUUCUCGACCUAAUUUUUGUGGGAGAAGUUCAUGAGUAUUUUUGGUGGCUAAUCUCUAAGCACUUGAGCAACCAGAUUGUCAUAGUCACCUCAUCCCCUUUUAAUAGUAUUGGCUUUUCUAUGGACUCAAGUGUGAUUUCUCACAAAAUAUAAAAUGUAGAGUCUUCAAGCUUGUUGCCAAUAGAUGUUCCUUGCAUCUAGGGUUUCUCGUCACAAUCUUUAGCCAAUGCAUCAUUGAACUUUUCGUGAAAUUUACUAGAUAAAACCAUUAGUCCAGUGACAUAUAUGUUGUUAUUAAUUACUAAAACCACCUUAGGGAGAAGUUAUGCUUUCAAUCUCCCCCUUUUUGGUAAUUGAUGACAACAUAUAGGUCAAAGCUUCAACAAAAGAUAUAAUCAGUGAAUAGCAUUGUCGCUUUGAGAAGUAUGUGAUAAGAAAGAGCUCCCCUUAAAUUUAUGCAUUAUUUUAAGUUUGCGUUUGAAUGCAAAUGCACAAUUGAUUAGGAUCAUGGGUCACUUUUCCAUGUCACAUACAUCUUGGUGAUGCACAUAGAUGAUGUGAAUGAAUUAUAAUGCACAUAACACCAAACAAUGGUUGACUGAUCAUCAAAUAGAUAUCAUAAGGACAAACAUAGUAGCACCAAGCAUCAAUAAUAAAAGCGUAUGAUCAAACACAACAAAGUUUAAGACAUCCAAAAGAUGAACCAAAUGUUUUAGAAACCAAAGAGAGCAACACAAAUAACACACACACACAGACUCUCUCUCUCUCUCUCGAAGCCCUAUUAUUCUAUACACUUCUCCCCACUUGGUAACACUUACCAAAAGGUUCAAAGAUAUAGAGCUAAGCGCCGCUCUAGGCUCGGUCUCCUGUGGUAGUUGUUGAAGGAGUCGAUAGAAGAUCGUUGGUGAAGGCUUCAACAGAUGUCCUCUAAGGUGGUGGAGUAUACACUGAAGGUGUAGGAGAUGAUGGAGCUAAUGUUGGGGCUAAUGAAGAAGGUCUUGAUUCUAGAACUGCCAUAGUUGCAGAUCUAGCACGAGUCUUGAACUGAGUGUAAGUUGGAAGAGAAGGACCAUCAUCAUCAUCACUGCUAGAGUUGGGAGCGGGCGCUGCAUUGACCUCCUGCUUAAACUGGUUGAUUGUUGUAGCCAACUCAGUCACCUUAAUGUCGAGGUCAUGGAACUUGGUUUCCACGAUCCCCUCAAGACUCUUCUGAUUUAGCAAAAUAUCUUUGAUGUUCCUCUCCAUUCCUUGGAUGGUGCUGAUAAGAUAUGCCAUUUGAUCUCCUUUGGAUCUCAUCACUGGAGCACUAGUGGCUCUGGGUUUCUCUGACUAGGCCCCACCCUCUACCUCAGCAUGUGCAGUUGCUGAAGUGGAAUGACUUGGAUCCAUCACCACCUCUGGCAGGUGUUGACGAUCAAGCAGGUACACACUCUUCCCAAUCUUGGAUUUGAUUAACAUUUGAAUGUAGGGUGCGUAUCCACAAGAUCUCUUCUGGGAGCAGUAGUCCUUUUGAUUAUCUCUACAAUGAGGUCCAUCACCCUGAUCCUGGUGUGGGUGUCUACAUGGUGCAGCAUGUUGAUGGAAUACCCCCUAAUUAUCUUGUCAUCACCUGAUUUGAGCAUCAAGGUGUACCUCAUAAUUGUGUUGGUGGUGGAUAGUCUUGCUUGCACAAUGUAUACUAAGCCUAGCUUAUGGGUCUUUAGAUAUUCCUUAGGCACUAGGUUAUACAUGUUGGCCAUGGAGUUGUGGUUCAUUUUAUCCUAAGUAUAAACAUCCAGAUCUCUCUCUUGCACCUCGGGCCUCCUAAGAUGGUAGCCCACUCUUCAAUAGUGGAUUGGUACCUGGAUCCUUCUAUCAUCCAUACAAUUCUACCAUCUGGAUAGAAGUGAGCUGUGAAGUAGAAUUGCAUGAUCAUCUCAUCAUUCCAUGCUGUCAUCUUUCUGCCAACAAGGUCUUCAAUGUCUAUGGCCCUGAAAUUUUCUUGCACAUGAGGGAAGUACUCUUCAUUCUCCUUGAUGCAGUCCCAAUCUACAUACCUCAUGUCACUAACAGCUGGACUCUUGUCCAAUAGGAUAGACUCGUAAAAGUUUUGAUGUUCCUUAGUAUGGAAGUGAGCAUCAACUCCAGUCCUCCUCUUGAUAGCAUAUGGACCAGCUGCUCCCCACUUCCUGAUCCCUUGAUACUUCCUUUCCUUCAUGCUCUCUGCAAUGGGGUGUUCAGGCAGGUGAGGUCUCAGCUUCCUCAAUACAACAAGUUUCUCUUCCUCUGUAGCAGAGUCCCUUGAUGCAUAACUCUUGUUCUUCUCACCUGCAGGUAUGUCUCUUGUAGUCAUCUUUAGCUUAAAAGCUACAUGCUUCAUAGCCUUGGGAGCAAAUGCAUUGGCUUUUGUUGCAAGCUACAUGAUUCUAAGAAGGUGGAUUAGUUGGUUCCUCUUCCUCUUCUUCCUCAACAUAAGUUGGAUCUUCAUACAUAGAGGUUGGCCUUCCAACAACAUGAAAAAUUCUCUUCCUAACUCUCUUCUUUACAGGCUUCUCAGCUUUCUUGGAGGUGGUAGGAGUUGUAGGAUCCGAUGUAUGUCUAGAGGGGAGUGAUUAGACUACUUGACCAAAUAAAAACUUCCUUUUUCCAAAUUUAAGUUGUGGGAAAGUUUUAGUAGUUGUUGCAUGUAAAGCACACCCUACACAUGCAUGUCUAAGAGUAUAGCAGAGGAAAGUAAUGACAUGUACAUAUAAGUAGAGGGUAGGGAUAGGAAGAUCAAACGGAAGGGUUGACAUGAGCUUUUUGGUGUGGUUCCGAUAGGUGGUGCUAUCGUACGUCUAUGUUGAUGGAGACUUCAACCCACAGAGGGUAACGGUCGUGCGAGUCCACAGAAGGCUCAACCCACAGAGUGUUCGCGGAGAAGAAACCUUGUCUAUUCCAUCAUGGAUUACGUCCACGAAGGACUAGCCUCACUCGGGGUAGAUCUUCACGAAGUAGGCGAUCUCCUUGCCCUUACAAACUUCUUGGUUCAACUCCACAACACUAAGUAGGAGACUCCCAAGCGACAACUAACCAAUCUAGGAGGCACCACCCUCCAAAAGGUAAUAGAUGUGGUAGAACGACGAACUCCUUGUUCUUGUGCUUCAAAAGAUAGUCUCGUGAACACUCAAUCACUCUCUCAUAGAUUUGGCAUUGGUAAAAGAGAUUGAUUGGCUCGAAAGCAACUUGGGAAGCUAGAUAUCAAGUUUCAAAUGGAUGGAUUGGAAUACCUUGAUCUCAAGCAUGAGUAGGUGUCUCUCUCUCAGAAAAAUGGAUAUGGCAUGUGUAUGUGUGUUCUGAGUGCUUCCUCUACGAAUGAGAGAUAGUGGAUGGGUAUAUAUAGGCAUCUCCCAAAAUCUAACUAUUACAACAUUAUUGCCCAACUCGGUGAAACCAAAGUGAAUCUCGGUGGCACCGAUUUGCACAAUAUGUGGCAUCUUUUGAAUUCUCGGUGAGACAGGUCUAGUAAUCUCGGUGGUACCGAUAUGGUGACCUAGGGCAGUUUCCAAAUCUCGGUGAGACCGAUUCCAAGACUCAAAAAUUCUGAUUCUUGAAAACUACAUACCAAAAACAUGGUCACUCGUUUUCGGUGGCAGCGAAUGGAAUGUUGGUGGUACCGAGAUUCCAGGGUUUGGCAAAGGUUCUGUCUGUAGAAAAUCGGUAGGGCCGAAUGGAAAAACACGGUGACACUGAUUUUGAUGUUUAGGCUUUGGACAAAGAACUUUUUUGGGAUAAUGGCUGAGUAUUUUUUGGUGGCUAUAUUUAACCACUUGAGUAACCAAUUCAUCAUAGAUACCUCACCCCCUUUUAAUAGUAUAGGCUUUCCUAUGGACUCAAAUGUGAUUUCUCAAAAAUAUAAAAUGCAGAGUCUUGUAGCUUGAAGCUUGGCCAAUCUUAUUCAUUUCCCUGUAUCUAGGGGUUCUCCUCACAAUCCUUUAGCCAAUGGAUCUUUGAACUUUUCUGAAAUAUACUUGGAUAAGACCAUUAGUUCUAUGACACAUAUGUUGUGAUUAAUUACCAAAACCACCUUAGGGAGAAGUUGUGCUUUCAGUCUCCCCCUUUUUGGUAAUUGAUGACAACAUAUAGAUCAAGGCUUCGACGAAAGAUAUAAUCAAUGAUCAGCAUGGUCGCUUUGAGAAGUAUGUGAAAAGCAAGAGCAGCCCGCUAAAUUUGUGCACUAUUUGAUAUUUGCGCUUGAAUGCAAAUGCACAAUCGGUUUGGAUCAUGGGUCACUCUUCCAUGUCACAUACAUCUUGGCGGUGCACAUAAAUGAUAUGAAUUGAUAGUAAUGCACAUUACACCAAAUAAUGAGUGAAUGAUCAUCAUGUAGAUAGCUCAAAGGUAGGAGAUAGUAGCAUCAACAAUCAAAGUGUAUGAUCAAACACAACNNNNNNNNNNNNNNNNNNNNNNNNNNNNNNNNNNNNNNNNNNNNNNNNNNNNNNNNNNNNNNNNNNNNNNNNNNNNNNNNNNNNNNNNNNNNNNNNNNNNNNNNNNNNNNNNNNNNNNNNNNNNNNNNNNNNNNNNNNNNNNNNNNNNNNNNNNNNNNNNNNNNNNNNNNNNNNNNNNNNNNNNNNNNNNNNNNNNNNNNNNNNNNNNNNNNNNNNNNNNNNNNNNNNNNNNNNNNNNNNNNNNNNNNNNNNNNNNNNNNNNNNNNNNNNCCCUUUGGCAACAAGUUACCAUAAAGUUCAAAGGUCUAGAACUAAGCGUCACUCUGGGCUCUAUCUCCUCUGGUAGCAGUUCCUGGAGUCGAUAGUAGAGCGUCAGGGAAGGCUUCAGCGAAUGUCCACUAAGGUGGAGCUGUUGACACUAGAGGUGCAGGAGUUGGUGGAGCUGAAGGUGCUCAUGCUUGGGCUAAUGAAGAUGGUCUAGCUUCCAGAACUAACACAACUGCAAAUCUGGUCUGAGUCCUGAACUGAGUGGUAGUGGUAAGAGAUGUAUCAUCAUCAACUUCCCGUUUUAGCUAUUCAACAGUGGCAGUCAACUCCAUCACUUUGAUAUACAUGUCAUGCAAUCUUGUAUGCACUAUUCUCUCAAGACACUUUUGGUUCAGCAUUUUUUUUGAAAUAUUUUUCACCAUCGCUUGGAUGGUGCUGACAAGAUAAGACAUUUGCUCCUCUCUCGUCCUCAACUGUGGUGCUGGAGCUGCUCUGGCUGCCUUUGCCUCUUAUGUUGCCUCUGCGUGAACACGAGGUGAAGCUAAACUAGGAUGGUUGGGGUCCAUCACUACCUCAUUGUCAUCAAACUCUAUCUAUAGUGGCACGUGUGGACGAUCUAGUAGAUAUGCAUGCUUCCCAAUCUUAGCAUUGAUCAACAUUUGAAUGUAAGGAGCAUAUCCACAGGAUCUCUUUCGAUCACCAGUUGUCCUCUUGACAGUCUCAACUAUUAGAUCCAUCACUCUAAUCCCGGUGUGAGUGUAAAUGUGGUGCAUCAUGUUGAUGGAAUACCCUAUGAUCAUCUUAUCAUAUCCUAACUUAGGCAUCACGGUGUACCUCAUGAUGGUAUUUGUGGUAGGUAUCCCAGCUUGCAAAAAGUAGACACAACCAAGCUUGUGGGUCUUCAAGUACUAGUGGGGCAUUGGAUUGUACAUCUGAGCCACAGAGUUGUGAUUCAUUUUCUGCUCAGAAUAUAUGUCUGAUACGUCUCAAACGUAUCUAUAAUUUUUGAUGGUUUCAUGCUGUUAUCUUGUCAUCUUUGGAUGUUUUAUGUACCUUUUAUAUCUUUUUUGGGACUAACUUAUUAAUUCAGUGCCAAGUGCCAGUUCCUGUUUUUUCUGUGUUUUUGACUCUUUUCAUAUCUGAUUUUGGAACGGAGUCCAAACGGAAUAAAAACCCUGAAAUGAUUUUUUCCCGAACGGAAGAAGAUCAGGGGGCCUCUGGGCCAAGCCAGGUGGGCUCCAGGGAGCCCACAAUCUCCCACUCCGCCACCAGGGGGGAGGCGGCGGUGUCAGGGCUUGUGGCCUCCCUGGCCGCCCCCUGACCUAGAUCCUUGUCCUAUAUAUUCCCAAAAAUUCAGCAAAAAAUCAGGGGAGCCUCGAAAAUACUUUUCCGCCGCCGCAAGCUUCCAUUUCCGCGAGAUCUCAUCUGGAGACCCUUCCCCGCGCCCUGCCGGAGGGGACUUUGGAGUUGGAGGGCUUCUUCAUCAUCAUCAUUGGCCCUCCAAUGACUCGUGAGUAGUUCACUUCAGACCUACGGGUCCGUAGUUAGUAGCUAGAUGGCUUCUUCUCUCUCUUGGAUCUUCAAUACAAAGUUCUCCAUGAUCUUCAUGGAGAUCUAUCCGAUGUAAUCUUCUUUGGCGGUGUGUUUGUCGAGAUCCGAUGAAUUGUGGAUUUGUGAUCAAAUUAUCUAUGAUAUAUAUUUGAGUCUUUGCUGAUUUCUUAUAUGCAUGAUUUGAUAUCCUUGUAAGUCUCUCCGAGUCUUGGGUUUUGUUUGGCCAACUAGAUCUAUGAUUCUUGCAAUGGGAGAAGUGCUUGGUUUUGGGUUCUACCAUGUGGUGACCUUUCCCAGUGACAGUAGGGGCAGCAAGGCACACAUUAAGUAGUUGCCAUCAAGGGUAAAAAGAUGGGGUUUUCGUCAUUGGUUUGAGAUUAUCCCUCUACAUCAUGUCAUCUUGCUUAAGGCGUUACUCUGUUCUUAUGGACUUAAUACACUAGAUGCAUGCUGGAUAGCGGUUGACGUGUGGAGUAAUAGUAGUAGAUGCAGAAAGUAUCGGUCUACUUGUUUUGGACGUGAUGCCUAUAGAUAUAAUCAUUGCCAUAGAUAUUGUCACGACUUUGCGCGGUUCUAUCAAUUGCUUGAUAGUAAUUUGUUCACCCACCGUCUACUUGCUUUCAUGAGAGAAGCCACUAGUAAACACUACAGCCCCCGGGUCUAUUCACAUCCAUCGUUUACACCUCCGCUUUUACUUUGCUUUGUUACUUUGUUGCUUUCAGUUCUCACUUGGCAAACAAUCUAUAAGGGAUUGACAACCCCUUCAUAGCGUUGGGAGCAAGCUUUUUGUGUUUGUGCAGGCUCUUGUGAUACUCCUCUACUGGAUCGAUACCUUGGUUCUCAAACUGAGGGAAAUACUUACCACCGCUACGCUACAUCACCCUUUCCGCUUCGAGGGAACACCAACGCAAGGCUCCAAGGCCAUGGGGGAAAUCCUUUGCANNNNNNNNNNNNNNNNNNNNNNNNNNNNNNNNNNNNNNNNNNNNNNNNNNNNNNNNNNNNNNNNNNNNNNNNNNNNNNNNNNNNNNNNNNNNNNNNNNNNNNNNNNNNNNNNNNNNNNNNNNNNNNNNNNNNNNNNNNNNNNNNNNNNNNNNNNNNNNNNNNNNNNNNNNNNNNNNNNNGGGGAAAUCCUUUGCAUACUUGCCUAGGAAGUCCCUUAAGGCGUAGCCGCAACAGAAGGAUCAAGCCAAGUAUUCUCCUGUCAACGUGCCUAUUUCUGGCGCCAUUGGAAGGUCUUCUCUUGCAGUAGCAGAAGUAUUUCUGCGCCGUUUACGGGGAGGAGAAAUCAAGAUCUAUCCAAGUAGGUCUCACAAACUCAUCUCUUGCAUUUACUUUUGUUGCCAGUUGCCUCUCGUUUUCCUCUCCCCCACUUCACAUUUGCCGUUUCCAUUUGCCUUUCUCCUUUGCCGUUUUCUUUUGCCUUUGCCGUUUCCCUUUGCCGGUUUUCUCGCUUGCUUGUGUGCUUGUUUGUUUGUUGAAGUCAUCAUGGCUGAAAACACCAAACUUUGUGACUUCUCGAGCACUAAUAAUAAUGAUUUUAUUAGUACUCCAAUUGCUCCCGCCACUAGUGCGGAAUCGUAUGAAAUCAACGCAGCUUUGCUGAAUCUUGUUAUGAAAGAGCAAUUCUCUGGCCUUCCUAGUGAAGAUGCCGCAUCCCAUCUCAAUAUCUUCAUUGAGCUUUGUGACAUGCAGAAGAAAAGAGAUGUGGAUAAUGACAUGAUUAAGUUGAAACUUUUUCCUUUCUUGUUGCGAGAUCGCGCAAAAACUUGGUUUUCUUCUUUGCCUAAAAAUAGUAUCGGUUCUUGGGAUAAGUGCAAAGAUGCUUACAUAUCCAAGUAUUUUCCACCGGCUAAGAUCAUCUCCUUACGUAACGAUAUCAUGAAUUUCAAGCAACUUGAUCAUGAACACGUUGCACAAUCUUGGGAGAGGAUGAAGCUUAUGAUUAGAAAUUGUCCCGCUCAUGGCUUGAGUUUGUGGAUGAUUAUACAAAUCUUUUACGCUGUCUUGAAUUUCGUUUCUCGCAAUAUCUUGGACUCCGCCUCAGGUGGAACAUUCAUGGAAAUCACGUUAGGAGACGCUACAAAACUCCUAGACAAUAUCAUGACCAACUACUCUCAGUGGCACACUGAAAGGUCGCCUGCUAGCAAAAAGGUGCACACUAUAGAAGAGAUUAACUCGCUUAGUGCUAAGAUGGACGAGUUGAUGAAUUUGGUUGCUAGUAGAAACGCUACCGUAGAUCCUAAUGACAUGCCACUAUCUUCUUUGAUUGAGAGUAGCAACGCUAGUUUGGACGUGAAUUUUGUUGGUAGGAACAAUUUUGGCAAUAAUAAUGCUUUUAGAGGAAACUAUGUUCCUAGGCCUUUUCCUAGUAACUCCUCUAACAAUUAUGGCAAUUCCUACGGCAACACUUAUGGAAAUCACAACAAAUUACCCUCUGAUCUAGAGAGUAAUAUCAAAGAGUUCAUCAACUCUCAAAAGAUUUUCAAUGCGUCCAUAGAGGAAAAACUACUCUAAAUAGACGAUUUGGCUAAAAGCGUUGAUAGGAUGUCUUGUGAUAUUGAUGCUUUGAAAGUUAGAUGCGCUCCUCCCAAGGUCAACUUGGAUGAAACUUUGAAAGUUAUGCGUAUCUCCAUGAAUGAGAGCAAAGAAAGAACCACCCAAAUUCGCGCUAGACAUGAAUGGUUUAAAAGGGUGCGUUCUAGUGAUGCAAAUCACGAAGAUCUUAAAGUGCUUGGUGUGUCUCCUCUUGCGUCUUUGUUUUCGCGUGUCAAACCUACUUAUGGAGGGGCUGGAUAUGAAUCCACUUUGGUUGAAAAACGCCCCAAUGAUUCGGAGUCCACCUAACUUGAUGAUAAAGGUGUGGAGAGUGGAGUAGAAGAAGUCAAAAUUUUGGGUAGUAAUGAAACUCCCACUUUGGAUUUCAAGGAAUUCAAUUAUGAUAAUUUCUCCUUGUUUGAAUGCAUUUCUUUGAUGCAAUCCAUUGCAAACUCUCCACAUGCUUAUAGCCAAAGCAAAGCCUUUACCGCGCAUAUCGUAGAUGGUAUGAUGAAAUCUCUUGAAGAGAAGCUCGAACUAGAAGUCUCUAUACCUAGAAAACUUCAUGAUGAGUGGGAACCUACUAUCAAAAUCAAGAUCAAAAACUAUGAGUGCAAUACUUUGUGUGAUUUGGGUGCUAGUGUUUCCGCGAUUCCAAAGUCUUUAUGUGAUAUUCUUGGUUUUCAUGAGAUUGAAGAGUGUUCUCUUAAUUUGCAUCUUGAGGAUUCUACUGUCAAGAAACCCAUGGGGAGGAUCGAUGAUGUUCUUAUUGUUGCAAAUAAGAACUAUGUACCCGUGGAUUUCAUUGUACUUGACAUAGAUUGCAAUCCUUCAUGUCCCAUUAUUCUUGGUAGACCUUUCCUAAGGACUAUUGGUGCUAUCAUCGAUAUGAAGGAAGGGAAUAUUAGAUUUCAAUUUCCUUUAAAAAGGGCAUGGAGCACUUUCCUAGAAAGAAAAUAAGAUUGCCUUAUGAAUCUAUGAUGAGGGCUACCUAUGGUUUGAGCACCAAAGAUGACUAUACGUGAUUCCAUCACUUUUUGCCUAGCUAAGGGCAUUAAACAAAAGCGCUUGUUGGGAGGAAACCCAACAAAUCUAUCCUUUUUCUUUCUAUUUUGUGUUUUCCACACUUUCAUAAUUCUGUUAUGAUUGUGCUUUUUGUGUUUCUUUUUGCGUUUGUGCCAAGCAAAACUGUUAUGAUUAGUCUUGGGGAUGAUCGUUUGGUCAUGCGGGAAAAGACAGAAACUUUCUGUAAACGAAAAGAAUUUUCAUUUUUUUUCUGUAAGAGAUUUUGAGCUGAUUCAUUUUUCUGCUGAUUUCUACGCAAAUUCUUCAGACUACCAUAAUUUUUCAGAAUUUUUGAAGUACCAUAGGUAUAGGAAAUAUACAGAUUGCUACAGACUGGUCUGAUGUUAACAGAUUCUGUUUUUGUUGUGUUGGUUGCUUAUUUUUAUGAAACUAUGGAUAGUAUCGGGGGGUAUUAUGCAUGGAAUAUUGAAAGUACAGUAACCCAACAUCAGCACAAGUAGAAUUUAAGUUUGCUACAGUACCUAAGGAAGUGGUGGUUUGCUUUCUUGUACUAAUGUUAUCACGAGUUUCUGUUUAAGUUUCGUGUUGUGAAGUUUUCAAGUUUUGGUUGAAGUUCUUAUGGACAAAGAGAUAAAGAGUGGAAAGAGCUUAAGCUGGGAUGCCCAAGGCACCCCAUGAGAUUCAAGGAUGCCAUAAAAGCCUAAGCUUGGGGAUGCCCCGGGAAGGCAUCCCCUCUCUCGUCUUCAAUCCAUCGGUAACAUUACUUGGGGCUAUAUUUUUAUUCACCACAUGUUAUGUGUUUUUGCUUGGAGCAUCUUGUAUCGUAGGAGUCUUUUAUUUUUGUUGUGUCACAAUCAUCCUUUCUGCACACCUAGAUAGAGAGACAUGCACACAUCGUGAUUUUGUCGAGCUUCACUUAUAUCUUUUGGUAGACAAUUCAGCUCACAUGUGCUUCACUUAUAUCUUUUGAGCUAGAUACUUUUUCUCUAUGUGCUUCACUUAUAUCUUUUAGAGCGCAGAGGCACGUGGCUUGGUAGUUGAUCUAUGAUUUGAAAGUAGUCUCAAAAGGGGUAGUUAUCCAAAGGGAUACGAAAACUUCCACCUCCAUGUGCAUUGAAUAGUUAGAGAAAUUUGAUUCAUCUCAAUUAGUUUUGAGUUGUGGUUAUGGUAAUAUUGAAGUCAUGCUAGUAAGGUGUUGUGGAUCUAGAAAUACUUGUGUUGAAGUUAGUGAUUCCCGUAGCAUGCACGUAUGGUGAACCGCUAUGUGAUGAAAUCUGAGCAUGAUUAGUAUAUUGAUUGUCAUCCUUUGCGUGGCGGUCGGGAUCACGCGAUGGUUUAUACCUACCAACCCUUCCCCUAGGAGUAUGCGUUGAAUGCUUUGUUUCGAUUACUAAUAAAACUUUUGCAACAAGUAUAUGAGUUCUUCAUGACUAAUGUUGAGUCCAUGGUUUAGAUGCACUUUCACCUACCACCAUCACUAUCUUCUUAGUGCCGUGCAACUUUCGCCGGUGCACAAAACCCGCCAUUAGCCUCCCUCAAAACAGCCACCAUACCUACCUACUAUGGAUUUUUCAAAGUCAUUCCGAGAUAUACUGCCAUGCAACUACCACCAUGACAUGUGCCACCACGUCUACAUUGCCAUUGCAUGAUCGUAAGAUAGCUAGGAUGAUGUUUCCGUUGAUGUCUAUGCCAUGCUAGAUCAUUGCCACAGUACACUACCGAAGGCAUUCCAUAUAGAGUCAUAGUUGCUCUAAGUUUUGAGUUGAAAGUGUGAUGAUCAUCAUUAAUGGAGCAUUGUCCCAUAUGAGGAAAUAAAAGAGGCCAAAGAAGCCCACAAAAAAAAGAGAGGCCAAAGAGCCCACCAAAAAAAUGAGAGAAAAAGAGAGAAGGGACAAUGCUACCACUUUUUCCACACUUGUGCAUAUUAAGCACCAUGAUCUUCAUGAUUGAGAGUCUCUCGUUUUGUCACCACCAUAUAGCUAGUGGGAAAUUUUCAUUAUAUAACUUGGCUUGUAUAUUCCAAUGAUAGGCUUCCUCAAAAUUGCCUUAGGUCUUCGUGAGCAAGCAAGUUGGAUGCACACCCACUAGUUUUCUUUAAGAGCUUUCACAUACUCGUAGCUCUAGUGCAUCAUUUGUAUGGCAAUCCCUACUCAUUCACAUUGAUAUCUAUUGAUGAGCAUCUCCAUAGCUCAUUGAUAUGCCUAGUUAAUGUGACUAUCUUCUCCUUUUUUCUCUUGCAACCUCCACCACAUCCCACACCAUAUAUAGUGCUAUAACCAUGGCUCACGCUCAUGUAUUGCGUGAGAGUUGAAAAGGUUUGAGAAAGUAAAGGUGUGAAACAAUUACUUGGCCAAUACCGGGGUUGUGCAUGAUUUAAAUUCGUUGUGCAAUGAUGAUUUUCUUUUGUCCUUGUUAUUUUGAAAGUUCAUGAUUACCUUGCUAGUUUGCUUGAAUUAUUAUUGUUUCCACGUCAAUAGCAAACUAUUGUUUUGAAUGUAAUGGAUCUGAACAUUCACGUCACAUAAGAGGAAUUACAAAGGACACCUAUGCUAGGUAGCAUGAAAGCAUCAAAAAUCCAUUCUUUAUCACUUCCCUACUCGAGGACGAGCAGGAGUUAAGCUUGGGGAUGCUUGAUACGUCUCAAACGUAUCUAUAAUUUUUGAUGGUUUCAUGCUCUUAUCUUGUCAUCUUUGGAUGUUUUAUGUACCUUUUAUAUAUUUUUUGAGACUAACUUAUUAAUUCAGUGCCAAGUGCCAGUUCCUGUUUUUCUGUGUUUUUGACUCUUUUCAGAUCUGAUUUUGGAACGGAGUCCAAACGGAAUAAAAACCCCUAAAUGAUUUUUUCCCGAAGGGAAGAAGAUCAGGGGGCCUCUGGGCCAAGCCAGGUGGGCUCCAGGGAGCCCACAAGCUCCCACUCCUCCACCAGGUGGGAGGCGGCGGUGUCAGGGCUUGUGGCCUCCCUGGCCGCCCCCUGACCUAGAUCCUUGGCCUAUAUAUUCCCAAAAAUUCAGAAAAAAAUCAGGGAGCCUCGAAAAUACUUUUCCGCCGCCGCAAGCUUCCGUUUCCACGAGAUCUCAUCUGGAGACCCUUCCCGGCGCCCUGCCGGAGGGGACUUUGGAGUUGGAGGGCUUCUUCAUCAUCAUCAUCGCCCCUCCAAUGACUCGUGAGUAGUUCACUUCAGACCUACGGGUCCGUAGUUAGUAGCUAGAUGGCUUCUUCUCUCUCUUGGAUCUUCAAUACAAAGUUCUCCAUGAUCUUCAUGGAGAUCUAUCCGAUGUAAUCUUCUUUGGCGGUGUGUUUGUCGAGAUCCGAUGAAUUGUGGAUUUGUGAUCAAAUUAUCUAUGAUAUAUAUUUGAGUCUUUGCUGAUUUCUUAUAUGCAUGAUUUGAUAUCCUUGUAAGUCUCUCCGAGUCUUGGGUUUUGUUUGGCCAACUAGAUCUAUGAUUCUUGCAAUGGGAGAAGUGCUUGGUUUUGGGUUCUACCAUGUGGUGACCUUUCCCGGUGACAGUAGGGGCAGCAAGGCACACAUUAAGUAGUUGCCAUCAAGGGUAAAAAGAUGGGGUUUUCAUCAUUGGUUUGAGAUUUUCCCUCUACAUCAUGUCAUGUUGCUUAAGGCGUUACUCUGUUCUUAUGGACUUAAUACACUAGAUGCAUGCUGGAUAGCGGUCGACGUGUGGAGUAAUAGUAGUAGAUGCAGAAAGUAUCGGUCUACUUGCUUUGGAUGUGAUGCCUAUAGAUAUAAUCAUUGCCAUAGAUAUCGUCACGACUUUGCACGGUUCUAUCAAUUGCUCGACAGUAAUUUGUUCACCCACCGUCUACUUGCUUUCAUGAGAGAAGCCACUAGUAAACACUACGGCCCCCGGGUCUAUUCACAUCCAUCGUUUACACCUCCGCUUUUACUUUGCUUUGUUACUUUGUUGCUUUCAGUUCUCACUUGGCAAACAAUCUAUAAGGGAUUGACAACCCCUUCAUAGCGUUGGGAGCAAGCUUUUUGUGUUUGUGCAGGCUCUUGUGAUACUCCUCCACUAGAUCGAUACCUUGGUUCUCGAACUGAGGGAAAUACUUACCACCGCUACGCUACAUCACCCUUUCUGCUUUGAGGGAACACCAACGCAAGGCUCCAAGGCCACGGGGGAAAUCCUUUGCACACUUGCCUAGGAAGUCCCUUAAGGCGUAGCUGCAGCAGAAGGAUCAAGCCAAGUAUUCUCCCGUCAACGUGCCUAUUUCUGGCGCCAUUGGAAGGUCUUUUGUUGCAGUAGCAAUGUCCAAGUCACUCACAAGUGCCUUAGGAGCACUUAUGAUAGUUGCCCACUCCUCAACAGUUGACUCGUAUGUGUGACCUUCACUCAUACACACAAUUCCACCAUCUGGAUAGAAAUGUGCAGUGGAGUAGAACCGCAUGAUCAUCUCGUCGUUCCAAGCAGUCAUCUCUUUCCCAACAAAAUCCUCUAUGUCAAUAGCCGUGGAAUUUUCUCUUACAUGAGGAAAGAAGUCCUCAUGCUUCUUGAUGCAGUCCCAGUCUACAUACCUCAUAUUGCUCACAGCUGGACUCUUGUCCAAAAGCACAGUCUCAUAGAAGUCUUGUUGUUCCUUGGUGUGAAAGCGACCAUCAACAAUUGUUCUCCUCCUAAUAUCAUAAGGAUCUGCUUCUCACCACAGUCUUGGUCCUUGAUCUCUUCUCUUCUUCAUGUCAUCAGCGACAUGAUGAGCAUCAUUAUGCUAUAGGAGUUGAGCUCUCAUAGCAUGUGAGCUGACAUACUGUUUUCUCAUAGUUUUCUUGACCGUGACCCUCUCCUUCUACUCGUGGGAGAUGCUUUCUUCAGGAAUAAAGUCAUCAUCCUCCUCAUCAGAAUUAAGCUUCUUCCUGGACCUGGUAUAAGCCUUUGGCAUAUCAUGAGAACUUGGUGUUCCUCGGUCUGAAGAAGUCUUCUCAUGACUAGUGUGUGAGUCUACAUCCAUGCUUUGCUCCCUAAAGUCAUUCUGGCUAUCCUCAGAACCUGAAAUGUUGAUAAGCUGACAAGCAAACAAGUUGAUCCUGUGAAUAGUUAUAGAAUACUAGGAAUGGAUGAGCAUUACAAAACCCAAACAUUUUCAAAAAAUGAACUUAAAAUUUUAGUUGUACGUAUCACUUUUUAUGUGUUUCGAUUCCACCGAGAUGAAAAACAAGGAGCUUCCGAGACUGGCCAUCUGCUUUACAGAGACUUGACCACACUUUUCGGUAGCACCGAAAAGUGAGACUUGGUAUCACCGAGAUUGUUCUCAGAAACCCUAGANNNNNNNNNNNNNNNNNNNNNNNNNNNNNNNNNNNNNNNNNNNNNNNNNNNNNNNNNNNNNNNNNNNNNNNNNNNNNNNNNNNNNNNNNNNNNNNNNNNNNNNNNNNNNNNNNNNNNNNNNNNNNNNNNNNNNNNNNNNNNNNNNNNNNNNNNNNNNNNNNNNNNNNNNNNNNNNNNNNNNUCUCAGAAACCCUAGAACAGGAAUUAGUGACACUGAUCCAGUUAAUUUGGUGACUCCGAAACACAGAAAAUGGAGACCUAACCCUAAAAUUUAUCGUCCGUCUAUGCUACGGGAUAUGAUUUGUGGACGAUUCAAUCUCAUAUUGUGGAAAGAUUUGGAAUAAUCCUAAUGCGCAUGAACAUGAUAGGGGGGGGGGGGNNNNNNNNNNNNNNNNNNNNNNNNNNNNNNNNNNNNNNNNNNNNNNNNNNNNNNNNNNNNNNNNNNNNNNNNNNNNNNNNNNNNNNNNNNNNNNNNNNNNNNNNNNNNNNNNNNNNNNNNNNNNNNNNNNNNNNNNNNNNNNNNNNNNNNNNNNNNNNNNNNNGGGGGGGGGGGGGAAGGGGCGAGAUCUUUACCCUAAUCUUGGUGAAGAUCUCCUACGGCGGUGACGACAUGAGAGAAUGCAGUCGUCGGCGAGGACUCCAGCGGUGAGGGCGUACGGGAGAUGAACGACGAUGUCCUGGAGACACGAGCACGACAACUUGGGCUUGCAGGAGACGGUGUUUGAGAGUGAAUUUCAAAAGGUGGGUCUGCUGGAUAUAUAUAUCCCCUAGUUUUCGGUGACACCGGUUCGAAAAUGUUGGUGCCACCGAGUUUCGUAAAUGUCAGGUGACAGUGAAACUAGGUAAGGCCGAGAUUUGCAAAUCGUUGGUACCGAGAUUCUCAAAACAUAUCGACCCUAGUGCUUCCAUGGGACCGAGAUUUUGUGGUUGGUCACACCGAGUGGCACUUGGGAGGUUUUGGAAGUUAGCUCUUGUCAAGACGGAUCUCCGAGGGCUCCUCACACAGUGUCCCUAAAGNNNNNNNNNNNNNNNNNNNNNNNNNNNNNNNNNNNNNNNNNNNNNNNNNNNNNNNNNNNNNNNNNNNNNNNNNNNNNNNNNNNNNNNNNNNNNNNNNNNNNNNNNNNNNNNNNNNNNNNNNNNNNNNNNNNNNNNNNNNNNNNNNNNNNNNNNNNNNNNNNNNNNNNNNNNNNNGCUUUCUCAAAUUUUGUGAUAUAGCAUGAAUAUAAUUUGGUAUGAUAAAGCAUAUAUAGCUAGAGAGGGGGUACUUAGGCAUUCUUGUAUAUCCAAUUGGCCAAAUAAAGAUGGAAAAGCCAAAUAACAACAAUUGGAUAUCCUCGAAUGAGCAAAGAUAUGCAUAUCAACAUGCUCACACAAUAAGAUGUCAAAUAAAACAUGGCAAACAUGCAUAACCACUCAGUAUCUACGAAGCACUUUGGCGAUGACAAUUGUUAGAGCAUAUUNNNNNNNNNNNNNNNNNNNNNNNNNNNNNNNNNNNNNNNNNNNNNNNNNNNNNNNNNNNNNNNNNNNNNNNNNNNNNNNNNNNNNNNNNNNNNNNNNNNNNNNNNNNNNNNNNNNNNNNNNNNNNNNNNNNNNNNNNNNNNNNNNNNNNNNNNNNNNNNNNNNNNNNNNNNNNNNNNNNNNNNNNNNNNNNNNNNNNNNNNNNNNNNNNNNNNNNNNNNNNAUGGACUAAUGGUUGCUGAUACAUCCAAAAUGCAUCACUAUUUUGUAUCAUAAUUUGUCUCUAUUCAUUGAUAUAUUUCACUUUAUGAUGGUGUACUUAUAGUGUUUUGGCUUAUUUUACACAGUUUACAACUUUCCGGUGCCGAAACAGCAGACGCAGGAUUCAGCAGAGAAAAUAGCACGAAGAGUUGCAAUAUCAGAAACAUCUCCAAUUGCGCUAAAAUUUUGAGGGAAGAAGUUUUCGAACGGAUCCCGAAGACAGGCGAAAGAAGGGCCGGAGGGGGGACACAGGUCACCCAGGCGACCUGCUGGCGCAGCCCCCCUAGGCCGCGCCAGGAGGCCGCCUGGGUGAUGGGCCCCACCUCCGGUGCUCUCCUUUGGCCUAUAUGUUCCUCUUGACCUAAAAGUUUUGGGGACAUAAGAGUUUUCGCGAUUCCGCCGCCGCUCCGUGAUGGAAACCUACAGAGAAGAAAAGACCUUUCCGGCGGGAAGAUUCCACCGGGGAGAACUCCUCCCGGAAGGGGAGAUCGUCCUCAUCGUCAUCACCAUCGUCAUGGGCAUCAUCGAGAUCAUCAUCACCAUCAUCACCAACACCAGCAUCACCAGCAUCAUCACCAUCAUCACCAUCAUCACCAACACCAGCAUCACCACCAUCAUCACCAACACCAGCAUCACGGGCAUCAUCGAGAUUAUCAACACCAUCAUCACCAUCGUCACGGGCAACAUGUGGAUUGCCAUAAGGUAAUGAUAGGGUGAGUAGUGGAGAUCAAUGCAAUGAUGAUAGUGGGCUUAUUAUUGAUGAUCCUUCAUCACUAUAUUAUUGCAAUGCUUCAUCUUUGGGCGUUAACACUUUGAGCACUCUAAAUGUUUUACAUGAUUAUGGUGAUAAUCCAUGCAUAUCAUGUAAAAUAUGCUUGACUAAAUCUCACGAUGAUAUGCUUUCUAUAUCUUGUUGCCAUGAUAAAAAUGUAUCUAUUUCCUCGAGUUGUUGUGCUAACAAUGUAGAGGAAAUCCAUCACUCCAUGGAACAAGAUGUGGCCUUAAAGGAUGCUUCAUGGGAUCCACAUCAUCAUCUAUUGUUUCUCACUUUUGCCUUAUGGCUAAGGCUUCAAAGGUAUCUCCCACUUUGAAUCCCAAUAUAUCUCAUGAUGAUGAUGUUGAUGAUAAUGAGGAUGAGGAUAAAGAUGACGAGAGUGAUGAUAUUGCAUCCUUAAAAAUUAAGGGUGAAAUGAUUUUUAAAUCUCUUUAUAAGAAUAAACUUGCUUGUUCCAACUUCAUGGAAAUCAUGUCUAUUGCCACUGAGGGCAAGAAAUAUAUUGAGGAGUUGGAAGCUCAUCUCUAGGAGCAUGAGGCCACCAUUGAGAGAAUGGAAGGUCAUGAGUAUGAUUACGCUAAUGAGAUCGCGGAGCUAUCUCAAGCUCUUGAAGAAGAACGAACCACCAAGGAAUCUCUUGAGGAUACCUUUGCUCUAGAAUUAUCUAGAUUAAAUGAAUCUCAUAAUAGAGCGCUCGAGGUCGCUAAUGAUUUUAGAACUAAAAAUGAUAAGCUUGAAGUUGCACAUGCUAAACUCCUUGAGGACUAUGAGCACCUCUAAAAUGGCUCAAGGGCUAUUAAGAGUUCUCUGAUCUAACUCAUCAAGUCUCAUGCUCAACUUGAAGCGCAUAUGCUAAAGAUCUUGCCAAGUUGCCUUCUCCUCUUAUUUUAAUAAUGAUGCUUGUGCUACUAACUCUAUUUAUUGUGAAGCAUAUACUUCAAAGGAGAAUGUUGAGCUAAGGGCUCAACUUGAGUUGCUAUCUAGCAAUUAUGGGAAAUUAGAAGAAAGUCAUGCAAUGCUCACAAGCUCUCAUGAUGAUCUUCUAGUAUCCCAUAAUGUGCUAAAAUUAGCUCAUGAGGCUACUACUACCAAGAUAACAUCAAGUAAGCCUCAUGUGGACAUUAGCACUACUUCUAGUCAAAAUGCUAUAUUGCCAUGUGCUAGUCCUCGUAAUUCAUCUACUCACAAUGUUGCUACAUCUUGUGAUGAAUUACUUAUCUUGCCUUGUUGCUCUAACAAUGAAGCUUAUACUUCCUCUAGUACUUGUGUUUAUACUAACCAUGUAGAGGAAAUCGAAGAGCUCAAGGCCCAAGUCGCUUCAUUGAAUAAAGAUUUGGAAAAGAGUCAGGAAGGGAUGUCCACACUCAACAAUGUCUUGUGUGGGCAAAAAUCCCCAAUUGACAAAGGUGGACCUGGGUUCAAUUCUAACAAGAAGAACAAGUCCAAAAACUUCAAGAAGAAGGGCCAAGAACAAAUCAAGAAUUCUGCCAAGAUUGUUUGCUUCUAGUGCGAAAUUGAAGGGCGCCAUGUUAGACCUUGCCCAUUAAAUAAGAAGCCCCAAAGUCACAAGCAACAAGGGAAGCGGCCACAAGUUCAAUCACAUACUCAACUUCAAGUUGAAGAAAGGCCUCUUCCCAAGAAGACCCAAUCCAACAUUCCUCAAGUUGAGAAAUCAAUUGGGAAGAAAUUAAAGGGUAGAUGUUGCUACUUAUGUCGUGAGAAGGGUCACUUCGGCUCUUCUUGCACGAGAGGUAAUUUAUCCAACCCAAUCAUUAUUAAUGAUAUCUAUUCUCUUGGUAAGGAUAAGGUUGGCAAUGUGUUUGCCAAGUUUGUUGGUACUCAAAGUGGUGUCAAGAAAAGAACCAUUUGGGUAGCCAAGCCUAUUGUGACUAACUUCUUAGGACCCAACGUGGUUGGGGACCAACAAGCUCAAACUUGAUCAAUAUGUGAUCGUGGAGGACAUUGGAGACUUGGUUUCAUCUUGAAGAAUUAAUGGACCUUCAUAAUUCAUAUUAUCUCAAGUCAAGUCAUUUGGAUUAUCAAGUUUCUAUCUUAUAUCCAAUGUGCCUCCUUACGGCAACUUGCACUUAAAUUGGUUACAUUGUUUGUUACUUUCCCCUUUGCAUAAUGUGGUUUUGUACCAUGCAUAUGUUUGUAUAUGUUGUGCUUCCAACUUACUUAUCUUGAGUAAUCAAGUAUGUGUAUAUUGGUUUGCACAUCAUGUACAUGUGAGUCUUGUAUUGAGCCUCUUUGCAUCUUGUUUGUAUCUUUGUUGGCUCUUUUGAGAGAUUAAUGGAUUAUACCAUUGUGGGGGAGUGAUGUUCUCUGUGCACCUCACAAUCCUAUAAAUGUGUAUACAUGAGUAAUACCACUUAGUAUUGAUAUUACAAGUUUAUCUAGUCUCUAGCUGGUAUCUCCUGCUCAUGAGAAAUUCAUAUUCUAAAUGGUCCAUUAAUUAUCUCUUGUUGGGUUUCAUUUGCCACUUGUUAAUAAUGUUAGGUUAUCACAUUAUGGGGGAGUAAUAUGCUAUGUGCAUAUUACAAGCCUAGAAAAUGUGUAUAUUUGAGUUAUUGCCACUUAGUGUUGAUAUUGUAAAUUAUCUUGUUCCUAGGUGGCAUGUUAUCUCUACAAGUGCCAUUUGCUUGCAUUUUAGGAGUAAAGUUGAUGUUGGAUAUUUUUGCAAUCUACCAAUGGAAAUUGUUUCCAAGUACUUCUUGUCCUUUGACAAUUGGUAUUCUUUUCAUGUGGUAGAAAUUGCUAAUCAUCUUUACAUUGGAUUUUAUGUAUCAUUUGUCUUCCUUGUCUCUUGUGGAUUGGUUUGAACAUGUCUUGUGUUUCUACAUAUAUAGAGAAAGUGAUGAUACCAUCUUGUGCAUUUUGUAUUCAAAUGGAAAUUCUAUAUAAUGCACAUCCCUUGGGGGAGCUAUCCUAUUUUCUUUGGAACACGCUCUUUAUACGUCUAUCGUAAAAUCUUUUGAUCCCUUGGGGGAGCUAUCCUAUUUUCUUUGGAACACGCUCUUUAUACAUCUAUCAUAAAAUCUUUUGAUCCAUUGGGGGAGCUAUCCUAUUUUCUUUGGAACACUCUCUUUAUACGUCUAUCAUAAAAUCUUUUAUCCCCAUCAAGUGUGUGUUGAUGGGAGGCAAGUCUUGCUCUUUAUGAUGUUUUGUGCCAUCAUGAAAAUUUAUAGAGGGUUUGGUUUGUUUGGAACCUAGCUCUUUUGGAAACUAGAUACCUCGUGUUUGUUUUCCUUCAAUUGGUAUUUUGUUUCCUUUUGUCUGGCAUGUGUCAAUGGAUAUCAUUCUUUGAUGUAUCUUUUAAUUGGUAUCCUUCAAGUGAUAAUUUUUUGUUUGGUAUUUUAUUUUCACUUGAUACCUUGUCUUUUGGUGUCUUAUCAACUACGUGUUGAUUUGAUUUUUGAAUGCCUUGAGCAUGCAUAUUUACUAUAUACAUAUAGUUUCUUUUGCAUGCUUUCUUUCGUUGACCCAAUAUAUAGGGGAAACUCCACCUUGUCAUAAAUUGGCUAAAGUGUGCAUGAAAUUCAAAUUCAUAUCUAUAUGCACAUAUUUAUGUGGAAUUUGUCCUAUGUAUUGUUGGUUUUCUAACUCUUUCGUCCCAAUGAGUUUGGGCACCAUUUUGUUUGUUUUGUUGUUCUAGGAACAAUUGGGGAGGCAUUGGAUGCUCGGCUCACCUACAAGGAAGGUGUUAACACCAUGUGCUUAUUGGAGCCAAGUUAGGAUGAUCAACAAACAACUAUCUACUACAUCAAUCGAGUGCUAUCUCGGUAACAAGUAUCUACUUUAUGCAUACAUUUCUUGCAUUCAACCUUUCGUAGGUUGCAUCAUGGCAUGAAUUUCUUUAUUCGUUCUUGUGUUAUUUGUUUCCUUCCUCAAAGUAUUCGAACGAUGAUGUCUUAUUGCUAGUUGGGAUGUCUUUGAUGUUUAUAAGUUGGAAGUUCAUAUUGCACAAUAAGAAAAUAUUAGGCCAUGUGCUAUGCUUUCAAGCAAAGAUCUUAUUGGUAUAUUUAUGACUUCCUUUUGGAUAUCUUGUUUGUUCCUUCUUGUAACCAUUUCGUGUGUACAUCUUUCUUUAUGGAUAUAUAUCAUCAUGAUUUUCUUCUACCUAGAAUAUUUUACACAUGAGAGAAGUUACAUCUCUAGUUGAUAUCCUCUUUUCUUUCACGUCCACCGUUGCAUUUCUUUUUUCAGUUUUUGGUGGCUUCAUGAAAGGAUUUGUCUUGAGUGCGGAUAUUUUAUCCUUGCAUCUUGAUGCACUCGUUGGUGGUGAAGAUUAUUUUUCCUCAUACAUGUCUUGACAAGGGUGUUGACAUUUUGGUUGGUAUCCCUCUCUUGACAAGUUUAUUAUUUCCUUUCUUCACCAUGGGUUGUCACAAGUGUUGGUUCUCAAUUUGUUUAUUAGUAGGCUUGUGAACCUAUUUGCUAGUAGUGUGUGUGUGGGAAGGAUAUGUCUUGCACUUUGUUAUUAUUUCUUCAAGACUAUAUUGAUGAGUAAUGCUCAUCCUCACCUUAGUCUUCUCAAGUGCCUUGCCAUGACUCACACACAUCAUUUUGGUUGAGCCUACUAUUAAGUUGCCUCUUUUACAUGUUGCUCAACCAUAUAUUUUGUGCAAGUGAUAUACUUAUUGUCUCAUCUAUUUCUUUGCACUUUUUGUGUGCUUUUAUUAAUUUUUGGGGAGCAACAAUCCUAUUUUGUGCACUUUUAUCAAAUACAAAAAAAAAGUUCUUAUUAGUGCACAAAUCAUGGGGAGCUUCUCUAGUUUUGAUAAAACACACUAUUGUCCUUAUCAUAAUAUAUUUUAUUCAUGUGGUUCGAAGGACCAUAUGAUUGCUUGUUCCUAUUGGUAUCUUUUGAUUGUGUGCUUCUCUCGUUUGUAUGUCUUUGUGACAUACAUCCUUCUUGCAAUCUUUGGAUCCUCGAUAUAGCUUGUUUUCCUCCAACGUUUAUCAUUGUAUUUGUGUAUUUCUUUGCACUAUUGUUGAGAAGUACACACUUUUUGGAGGACCACCUACUAUAUUGGCUUUCUAAACUUUUUGUCCAUUUUGGCAAUCCAUGCCAAUGGGGGAGAAGUUUAGAGAGUUUAGUUUGGUGAUGCAUAGAGGGUUUUGCUUUUAUUGCUUAAGCAUUUACAUCUUGUAUGCAUGCAUUAUAGCUUUGUAUGUGUGCGCUUGAUUAUGCUUAUUUCCUUAUAUAAACUCUCUUAUACUGAUUGUCAUCAAUUACCAAAAUGGGGGAGAUUGUUAGAGCAUAUUUCUCCAUAUGUGGUUUUGGUAAUUGAUGACAAUCCCUAUGGACUAAUGGUUGCCUUAAGUUAUAUUCGAAGGACUUGUCCAUAUGCACUUCUUGAAGUCCAUCUGUUGGUGUCAAGGAGUUUAUAUGAUGACCAAGGUGGUAUUCAAGGUACUAUCCAAAGAUUGGUCAUAAAGAUACAAGGUUGAUCAAGACUAACCAAAGAGUAAAUCAAGAUGAUCAACACACAAAGUGUACAAGAUGUACCGAGAAGGACCAAGUGAUCCCAUGGUAUAGUAAGUAUUGUCCAUAACGCUUUUGUGUACUAACCCAUGGUCCUUGUGAGAGUUCUAUGUGGGGUUAGGUGUGUCUCCAUGGGUUUGCAUCAAGAGGACGAUCUCAUUCAACCUAUGAAGGAUGACAUCAAGUCGUGAUCGUCAUCAAGAUUGUGGUGUGCAAGUUCAAGUGGAGCAUCACGAAGAUAUCAUGCUUGAAGCUUGCCGUCCAUUGUGGUGGCAAUGGACUUGUGAAGAUGUGCUGAAGAGUGGCUCACCCAUAGUGAGUAUGGGGGAGAAAUCAACUAGCCUUCGUCAAACCAAGGCAAUCAAGAAAGGUGGUCCAUCUUGAGAAAGCCAAGAUCAUCAUCAUCUAGCUCAAGAGGACUAGGUGCAAGGUAUAGGUUUGGACUUGAUAGGUUUUCUACUUUAGGAUAGAUUGUCGUACUGCCAAGGGGGGCUCUCAAGUGAGUAGCUUGAUCGUAUCGUUCGUUGAGAGCUCAAACCAUGUGCAUUCCUUGCAUCAUAUUUCUUGGCUCUUGUUUGGUGUUUCUCUUUGUGAGUUUUAGAGCUUAUGACCAUCUUCAUGACAAGCUCGAGUUCAUUGAAAAUGGAGUCCAUAUGCAUCUUCUAUGAUGUUUUUGAUGUUCGAAGUUUUUGCCGGUUCUCCAUUCAUAGAGGUCUCACUUCUCUAUAUAAUUGGCAUUUUGUAACAUAAUUUUCUUAAUAUUUUAUGUCGCUGUUGGAUAGCUCUUGUCGUUGUGAAUUCAACAAGCUUGAGUUUGCUCGAUUCGGAGUUCAUAUGCUAAAGUUAGAGCAGUUUCAGUAUCCAGCGUAGUACCGCUCCUGGUGCCAGUGGUAGUACCGCCCCCGGAGUGGUAGUAAUUUUUUACUACCGCUCCCGGGCGGUAGUACCGCUCCCUCAGACGUUCUGGGAGCGGUAGUACCGCUCCGAGCAGCGGUAGUAAUGCUCUAGUCGGGCUGUGAGUGGGGGUAACGGUUGGAUUCGUUCCCCCACUAUAUAAAGGAGGUCUUCUUCCCCAUUGGACCUUAUCUAUCCGUUGAGCUCAUGUUCUUCCCCCAUUGUUGACCUUUUUAGAGCUUGCUAACUCUCAAUCCCUCCAAUGGUUCUUGCUAGUUCUUGAGGGAAAAGAGAGAGGAGAACUAGAUCCACAUCUCCACCAAUCACUUUCUCCUCUAUGUGAGGGGAACCCCUUGGAUCUUGAUCCUGGAGUUCUUUGUGAGCUCCUUGUUCUUCCUCUCAUAUUUCUCCAUAGCUUUUGUUGUUGUGGAGAGAUUUGAGUGUGAGGGACUUGACACUUCGUGUGUUCUUGCCAUUACAUUAGUUGCAUCGGUUUGAGUUCUCCGCACUGAUAUGUGGAAGUGAGAAGUUGAUAAGCUUUUUACCCUUGGGUACUUGGUACCCCUAGAAGCUUGGUGGUGCCUCGGAGCUCAAUCAUUGUGGUGUAAAGCUCCGGGCAAGCGUCGGGGUCUCCAAUUAAGUUGUGGAUAUUGCCCCGAGCAUUUGUGGUCACCUCGAAGCCAUAUGCCAUUAUGGUGAAGGUUCGUGGUCUUUUUGGGAGCCUCUGAUUAAUAUGUGGAGAUUGCCCCAACCUUGUUUGUACGGGUUCGGUGACCGCCCUCAAGGGUCCCUUAGUGGAAUCACGACAUCUAGCGUUGUGCGAGGGCGUGAGGAGAUUACGCUGGACUUAGUGGCAUCAUGGGGAGCAUUGUGUCUCCACACCGCUCCAAACGGAGAUUAGCAUCCGCAAGGGUGUGAACUUCGGGAUACAUCGCCGUCUCUGCGUGCCUCGGUUAUCUCUUACCUGAACCCUUACUUAUGCACUUUACUUUGUGAUAGCCAUAUUGUUUCUUGUCAUAUAUCUUGCUAUCACUUAGUUGUUUAUCUUGCUUAGCAUAAGUUGUUGGUGCACAUAGGUGAGCCUAGUUGUUUUAGGUUUUGUGCUUGACAAAUUAAACGUUAGUUUUAUUCCGCAUUUGUUCAAGCCUAAAACGAAAUUAUUUUAAAGCGCCUAUUCACCCCCUCUAGGCCACAUCCACGUCCUUUCAACAAUGUCAUCUAUAUAUAAGUAUAUUAACUUAGGAGUCAAGCAAGAAUACUUGAUCAUAGGUCAUAUUCAUCAUUUAAGCACAAGUGGGGUUGCCACUUUUAUAUAAAGCUUUCAGUGUGUGUACACCUUAAGAGAUGCUUUAACUCAAAUCUUAGAGUAAAGCUCCCCCUUGAUGUGUCAUACCCCUGAUAGGGAUAAACUAACCUUGGGUUUUGUCGUACAAGACUUCAUGUAGGUGUAGUAGUGGUGGAUGCUCACUGCCGAUGAAGAUCAUCUUGAGUUGGGAGCAGUUCUUGUUGUUCCUUACUCUUCUUACCUACAUGGGUUAGUACCAUUCACAAGGAACAAAUACAAGGAUAUCUAUGGAUAUGGAAUGAAGUUCAUAUGAGAUGAUGUCCAUUGAUAAAUUAAUUACCUUAUCCCUUGCUUACCUUUGAGGGAAUGUGUGACUCCUUGAGCUAAUGCAUAAGGUUGGGGUUGAUUUCAACUACUUCUUUCCAAAAUGAAUAAGAGUGAAUUUCAUUGGCGGAGUCGCCCCUCAAGAAAUUCUCUAGUUCUUAUUCUUGGGGACCCGUUCUUAUUCUUGGGGACCCGCAUCAACUUGAUGGGGAUCCUUGGAGUUGAGGUAGCACUUUAUGAAGUAGAGCUAGUAGUGGACUUGGGAAUCCACUUGACCAUGGCUUGGUGAUACGUCCCAAACGUAUCUAUAAUUUCUGCUUGUUCCAUGAUCUUUUGGGUGACAUUGUUAUAUGUUUUGCUACAGUUUUAUCUCAUUUUACACAUAUUUGGACUAACCUACUAACUCAGUGCACCCAGUGCCAAUUUCUAUCUACUGAUGUCUAUUUUGCAGGGGCUUUUACCAAAUUUUCCGAAACCCAAAAAAUUCCAGAAAAAAUAUAUAAAAAAUCAGCGAAACAGAAGCUUCCCGAUCACCGAAGGAGGGCCAGAGGGGGGCCAGGGGCCUCCCAGGCGGCCUGCUGGUGCGGCCAGACCCUAGGUCACGCCAGGAGGUUGCCUGGGUGGGUCCCACCUCCUCCGGUGCCCUCCUUUUGCCUAUAUUUAGAGUCCCGAGAGGAAACCCUCGCGGACUUUCUGGAAUCGCGAGUUUCUCCAUCGUUCCGCCGUCGUAGCACUUCAGAGAUCGGGAGCGCCAGGAGACCUCUUCCCGGCACCCUGUCGGAGGGAGGAUUGACAUCCGGGAGCUUAUCCACCGCCAUGGAUGCUUCUCGGACGUGUUGUGAGUAGUCCUCCUUGGACCAUGAGUCCAUCACCAGUAGCUAUGUGAUGUCUUCUCUCCAAUCUUGUGCUUCAAUGGUUAGUCCUUGUGAGCUGCCCUACAUGAUCAAGGAAUCUAUGUAAUUCUCUUGCUAUUGCUAUGCUCGUUUUGUUGGGAUCCGAUGGAUUAUGAGAUUAUGUUCAGAUUGUUAUGAGUUAUAUAUUUGAUUAUCAUUUUAUGUUAUGUUCCUUAGUGAUUCAUGCAUGUUCUCCGUUGCUUUUUAUUGCUUUGGUCAAGUAGUAGAUUGUAACUCCAAGAGGGAGCAUUAAGCAUGAUUGUGGGUUCAUGUCCCUCGAUGUCCAACUUGAGUGACAAAAACAUGAGACUAGGGCAUGUUCUUGUUGCCACCAGGGGGAAAACAACGAUGCUUGUGACAACGGUUGCAAGGAUUGUUUACCUUACGCAUGGUUCGUUAAUGUAGUUGUCCGUUGCUUUGAUUUUACACUUUGGGUGGGGCUCGCAACUUAAUACCGGAGAGAUGUUCUGGAUAGAUAUCUCAAAGUGGAUGGUUAGUAAGUACAUGCUGGUGAAUAAACGGUCUACUUGUCUUGGCAUACCGCCCAUUAAUAUUGAACCUCUAACUAUCAAGUAGCAUAAUGAGCAUUGCGGUGCGAUCAUAAUUCUGUCAAUUGCCCAACUGUGAUUUGGUUACCCUAGCAUAGUUGUUUAUCGUCUUUUGGGAGAGAGACAUCACUAGUGAACAUCAUGUGAUUCCGGUCCAUAUCACCAUCAUUGCUUACACCUCUAUCAUUUACCGCUUUCAUUUACUUUUCCGUCGCAAUCACUAUUACUUUCCCGCUUGUGUUUUGAUCCUUUGCAAACUACAAGGCCGGAGAGAUUGACAACCUCUGUGUACUUGUUGGGAGCAAAGUUAUUUGUUGUGUGUGCAGUUUCACGUCUUCUGCUAGCGCAGGGUGGAAGACACCUACUUGUUGAGCCUAGGAGUCCUCUUGGUUCGAUAAACGUUACAGUCUCCGUGUAAGGGAAAUCUGUUGCUGACUACAUCUCCACCUUCCACUUGGGGUAACCAAUGAGGGGCGAGAAGUAUAUCCAUCAACUCGUCAUCAAGCAAAUUUUUGGCGCCGUUGCCGGGGUCUCCAGUCUUCAAGAUAGGGGAGUUGCACGCUAUCUUUUACCUUUUCUUUUUAGUCUUGUUAGUUUGCUUGUUAGUUUUUUCUUUAGAGUCUUAUACCAAAAACCACAAAAAGUUAGUUGCUUUGUUCUUGCUUGUUACCGCUGCUAUGGGUUCCACCGAGAACACUGAGUUGUGUGACUUCACUAGUGAGGCUUAUGGAAAACUAAACUCUUAGUUCACUGCUUGGGGAAGGCCGCUUUACCACACCCAUUGUAGAGAAGUCUCCUCCACCUACUGAAUGUAUCCCAUUCAAAAUACCACUUGGGAUAAUUGAAAUAAUUAGGAAUGAUUGUUAUGCAGGAGAUGUAACAGUUAAUCCUAGUAUUCAUUUGUUGAAACUUACAGAACUUUGUGAGUUGUUUAAGAUUUCAGGUUUGACAAGUGUCACACCCUAUUUUCACCACAAGUAUUUUAUGUUGCAAAAAUCAGAGCUUGUUAAAACCUUUUCAAAUAAUGAUGUGAGUGCAAUGUGAACCCUUGUAUGAGUGAAUGCUUGCUUGUCUGAUGACUUAAUCCCAUGAAAACUUAUUAUUUUUCUUUCUUCAAAACCCCUUUUUCCUUUAUAUCAAGAUCACCUUCACCAUGUUGGGAUACACUACUAGCUCAUGAAGCCAAGUGGCACUUCCAACCAAAGUUGGUGAUCUGAUCCAAAUAUUAUUUCCAUUCAUUAAAAACAUUAAUUGGUGAUUUAAAAUAUUAUUUUCCGAUUUUAUAUCUAUGUUUGUUUCUAAGGCCAGUAAUGAUAUUCCCACAAGGAAAAUUGCUUUCCUGCCUUAGAAAAUUCUGAGUAAAUUCAUGGAAGCUUAGAAGGACAUAUAUUUUUCAUAUAUAAGAUUUUAAACCCUAUUUUAUAUUAAUAUUAUUUGAGUAAAACCCUGAAAACCAUUUCUGUCUGUUUUAGCUUUUUGAGAUGUUUCCAAAGGAAAUUAUCUCAAUAAAUUCCCAUAAAAUUACAGGAGCCCUCCCAAGCCAUAUUAGGUGCUCACCUAAAAUCUCACCUUGAUCCAAGGUGGGGAAAUGCACCUAAUGAGCCCAAAACCCUCUUUGUCCAGAGAAGAGUUGGAACAACUCAACAUUGCAAAGAUUCUCCAAUGGAGCUGAAACUUUGGAGAGGUGUUUGACACCCCAAAUGAGGACUCCACACAAAAGAUGGGAUUUGUGAGACUCUGUUUGGCCACGCUUCCUUUGUAAAGGACAGUACUGGUCAUUUUGAGGCAUUUUCAAGUUUACAAAGCCAAACUGGUUCAAUGGAGCUCAAAUUUNAGCCCUUACGAGUUUCCGCUACUCGAUGUAUCUGUUUAAUUUGGCCUUAGGCCUCGCUCUUGAACCCGACCUUCUGGUCGUUUGAUGUAAUAAUUUCGGUACUUGGAUGUAAGACUCUAUUAUUCAGUAUCUGUGUUCAGUGAACAUUGAUCCUUGGGGUCACUGGGCACGGCGAACUCGACUUGCUAGUCGGGGUCCCCACUUAACUGGUAUCAGAGCCAUCCUGACUACAGGAAGCCUUAGAUAGCAUGGACGUUAGCCGAGAACGUUAGAACGCCAGCCUUGCACAAGACUUUUGCGCAUACAACCUUCUGACUUCUCUCCUAUGCCUUGUAGAUGGCUGCCGUACCUGAGACGCUUCUGGAGACCGGCUUUCCACUACUUUUGGUGGAUUGUCUCGAGAAGUGCCACGUAUGUCGCACACCCAUCUUCCUCUACCACAAGCACUGGGUCAACGCCGACACUAAGGAAUAUCACGUGGACGUGAUAGUGAAGGCUAAUGACUCCCCGUCUAGUUGGUUCUUCGAAGGACCACAGAUGGGAGAACUGAUGUUGGCAGUGGAGAUGGCUGCACGAGAGGCGCUCGUGCAACUCCGCAGCAUCCUCCCCGAGAUGGCUAAUGAGCCUGUCACUCGUCACCUACCUUUCAUUAAGGAAGGAGUGGAUGGGAGUUGGACACUCACCCCAGCCACGGAGGAUGGGAUGCCAUUAAGGUUUCAGACCUACUUCAAUAUCUCGUCGGACACCCUGACGCACUUCCUAGUUAAGGAAUCAGUCAAGCUUCGCCAAGAGCUGCACCUAGUCAAGGGCCUGCUCCACACUGAGAAGAUGCAGAUCCAUAAGCUAAAGAAGGCAGGCGCACCUGAAGGGAGGACAGCUGUUGCCACUAGGGGUGGCGUGUUACCCAUCCAGGCAGUCCCUCUUCGGAGUCGCCGCCUGACAGCGGAAGAGUACACUAAGAUCUUCGCCGCCUCGCCUAAGAGACGCCUGAUGUGCGGAUUCUUUCUUCCACUCCUAUAAAGGAGGAAGAUGUUGAUGAAGAUGAGGAUCCUGUUGAGUCCGCCUUGAGACCGAGCAGUCCGCCGCGUAGGAUUUAGCAUAGGCAAUUAGGAGUACCCCGAGCAUAGGGUAUCCAUGUAUCCGUUUCUAAUUUGCGUAUGUGUGCAUGAUGUAAGUCACAUAUUGCCUUAGGCAGCCUGUAAGUGACUACAUCACCUAGUUUUUAUGAAUGCAAUUUCCAGUUUGUCAAAAACUUUGGUUUUGAAAACUUGGCACAUGCAUGUAUUGGACCCCCUCUUACUAGGAGCGAAUCCUUGUAUUCCCGAGCAAGGUGGCAUUUUGACCUGUUUGUUUCUAUGAAAGGAUGGUGAACGCAACCCGCAACAACACCUUCGGCAACCCCGGCGCUGGCUCCUCAGGGACGCCGCAGGGAACCGAAGGAGAAGCUCACGCUGGAGGUCACCACGAGCAGCCUAGAGACCUUCUGCCACCACCUCCUCCUGAGAACUUGACGAUGGCUCAGUUCCUUCAAGCUCUUCGGGAGGAGCAUCAAGCCAGCAAUGCCGCUAUUCAGCAGCUGACUCAAGUCUUGGUGGACAACCCGCCGCGGAAUGUGAAUGGCGGUGGUCGCUCUACUCUUUCUGAGUUCAUGCGGACUACACCCCCCAUAUUCACGGAGUCGAUGGAACCACUGGACGCCGAUGACUGGAUUCGCACCAUUGAAGACCUCCUUACGUUGGUCAAGUGCACCGACGAUCAUGAGAAGGUCCUUUAUGCUUCUCACUGUCUCGGAGGCACUGCCAGGGCAUGGUGGGAUGGAUUCCAGAUCAUGCGGGCAGGGAAAGUCAUCACUUGGGUGAUGUUCAAGGAAGGAUUUCGCGCGGCUCAUAUUCCACCUGGACUGAUGACCAUUAAGAAUCGGGAAUUCCGAGCCUUAAGGCAGGGCAGUGGAACUGUUAAGGAGUACCUAUAGAAGUUUAACCUCUUGUCGAGGUAUGCGCCCGAAGAUGUUAACACUGAGGCCGCUAAGGUGGAACGCUUCAUGGAAGGGUUACAUCAGUCCCUGCAAUACCAGCUGGUGGUUUGCGACUGCCAGACUUUCAGCGAGCUGGUUAACAAGGCGCUUAUGCUGGAAGACAAGUGUCGUGCGAUGGACGACAUCCGCAAGCGCAAACUGAUAGGCAGUGGGGGACCCAGUAACGCAAGACCAAGACCAUGGCAGUCAGCACCUGCAAGACCCAACUUUCAACAGCAGCAGUACAAGUAUCCGGUGUUCCGCCAGAAUUAUCAGCCUCAGGAGCAAGCCAAGCCAGCGGUCAACCCGCCGAACAACGGUGGAAUCAAGACCAACCCUCCGGGGCAAGUCACCUGCUUUGGGUGUGGUCAGACCGGGCACUAUUCCAGGCAGUGCCCCAACAAGAAGCCCGACGCACCGCGUCCCAAUGCACCCAACCCCGGUCAAGGUGCACCAGGAAGGAACCAGGCCCCCCGCAACCAGCAGUUCAAUGGCAGGGGCCGGAUCAAUCACAUCACUACAGAGGAGGCGCACGAAGACCCGGACUGCAUUCUGGGUACGUUCCUCGUGAGCUCAACUCCAGCAACAGUGUUGUUUGAUUGUGGUGCCUCGCAUUCUUUUGUUACUCAAGGGUUUGCAGAUAAGUGUGGCUUAAAACCCACUCUACUCCGUGGGCAGAUGGCAAUUCAAACCCCGGGAGCAGUAUUGCGAACCAACCUAGGGUGUAGAAGGGUCGAGAUAGUUAUCAAUGGGACGAGCUUCUUGGCAGACCUCAUUGUGCUUAAAUCGCAAGGUGUAGAAGUAAUCCUCAGCAUGGAUUGGUUGGCCAAGCACCAGAGUCUUUUGGACUGUGCCAACAGGGCUAUUACAAUGACAAGCAACCAAGGGGUCAAUGUCAAGUUUGUCUCUGAGCCAGUAUCGGCUCAAGUGCCUCGAGUCAACAGUCUAUCCGAGGUAGAACUUGAUCAAGUGCCUAUAGUUUGUGAAUACCCGGAUGUCUUUCCUGACGAGCUACUCGGAAUGCCUCCUGACCGAGACAUCGAGUUCCUCAUUGGGCUCAUGCCCGGAUCAAGGCCUAUAUAUAAAAAGCCUUACAGGAUGGGUUCCAAAGAGCUGGCAGAGCUGAAGAAGCAGCUGGAUGAGCAACUCAGGAAAGGGUUCAUCCGUCCGAGUGCAUCACCUUGGGGAUCACCUGUUCUAUUUGUUUCAAAGAAGGAUGGUACCAUUCGACUCUGCGUCGAUUACCAUUCUCUUAAUGAAGUCAAAAUUGAGAACAAGUACCCGCUCCCCAAGAUCGAAGACCUGUUUGACCAGUUAAACGGGGCCAAGGUAUUUUCCAAAAUCGAUCUUUGAUCGGGAUACUACUAGUUGAAGAUCCGACCUAAAGAUAUACCCAAGACUGCAUUCGUGACCCGGUACGGUCUAUAUGAAUGCACGGUCAUGCCCUUCGGUUUGACUAAUGCCCCAGCCUACUUCAUGUACCUGAUGAACAAGGUCUUCAUGGAAUAUUUGGACAAGUUUGUCGUCGUGUUCAUUGAUGACAUAUUAAUCUUCUCCAAGUCCGAAGAGGAGCAUGAGCAACACCUGAGGCUAGUUCUGGGAAACCUUCGAGAGCACCAACUUUAGGCCAAAUUCAGCAAGUGUCAGUUCUGGCUGAACGAAGUUGGAUUUCUGGGUCAUACCCUGACGGCACGCGGUUUGGCCGUAGAUCAGUCCAAGAUUACUACAGUGACCAACUGGGAAUCACCAAAGGACGUGAAGGAUGCCAGGAGUUUCCUCAGGCUCGCGGGAUACUACCGCAAGUUCGUAGAAGGAUUCUCCAGCAUCGUUCGACCUAUGACUCAGCUCUUGAGGAAAGGUCGGAAGUUCGAAUGGACACCGGCGUGUGAAGCAAGCUUCCAGGAGCUGAAGAAGAGGCUAACUACCGCCUCGAUAUUGGCUACCCCAGACAUCAACAAGGAAUUCGUGAUAUAUUGUGAUGCCUCUGGAACCGGGCUCGGUGGAGUCCUGAUGCAAGAUGGCAGGGUCGUGGCGUACUUGUCACGGCAACUGCGACCGCAUGAGGAGAACUACGCCACCCAUGAUCUCGAGCUAGCAGCUGUAGUGCAUGCUGUGAAGACGUGGCGACAUUACCUUCUGGGGAAGCGAUGUGAGAUAUAUACAGACCACAAAAGUCUGAAAUAUAUCUUCACUCAGAGGGAGCUGAAUAUGAGGCAGCGGAGAUGGCUUGAGUUAAUCAAGGAUUACGACCUCAGCAUUCAGUAUCAUCCCGGCAAGGCGAACGUGGUAGCCGAUGCCUUAAGCCGGAAGGCAGGCUCCUUGAAUGUCACGCUCAAGGAAAGGUUACCCGUCUUGUAUGAAGAGAUGGAAGACUUCGGGCUUGAGAUAGUCGAACUAGGGUACUUGGCCAACCUCGAGGUCAAGCCUACUCUGGCAGACGACAUCAAGGAAGCCCAGAAGGGGCACAAGAGUAUCGAAGGCCUCAAGAGGAAGGUGCGAGAAGGCAAAGCCCCAGGAUUCUCGAUUGAUGAGCAAGGAGUACUGUGGUACGGGAAGCGCUUGUGCGUGCCUAACAAGGCCGAACUUAAGGACUUGAUCCUGCAAGAGGCUCAUGACACACCGUACUCUAUCCAUCCAGGUGGUACCAAGAUGUACCAAGACAUCCGAGAACGAUUCUGGUGGCAUGGCAUGAAGAGAGAAAUUGGCUCCUAUGUCGCUAAAUGCGAUGUAUGCCAGCGAGUCAAGGCUGAACACCAGGGACCUGCUGGAUUGCUGCAACCUCUUCAAGUGCCAGAAUGGAAGUGGGAUAAAGUCGGCAUGGACUUCAUCAUCGGGUUGCCCCGGUCGAAUAAGGGUCAUAACUCCAUUUGGGUCAUAGUCGAUCAUUUGACCAAGGUGGCCCAUUUCAUCCCCGUUAACACCACCUACGAUGGCAGCGAGCUGGCCAGUCUGUACAUUCAUCGAGUGGUGAGUCUCCAUGGAGUUCCCAAAGAGACCGUGUCCGACCGCGGCACGCAAUUCACCUCAAGAUUCUGGAAGAAGUUUCAAGAAGCCCUCGGAACCAAACUCUCCUUCAGUACGGCUUUCCACCCGCAGACAGGCGGACAGACCGAGAGGGUGAACCAGAUACUUGAGGACAUGCUCCGCGCUUGUGUUUUGGCUCACGGUGCCAAGUGGGAAGACUGCCUGCCGUUUGCUGAGUUUUCUUACAACAACAGCUACCAGUCCAGUCUUCAGAUGGCCCCAUUCGAAGCGUUAUAUGGGCGGAAGUGCCGCACCCCGCUCAAUUGGUCCGAAACCGGUGAAGGACUAGUUUUCGGACCAGAAGCACUGCAGGAAGCAGGGGACAAGGUUCAGCUUGUCCGAGAAAACUUGGAGGCAUCUAAGUCAAGGCAGAAGAGCUAUGCGAACCCUCGCCGCAGAAACGUGGAGUUUGUUCCCGGAGACCAAGUGUACUUGCGAGUCACGCCUCUCAAGGGGACCAAGCGUUUCCACGUCAAGGGGAAGCUAGCUCCAAGGUUCAUUGGACCCUUCAAGAUCACGGCAAGGCGCGGGGAAGUAGCUUAUUAGUUGGAGCUACCUCCUGAGCUUUCGGGUGUGCACAACGUGUUUCACAUGUCAUAGCUUCGGAAGUGCUUGCAAGUGCCGAACCGUCCCGAUCUUUACAAGGACAUUGAUCAUCAAGCUAUUGACCUUCAACCGGAUCUUACCUACCGCGAGAGACCGAUCCGCAUUUUAGAUGAAGCCGAGCGUUGCACCAGAAGCCGCACCAUCAAGUUUUUCAAGGUUCAGUGGAGCAACCAUACCGAAGCAGAAGCCACAUGGGAACGUGAAGACUAUCUCCGAUCAGAAUUUCCCAAGCUAUUUAACGCUUAGCUUAGGAAUCUCGGGGACGAGAUUCUUGUAAGAGGGAUAGGUCUAUCACACCCUGUUUUUCACCACAAGUAUUUUAUGUUGCAAAAAUCAGAGCUUGUUAAAACUUUUUCAAAUAAUGUUGUGAGUGCAAUGUGAACCCUUGUAUGAGUGAAUGCUUGCUUGUCUGAUGACUCAAACCCAUGAAGACUUAUUAUUUUGCUUUCUUCAAAAACCCUUUUUCCUUUAUAUCAAGAUCACCUUCACCAUGUUGGGAUACACUACUAGCUCAUGAAGCCAAGUGGCACUUCCAACCAAAGUUGGUGAUCUGAUCCAAAUAUUAUUUCCAUUCAUUAAAAACAUUAAUUGGUGAUUUAAAAUAUUAUUUUCCGAUUUUAUAUCUAUGUUUGUUUCUAAGGCCAGUAAUGAUAUUCCCACAAGGAAAAUUGCUUUCCUGCCUUAGAAAAUUCUGAGUAAAUUCAUGGAAGCUUAGAAGGACAUAUAUUUUCCAUAUAUAAGAUUUUCAACCCUAUUUUAUAUUAAUAUUAUUUGAGUAAAACCCUGAAAACCAUUUCUGUCUGUUUUAGCUUUUUGAUAUGUUUCCAAAGGAAAUUAUCUCAAUAAAUUCCCAUAAAAUUACAGGAGCCCUCCCAAGCCAUAUUAGGUGCUCACCUAAAAUCGCACCUUGAUCCAAGGUGGGGAAGUGCACCUAAUGAGCCCAAAACCCUCUCUGUCCAGAGAAGAGUUGGAACAACUCUACAUUGCAAAGUUUCUCCAAUGGAGCUGAAACUUUGCAGAGGUGUUUGACACCCCAAAUGAGGACUCCACACCAAAGAUGGGAUUUGUGAGACUCUGUUUGGCCACACUUCCUUUGUAAAGGACAAUACUGGUCAUUUUGAGGCAUUUUCAAGUUUACAAAGCCAAACUGGUUGAAUGGAGCUCAAAUUUNNNNNNNNNNNNNNNNNNNNNNNNNNNNNNNNNNNNNNNNNNNNNNNNNNNNNNNNNNNNNNNNNNNNNNNNNNNNNNNNNNNNNNNNNNNNNNNNNNNNCGAUGUUACCCAACAGCUUCGACACAGAUCCGGAUGACUCUAAGUCACAGACCGGAUACGUAUAUGUGUUGAAUGGUGGGGCAGUGAGCUGGUGCAGCAGCAAGCAAGAAGUCGUGGCAGCAUCUACAUGUGAAGCGGAGUACAUAGCUGCUUCAGAAGCGGCUCAUGAAGGAAUUUGGAUGAAGGAGCUCAUCACCCACCUUGGAGUGGUUCCAAGCGCGUCGGGUCCAAUGACACUCUUGUGUGAUAACACUGGGGCCAUUGCCAUAGCCAAGGAGCCCAGGUUUCACCAGAAGACGAAGCACAUCAAACGCCUCUACAACUCCAUCCAGGACCAUGUCCAGAGUGGAGUGAUAGAUAUUUGUAAAGUACACACGGAUCUGAAUAUUGCAGACCCGUUGAGUAAACCUCUUACACGAGCAAAACAUGAUCAACACCAUAAUGCUAUGGGUGUUCGAUACAUCACAAUGUAACUAGAUUAUUGACUCUAGUGCAAGUGGGAGACUGUUGGAAAUAUGCCCUAGAGGCAAUAAUAAAAUGGUUAUUAUCAUAUUUCCUUGUUCAUGAUAAUCGUCUACUGUUCAUGCUAUAAUUGUAUUAACAGGAAACAGUAAUACAUGUGUGAAUAAAUAGAUCACAAUGUGUCCCUAGCAAGCCUCUAGUUGGCUAGCUCGUUAGUCAAUAGAUGAUCAUGGUUUCCUGAUCAUGGGCAUUAGAUGUCAUUGAUAACGGGAUCACAUCAUUGGGAGAAUGAUGUGAUGGACAAGACCCAAUCCUAAGCAUAGCACUAGAUCGUGUUGUUCGUAUGCUAAAGCUUUUCUAAUGUCAAGUGUCUUUUCCUUCGACCGUGAGAUUGUGCAACUCCCGGAUACCAUAGGAGUGCUUUGGUUGUAUCAAACGUCACAACGUAACUGGGUGACUAUAAAGGUGCACUACGGGUACCUCUGAAAGUGUUUGUUGGGUUGGUACGACUCAAGAUCGGGAUUUGUCACUCCGUGUGACGGAGAGGUAUCUCUGGGCCCACUCGGUAGAACAUCAUCAUGAGAUCAAUGUGACUAAGGAGUUAGUCACACAAUGAUGUGCUACGGAACGAGUAAAGAGACUUACCGGUAACGAGAUUGAACAAGGUAUUGGUAUACCGACGAUCGAAUCUCGGGCAAGUUCUAUACCGACAGACAAAGGGAAUCGUAUACGGGAUUGAUUGAAUCCUUGACAUCAUGGUUCAUACGAUGAGAUUAUCGUGGAGCAAGUGGGAGCCACCAUGGGUAUCCAUACCCCGCUGAUGGUUAUUGGCCAGAGAGGUGUCUCGGUCAUGUCUGCCUGUCUCCCGAACCCGUAGGGUCUACACACUUAAGGUUCGAUGACGCUAGGGUUAUAGGGAAUUGUUAUACGAGGUUACUGAAAGUUGUUCGGAGUCCCGGAUGAGAUCCUGGACGUCACGAGGAGCUCCGAAAUGGUCCGGAGGUAAAGAUUGAUAUAUAGGACGGAUGGUUUCGGACACCGGAAGUGUUUCGGGCAUCACUGGUAACGUACCGGGACCACCGGGACCACCGGAGGUGGCCUCGGGGGUCCACCAAAAGGGGGCAACGACCCCGGGAGGUAAGAUGGGCCAAGUGGGGGAGGGAACCAGCCCCUAGGUGGGAUGGUGCGCCUCCCCACUCAGCCCAAUGCGCGGGGGAGAGGGAAAGGGGGGCAAACCCUAAGCCAGGUGGGCCUAAGGCCCACCAGGGGUGCGCACCACCCCUCCUCCCUGCCUUGGCCUCCGCCCCUCUCCCAUCUGGUGGCUGCCGCACCACCUAAGGGGGAACCCUAGGGGUGGCGCACCCCCUCCCCCCUCCUCCUAUAAAUAGAGAGGGGUUUUGGCCCUUGGGAGAUAGACUUCUCCCUCUCCCUCGGCGCAACCCUGCCCUUCUUCCUCCUCCUCUCUGUCGGUGCUUGGCGAAGCCCUGCCGGGAGACCUCGUCUCUCCAUCGACACCACGUCGUCGUGCUGCUGGAGUUCUUCCCCAACCUCUCCCUCCUCCUUGCUGGAUCAAGGUGCGGGAGACGUCACUGGGCUACACGUGUGUUGAACGCGGAGGUGUCGUAGUUCGGCACUAGAUCGGAAUCACACCGCGAUCUGAAUCGCCGCGAGUACGACUCCAUCAACCGCGUUCUAGCAAUGCUUCCGCUUAGCAAUCUUCAAAGGUAUGAAGAUGCUCUUACCCCUCUCUCGUUGCUGGUCUCUCCAUAGGAAGAUCUGAAUAUGGUGUAGGAAAAUUUUGAAUUUAUGCUACGUUCUCCAACACCAUCACCUUCACUAGUCCCACACGCUUCCGAAGAACAAAGUGAAGGCCCUCAACCCGUUGAAUAAGAUCAAGGACAAGAUCAACCUCAUGAGGAUGGUGUUGCACCAAAUGAUGUCCAAGAUCAUGCUCAAGACUCCGAGUUUUCUCAAGAUCAAUUGCAUCCACAAGAUCAAGGGAAAAGUAGUGAGCAAGCUCAAGACGGUGCUCAAGAUGGUCAAAAUGACGUUCCUCAAUUACCUAGUAAGGAACUCCUAGAGCAUCGCGCUGCCAAAGUGGCUUCCAAGCUCCGGGUUCGACAUCUUCUCUUGGAGAAUGUGCUUGGAAGCUUCAAUAAGGGGGUAACUACUCGUCAACAAUUAUAAUUUUUUUGUUUGCAUCGCUCGUUUGUUUUGUGUGUUGAACCCCAAAAGGUACAUGAAACGCUCGAUGUUGAGGAUUGGCUUGAAGCCAUGCAUGAUGAACUUAACAACUUCGAGCGCAAUCAAGUUUGGGAAUUAGUGCCAAGGCCAAUGGGGAACAUAAUGUUAUUCGAACCAAAUGGAUCUUCAAGAACAAGCAAGAUGCAAAUGGUGUUCUUGUUCAAAACAAGGCAAGAUUGGUGGCUCAAGGCUACUCCCAAGUCGAGGGUAUCGACUACGGUGAAACCUUUGCCCCUGUUGCUCGUCUUGAAUCUAUUCACAUGUUGCUUGCAUUUGCUUCUCAUCAUGAUUUCAAAUUGCAACAAAUGGAUGUGAAGAGUGCAUUUCUUAAUGGUCCCUUAAAUGAGUUGGUAUAUGUCAAACAACCUCCGGGAUUCGAGGACCCCAAGUUCCCCACUCAUGUAUACAAACUCAAGAAGGCACUCUACGGCCUUAAACAAGCCCCAUGUGUGUGGUAUGAGUUCCUUACCGAGUUGUUGCAAGAUCGUGGGUUGGAAAUUUGGAAAAUUGAUCCCACCCUUUUUACCAAAAAGGUCAAAGGGGAAUUGUUCAUCUGCCAACUAUAUGUUGUUGAUAUUAUAUUUGGUUCUCCUAACAAAUCUUUCAGUGAAGAGUUUGCUACACUAAUGACCGAGAAGUUUGAGAUGUCUGUGAUGGGAGAGUUGAAGUUCUUUCUUGGGUUCGAAAUCAAAAAAGGAAGAUAAGGAACGUUCAUCAAACAAGCCAAGUACACCCAGGACAUGCUCAAGACCUUCAAGCUAGAGGACGUCAAGCCGGUCAACUUUCCCAUGCCAACCAAAUGCAAGCUUGACAAUGAUCCCAACGGUAAAGCAGUGGAUCAAAAGGUGGUGGCUCCACGCGCUUGAACCCAUCUCGGGAUACCGGUUCCAAGCGCCUUCGCAAUCCAGAUGCACCCGAGGGAUCCAAGGCUCUGAAGUGCAACUUCAAGAGGCCCGCUCACAAGAACAAAGAGAACACUGUCGAUUGUGAUGCUAUGUGAUAAACCACAAGUAUAGGGGAUCGCAACAGUUUUCGAGGGUAGAGUAUUCAACCCAAAUUUGUUGAUUCGACACAAGGGGAAGCCAAAGAAUAUUCUCAAAUAUUAGCAGUUGAGUUGUCAGUUCAACCACACCUGAACGACUUAGUAUCUGCAACAAAGUAUCAGAAGCAAGGUAGUGUGAUAGCAACAGUAGCAAUGGUAAUAGUAGCAGCAGUGACAGCAAUAGCGACAGAGUAACAGUAGCAGCAGUGAAAGCAGUAGCGGCAAAGUAACAUAGCAAGGACCAGUAGGAAAAACGCGUAGGCAUUGGAUCGGUGAUGGAUAAUUAUGCCGGAUGAUAUUCAUCAUGCAACAGUUAUAACACGGAGAGAUAUGUAACUAGCUCCAGUUCGUCAAUGUAAUGUAGGCAUGUAUUUCGUAUGUAGUCAUACGUGCUUAGGGAAAAGAACUUGCAUGACAUCUAUUGUCCAUCCCUCCCGUGGCAGCGGGGUCCUAAUGGAAACUACGGGAUAUUAAGGUUCUCCUUUUAAUAGAGAACUGGAACAAAGCAUUAGCACUUAGUGAAUACAUGAACUCCUCAUACUAUGGUCAUCUCCGGGAGUGGUUCCGGCUAUUUUCACUCCGGGGUUGCCGGGUGAUAACACAUAGUAGGUGACUACAGGUUGCAAGAUAGGAUCAAGAACACACAUAUAUUGACGAGAACAUAAUAGGUUCAGAUCUGAAAUCAUGGCACUCGGGCCCUAGUGACAAGCAUCAAGCAUGGCAAACUAGUAGCAACAUCAAUCUCAGAACAUAGUGGAUACUAGGGAUCAAUCCCCGUCAAAACUAACUCGAUUACAUGAUAGAUCUCAUCCAACCCAUCACCGUCCAGCAAGCCUACGAUGAGAUUACUCAUGAACGGUGAAGAGCAUCAUGGAAUUGGCGAUGAAGGAAGGUUGGUGAUGACGAUGGCGACGAUCUCCCCUCUCCGGAGCCCGGAACGGACUCCAGAUCAGCCCUCCAGAGGAAGAACAGGUGGUGGCGGCGCCUCCGUAUCGUAAAACGCGAUGAACUCUUCUCCUUGAUUUUUUUCCGGAUGAAAGGGACUAAAUAGAGUUGGAGUUGGAGGCGGCGGAGCUCCGUGGGCCCCACAAGCCUGCUAGGCGCGGCGGGGGGGGGCCUGGUGGGCUUGUGGGCUCCACGCUCCACUUCUUCGGUCGAUUCUUGCGCCAGUAUUUUUUAUAUAUUCCACAAAAAAUCCUCGUAAAUUUCUAGGUCAUUUCGAGAACUUUUAUUUCUGCACAAAAACAACACCAUGGCAAUUCUGCUGAAAACAUCGUUAGUCCGGGUUAGUUCCAUUCAAAUCAUGCAAAUUAGAGUCCAAAACAAGGGCAAAAGAGUUUGGAAAAGUAGAUACGACAGAGACGUAUCAACUACCCCAAGCUUAAAGCCUUGCUUGUCCUCAAGCAAUUCAGUUGACAAACUGAAAGAUACUAAAGAAAAAAAUUUACGAACUCUGUUUGAUCUUGUUGUUGCAAUUAUGUCUAACUCAUAUUUAGAUUUUCAACAAGAUCGUAAGCUAAGCACAUAAGCAAUGACAUUUAGGUCUCAUGGCAAACUCAUAUCAAUGGCAUAAUCAACUAGCAAGCAAUAAUAAUGAAUUUUAAACAUCAACACUUCAAUCAAAAUAAUCAUGAAGCAGUUCGAAUAGAUGGUAUCUCGCUAGCUGUUUCUGAGACCGCAAAACAUAAAUGCAGAGCACCUUCAAAGACCAAGGGCUGACUGAACAUUGUAAUUCAUGGCAAAGAAGAUCCAGUCACAGUCAUACUCAAUGACAAUUAAAAGCAAAGCAUAGAAAUGACAGAGGUGCUCUCUAAUUGGUGCUUUUAUAAGGAGAGGAUGACUCAAUAGAAACAUAAAUAGACAGGCCCUUCGUAGAGGGAAGCAUUGAUUUGCAGAGGUGCCGGAGCUCAAGCUUUGAAGACAAAGAUAAAUAAUUUUGGGUGUCAUGCUUUCAUUGUCAACGCAAUGACCAAGAGUUUUCACCAUCUUCCAUGCUACACAUACUAUAGGCGGUUCCCAAACAGAAAAGUAAAGUUUUGACUCCCCCACCACCGAUCAAUCACACUCCACGACUAGCCGAAUACUCGGGUGCCGUCCAUACCAACAUCAAUCCAGGGGGAGUUUUGUUUGCAAUCAUCUUUUCGAUUUGAGCAUGGAACUGGGCAUUCCAAUUACCGGCCCCUUUCUCGUGAAUGAUAGUGAAUAAACACAUAUCGAGGAUAACACGCCUAGCAUGGAAGAUACUGACCGCCCCUUGUCACCACAUGAGCGGUUCGGGCAUGCAAAACAAAUUAUUUCUUGAAGGUUUAGAGAGUGGCACAUGCAAAUUUACUUGGAACGACAGGUAGAUACCGCAUAUAGGUAGGUAUGGUGGACUCAUAUGGAACAACUUUGGGUUUAUAGAAGUGGAUGCACAAGCAGUAUUCCCGCUUAGUACAAGUGAAGGCUAGCAGAAGACUGGGAAGUGACCUACUAGAGAGCGACAACAUUCAUCAAAAUGCAUUGAGAUUAACCAUCAUUGAGUGCAAGCAUGAGUAGGACAUAAAUCACCAUGAACAUGAAUAUCAUAGAGGCUAUGUUCCUUUGUUUCAACUACAUGCGUGAACAUGCGCCAAGUCAAGCCACUUGAAUCAUUUAAAGGAGGAUACCAUCCUAUCAUACUACAUCAUAAUCAUCUCAGAAUUCAUGUUGGCAUCCAAGACAAACCAUUAUAAGCUCCUAGCUAAUUAAGCAUGGCAUCAGAAACUAUGAUCUCUAAAUUGUCAUUGCAAACAUGUCUCUCUCACAACAAAGCUGAACUAGAAACGAUGAGCUAGUCAUAUUUACAAAAACAAAAUAGAUCGAGUUCAUACCAGCUUUUCCAGGCUCAGUCACUUCAUCAUAUAUCGUCAUUAUUGCCUUUCACUUGCACGACCGAACGAUGUGAACAAUAAUAAGAGUGCUCGUGCAUUGGACUAAGCUGGAAUCUGCAAGCAAACGCAAAGAAGAAGACAAAGUAAUAUGGCUUUUUGACAGAUAAACAGAUAUGCAUGCGAGAGCCACUAAACAUUGUAACCAUGGUCUUCUACCUUGACCCAAAGAAAAAGAAAACUAUUUACACGGGAAAGCUCCCAACAAGCAAAAGAAGAACAAGAAAUAUUUUUGGAUUUCUCAAACUAGACAAACACACGAGAAGAAAGCGAGAAAAAGAAACAAACUAGCAUGGAUGAUACAAUGGCAAGGUGUGAACACCGACUAUCAAAGUGAAAGUGUGAGCAAGAAUAUAAAGUCGGUGAGAAACACGUACUCCCCCAAGCUUAGGCUUUUGGCCUAAGUUGGUCUACUCCCAUUGAUGGUCCGGGUGAUACCCAAAAUCAUAAUGGGGGUUGUACGGGAGCGCUGCUGCUACCGCCUGAAUAGCUGCCUCACGGAGGCGAGUAGCCUUUGCCUCCUUCUCAUACUCCUCUGCCUCUCCUCUGGUUAUGUAAUAUCUCCGUUUUACCUGAAAGUCAAAGAAGGCAGGAGCAGGAAGGGUAAUAUGGAAAACACGUUGUCGGUUAAAUAUUAACCGGUAUAGGAGGGAUUCAUUAUCCCUCUCAAGGAACUGAUAGCGUGUCAUAGCGGCGUGAUAAAGGAAAGUUGUAUGGAGCGGGGGAUCUCCUUCGCGUAUGGGUACUCCAAGAAAAUUUGCUAUGCGAGUGGCAUAGAUCCCACCAAAGAAAUCCCCUUCAUUCGCAUUAUUAUUCAGCCUCCUCGCAAUUAUAGCUCCCAUGUUAAAACUUCUAUCACCCGUUACUGCGCUCUUAAGAAUACUAAGGUCAGGUGCGCAGAGGUGACAAUGCUCAAUCUUGUCGUUAAUGCAUCUACCUAUGAAGAGGGCAAAGUAAUGCAAGGCAGGAAAAUGAAUUCUCCCCAUGGUAGCCUAUGUAAUAUCUCUAGUUUCUCCAACAGUUAUACUAGAGAAAAAAUCUCUAACCGAAGAUUUAGGAGGAUCAUUGAGACUACCCCAAAUAGGUAUCUUGCAAAUUCUAUUGAAAUCCUCUAAAUCCAUGGUAUACGAUUUGUCAUAGAGAUCGAACAGUACGGAUGUGUCACGGCCAGCUGAAAAUUUGAAUCUACGAACAAAAGAGGCAAUGAGAGUAGUAUAUUGUUCACAUUUAUCGGAGAUGAAUUCUUCGAGUCCGACGUUGUGAACAAGUGUAUCAAACUCGUCUUUGAAACCUGCCUCAAUCAUGAAUUCAUCAGAAGGCCAUUCACAUGGUUGUACCUGUGCGUUCCUCUGUUGGUAAGGACCGGGCUCCCGAAUCGCGAGACGGGGACCCUUCUUGCUUGAGGAACCACCAUGAUAGUUUCUCCUGAACAUCUUCCUUUUCUGAAAUUUUCAGUGACUCAAAGAAAAAGUGAACAAGGCCCAAGGAAACUCGUAGCAACUACUCCGACAAGUGCCUAGAGGCCAUAUCACACAUCAAAACUACUUGGGACCAGCUAAAAUUAGCAUGCAAAGCUCAAGAACGGGGUCACCAAGGUAGCAAAAAUACGCGACGUAUAAGGCACUAGAGCAAAAACUAAUUGGACCAAUGGAGGAGUCACAUACCAAGGAACAAUUUCCCCAAAACAGUUUGGUGAAUGGGGCUUUUCACAAGGAGAUCGAAAAUCGCAGCAAGAAGAACAAGAACACGGGUUUGAGCUGCGAAACGAUUUUUUCUGGAGGUAGGAGAAGGAGAUGGGAGCUAGAAUAAGUGGAGGGGGACACGUGGACCCCACAUGCCUGGUAGGCGCGGCCAGGGGGGUGCCCGCGCCUCCAGGGUUUGUGGCCCACUGGUGCAUCCCCCUGACUAGCUCUUCGUCUCAGAAUUUUUCAAAAAUUCCAGAAAAAAACAUACUUGAUUUUCACAACAUUCAAAGAACUUUUAUUUUCGGGACACUUUUCCACGUGACGCAAAAAGCAGAAAACAGGGAAAACUAAAGCUAAAUCUAUCAUUUUUCUUCUAAGCAACCAAAGGUGAAAGCUUGGAAUAGAGGGUUGUGACUCCUCGAUUCAUCCAUCCCAUGGUCAUCGAAAGAAAUCCGUGAAUGAGGUUGAUCAAGUCUCCUUGACAAACUUUUUCGAAUCGCAUAAAAAAGAACGGAGAAUUUUCGAAUAGUCACUAGGUUACCUCAAUGGGAUGUGCAUAUCCCCAACAAGCAAAUUAUACUUCAUCUUGACAGUAGGUAUAGGGCAUUCAAAGCUCCCAAUAAGAAUCGAUGAAGUUUUUUCGAUAGCAUUGAUGCAAUGUACUCGAUAUUGUUUCUUCGAAAGUGCACCAUAUGCUCAUUACCGUUGACAUGGAAAGUAACAUUGCCUUUGUUGCAAUCAAUAACAACCCCUGCUGUGUUUAAAAAGGGUCUUCCAAGGAUGACCGCCAUGGCAUCAUCCUCGGGAAUAUCCAGAAUAACAAAGUCUGUUAAGAUAGUAACGUUCGCAACCACAACAGGCACAUCCUCGCAAAUGCUGAUAGGGAAAGCAGUUGAUUUGUCGGCCAUUUGUAGAGAGAUUUCAGUGGGUGUCAACUUAUCCAGUUCAAGUCUAUGAUAAAGAGAGAGAGGCAUAACACUAACACCGGCUCCAAGGGCGCAUAAAGCAGUUCUAACGUAGUUGCCUUUAAUAGAGCAAUGUAUAGUGGGCACUCUGGGAUCACCUAGUUUAUCAGGAGUUCCACCCUUGAAGGUGUAAUUAGCGAGCAUGGUGGAAAUCUCAACCUCAGGUAUCCUCCUCUUAUUAGUCACAAUAUCCUUCAUGUACUUAGCAUACGGAGACAUUUUGAGCAUGUCUAUCAAACGCAUUUGCAGGAAGACAAGUCUAAUCAUUUCAACAAAGCGCUCAAAAUCCCGAUCAUCCUUUUUCUUGGAUGGUUUAGGAGGAAAGGGCAUGGGUUUGUGAACCCAUGGUUCCCUUUCUUUACCAUGCUUCCUAGCAGUGAAGUCAUUCUUAUCGUAUCUCCUAUUCUUAGGUUGUGGGUUAUCAAGAUCAACAGGUUCAAUCUCCACAUCCUUAUCAUUGCUAGGUUGAGCAUCAUCAUGAACAUAACUAUCUGUUAGAGCAUAUAUCUCCAUAUGUGGUUUUGGUAAUUGAUGACAAUUCCUAUGGACUAAUGGUUGCCUUAAGUUAUAUUUAUAGGAUUUGUCCAUAGGCACUUCUUGAAGUCCAUCUGUUGGGUUCAAGGAGUUUAUAUGAUGACCAAGGUGGUAUUCAAGGUAUUAUCCAAAGAAUGGUCAUAGAGACACAAGGUUGAUCAAGAUCGUCAUACAAAGAGUAAAUCAAGAUGAUCAACACACAAAGCGUACAAGAUGUACCGAGAGGGAUCAAGUGAUCCCAUGGUAUGGUAAGCAUUGUCCAGUACGUAUUUUUGUACUAACCCAUGGUCUUUGUGAGAGUUCUAUGUGGGGGUUAGGUGUGUUUCCAUGGGCUUGCGUCUAGAGGAAGAUCUCAUACAACCCAUGAAGGAUGACGUCAAGUGGUGAUCAUCAUCAAGAUUGCGGUGUGCAAGAUCAAGUGGAUCAACACGAAGAUAUCAUGCUUGAAGCCUGCCGUCCAUUGUGGUGGCAAUGGACUUGUGAAAGUAUGCUGAAGAGUGGCUCACCCAUAGUGAGUAUGGGGGAGCAAUCAACUAGUCUUCAUCAAGCCAACGCAAUCAAGAAAGGUGGUCCAUCUUGAGGAAGCCAAGAUCAUCAUCAUGUAGCUCAAGAGGUCAAGGUGCAAGGUAUAGGUUUGCCCUUGAUAGGUUUUCUGUUUAGGAUAGAAUGUUGUACUGUCAAGGGUGGAGGGCUUUCAAGUGAUUAGCUUGAUCGUAUCGUUCGUUGAGAGCUCAAACCAUUUGCAUCCUUGCAUCAUACUUCUUGGUUCUUAUUUGGUGUUUCUCUUUGUGAGUUUUAGAGCUUAUGGUCAUCUUCAUGACAAGCUCGAGUUCAUAAAAAACGGAGUCCAUAUGUAACUACUAUGAUGUUUUCGAUGUUGUAGUUUUUGUCGGUUCUUCAUACAUAGAGGUCUCACAUCUCUAGAUCAUUGGCAUUUUCAUAUCAGCUUUGGAUUGCUCUUGUCGUCCUGAAUCCAACAAGCUUGGGUUUGCUCGAUUCGGAGCUCGUAUGCGAAAGUUAUGGAUGUUUCAGUGGCAAGCGGUAGUACCGCUGGACCUAGCGGUAGUACCGCUGGCCCUAGCGGUGGUACCACUAGAGCUGGCGGUAGUACCGCUGGCCCUAGCGGUAGUACCAUUAGAGCUUGCGGUAGUACUGCUGGCCCAGUGAUAGUACCACCUCUGGUCAGCGGUAGUACCACUCCAGGACUUUAGUACUGUCAUCUUUGCGGUUGUACUGCAUCGGACUUUUUGUGAAGACUUUCUUGGCGGUGGUUGGCCCGGUAGUAUCUUUGCGCUACCAUGGGCUCAGCGGCAGUACCGCUGCAGCCAGCGGUAGUACCGUUGGAGGGUCAGCAGUAGUACCGCUGCAGCCAGCGGUAGUACCGCCGGAGGGUCAGCGGUAGUACCGCUGGAGCCAGCGGUAGUACCGCUGGGCUCGGGCUGUAAGUGGGGGUAACGGUCCGAUUCCUUCCCCCAUUAUAUAAAGGGGGUCUUCUUCCCCCUUGGACUUAUCCAUCCGUUGAGCUCUUGUUCUACCUCCAUUGUUGACAUUCUUAGAGCUUGCUAACUCUCAACCCCUCCAAUGAUCCUUGCUUGUUCUUGAGGGAAAAGAGAGAGGAGAUCUAGAUCCACAUCUCCACCAAUCACUUUCUCCUCUAUGUGAGGGGAACCCCUUGGAUCUAGAUCUUGGAGUUCUUUGUGAGCUCCUUGUUCUUCCUCUCAUAUUUCUCCAUAGCUUUCGUUGUUGUGGAGGGAUUUGAGUGUGAGGGACUUGACCACUUCGUGUGUUCUUGCCAUUGCAUUAGUUGCAUCGGUUUGAGUUCUCCACGGUGAUACGUGGAAGUGAGAAGUUGAGAAGCUUACUACCUUUGGUACUUAGUACCCUAGAUAUUGUUCUUCGUGGAUGCUUUGGCGUCCUAGAAGCUUGGUGGUGUCUCGGAGCUUAAUCAUUGUGGUGUGAAGCUCCAGGCAAGCGUCGGGGUCUCCAAUUAGGUUGUGGAGAUUGCCCCGAGAAAUUUGUACGGGUACCAGUAACCGCCCCCAAGGGUUGCCACGUGUACGGGUUCGGUGACCGCCCCCAAGGUUUUCCAUUUGUACGGGUUCGGUGACCGCCCUCAAGGGUCCCUUAGUGGAAUCACGGCAUCUUGCAUUGUGCGAGGGCGUGAGGAGAUUACGGUGGCCUUAGUGGCAUCUUGGGGAGCAUUGUGCCUCCACACCGCUCCAAUGGAGAUUAGCAUCCGCAAGGGUGUGAACUUCGGGAUACAUCAUCGUCUCCCCGUGCCUCGGUUAUCUCUUACCCGAACCCUUUACUUAUGCACUUUACUUUUUGAUAGACAUAUUGUUUAUUGUAAUAUAUCUUGCUAUCACUUAGUUUUUUAUCUUGCUUAGCAUAAGUUGUUGGUGCACAUAGGUGAGCCUAGUUGUUUGUAGGUUUUGUGCUUGACAAAUUAAACGUUAGUUUUAUUCCGCAUUUGCUCAAGCCUAAACCUUAAUUAUUUUAAAGCGCCUAUUCACCUCCCCCCUCUAGGCGACAUCCACGUCCUUUCACUAUCGAUAUUAUCAUUAGGCUCAUGUUCAUCACCAGAUUGCGUUUCGACAUCAGAAAUAGAGACAUCGUUUGGACUCUCGGGUGUAACAGCAACAGGGUUGCUAGCGUGCAAGUUCCUAUCAUCUUUCUUCUUCCUAGGAUGACUAGGUGCAUCAGUGCUAACUCCUUGAGAAUCUUGUUCAAUUCUCUUAGGAUGAUCCUCAGGAUACAAAGGUUCCUGGGUCAUUCUACCGCCUCUAGUGACGACUCUAACAGAAUUGUCAUUCAACUCAUUGAGCAAGUCAUUCUGAGCCUUAAGUACUUGCUCUACCUGAGUAGUAACCAUAGAUGCAUGUUUACUCAAGAGCUUAAGAUCAUUGACAUUUCUGUCCACACAAGCACUUAAAUGACUAAGCAUGCGAGCAUUCUGUUCCAAUUGUCUGCUAACAUAAUCAUUGAAACUUUGUUGUUUGGCAACAAAGUCAUCAAAUUCAUCCAGACAUAAGCUAGCAGGUUUAUCAAAAGGAAUAUCACUCUCAUCGAAUCUACGAAGAGAAUUUACCUCUACCACCUGUAUCGGGUUAUCAAGACCAUGGAUCUCUUCGGUAGGUGGUAGAUUUUUUACAUCUUCAGAUGUAAUGCCUUUCUCUUUCAUAGAUUUCUUAGCUUCUUGCAUAUCUUCAGGACUGAGGAAUAGGAUACCUCUUUUCUUGGGAGUUGGCUUUGGAGGUGGUUCGGGAAUAGUCCAAGCAUUCUCAUUGCACAAGAUAUUAUUCAAUAGGAUCUCAGCUUGUUCUACAGUUCGUUCCCUAAAAACACAACCGGCACAACUAUCUAGGUGGUCCUUAGAAGCAUCGGUUAGUCCAUUAUAGAAGAUAUCAAGUAUUUCAUUCUUCUCAAGAGGGUGAUCAGGCAAAGCAUUAAGUAGCUGGACGAGCCUCCCCCAACUUGUGGGAGACUCUCUUCUUCAACUUGCUCAAAGUUGUAUAUUUCCGGCAAGGCAGCUUGCUUCUUAUGGGCAGGGAAAUAUUUUUCAGAGAAGUAGUAGAUCAUAUCCUGGGGACUACACACACAACCAGGAGCAAGAGAGGUGAACCAAGUUUUAGCGUCAUCCUUUAGCGAGAAAGGAAACAACUUAAGGAUAUAGUAGUGGCGGAUCUUUUCCUCACUCGUGAAUAGAGUGGCUAUAUCGUGCAGUUUGGUAAGAUGUGCUACAACCGUUUUAGACUCAUAACCGUGAAAAGGAUCAGAUUCGACCAGAGUGAUUAACUCAGGGUCGAUAGAGAAUUCAUAAACAGGGGCGGGCCCAAGAAUUAGAGACUGUGUAUUCAAAUUUUGAAAACCUUUUUAGAUAAUAGCAGCAUAUUGUACUUGUUUUAAAAUAAAUAAAAAAUAUUACUUCCUCUGUCAAGUGUCUCAAGCAUAGUACAAUUUUGUACUAGAGUUAGUAUAAAGUUGAGACAUUUAUUUUGGAACGGAGGGAGUACAUGAUAUAUUACAUUCAUCAAAUAUUUAUAACUUGGAAUUGUUCAACCUGUGGAAGUAAUAAUUGUUCAACAAUCCAUGGCAAAACUUAAGAUGUAUAGAGGGUAGAAAAGUAGCAAAUGGUCAGAAAACUUACAAAUUAUACACGAUAACUUUGCAAUUGUUGAUGCUUUGAAAAUGAGUGAUGAUGUCCUCAUCUGUAGCCUGCAAGAAGAAUUCGUUUUAAGUGAAUGUGGCCAAGCAAUCAUUCAAGUAUUACCUUGCAAAUUAUCUUGUUUGAACAAUCUAGAAUUGACUGCAAACAAGUCUAGAAAUUUAUUACAUUUAAUAAAUAGAAAGACAAGUGGUUAGACUAACUUGCUUAAACUUGUACGUCUGUACUAUAGCCUGCUCCCUGCUGGACGCUGGAUAGUGCAAGAAGAAAAUUGUGUAUGUGAGAGCAGUGAUAGAUGGAUUCAGUUCGACUAAGGAUUGGCAUGAGAGUAGAGAUCCCAACUUCAGAAGUUGAAGGAUUAAUAUAUCGAUGUAAUUAGUACUCAUACCUUGGAUAGAUGAAUCUGUGGGUUGUGGCUUUGAAAUUGGAUCGAUCAAUGCUGCCCGUGGGAGACUUCGGUGAUCAGAAGUUCAGAACCAAAGGGAGGGGAUUAGUCACGCCAUUUUCGCCACCAUGCGCACGUCCGAUCCCUGAUCAGUCGAUGGCAAUAGACCCAUGGCGGCUCGCAUGGAAGAGAAGUGGGGAACAUAGAAAAGGGAGGUGCCAGCGGUUAACUCUCCUAAGUCCUGUUGCGUUUGAUCGAUGGGCCUAUUUUCUAGACGACAAUGGAUGUGUAAGUGACGUGCGUACAACCUGCAUCGAUGGGCUAAGUCAUGGUGGGGAGGGAAAAUAGACGUGCGUACAACCUGCAGCAAUGGGCUGAAUUGCCUUUUUCACGGUUUCGUUUUUCCUUGUACAUACACUGUAUAUAUACAACAUAUACCUAGUCUUUUGCCAAAAAUAAUGGGUAUUCAACUGAAUACCCAUGAAUUGAGGUGGCCCCGCUCCUGUUCAUAAUCCUUAUCAGUCACAAAGAUAGGCGAAGUAGCAAACUUCGGGCCGUAUUUCAUCCUAGCGUUCAAAGCUUUUUCUUUCCACUUGCGCAGUAAGUUCUCAAGAUCAUAGCUAUCCUUACAAGAAAGAAAGUCCUCAUCUAUCUCUCCCUCCAUAACAUAACCCUCAGGCAUAUCAGGCAAUUCAUAUCUAGGAGAGCUAGUUCUAACAGGCGAAAUAGCAGGUUCUACUUCAAUAAUCUCAACAGUUUCAGAAGUAUCAUCACAUCUAGCAGCAACUCUAGCAAUUUGUGCAUCAAGGAAUGCACCUAGUGGCAAAGCAGUAUCAAGCAUAGCAUCAUCACAAGCAUCAUGGACAGCAGAAAUAGCAUCAUCAAGCACAUGCGACACUUCAAAAUUUCUAGCAGGAGGUGGUGUCGCAAACUUAAUCAUAACUAAAGGUGAAUCAAGUGCAGAGCUAGAUGGCAGUUCCUUACCUGUCCUCGUAGUUGAGGGCAAGACUUUAGUUUUUGGAUCUCUCGGAUUCCUUAUAGUGAUCAGCAGACGUAAAUCCCAGAAUAGUGUUAUGCCUCCCUGGCAACGGCGCCGGAAAAUAGUCUUGAUAACCCACAAGUAUAGGGGAUCGCAACAGUUUUCGAGGGUAGAGUAUUCAACCCAAAUUUGUUGAUUCGGCACAAGGGGGAGCCAAAGAAUAUUCUCAAGUAUUAGCAGUUGAGUUGUCAAUUCAACCACACCUGAAAAACUUAGUAUCCGCAGCAAAGUAUCACUAGCAAGGUAGUGUGAUAGCAACAGUAGCAACGGUAAUAGUAGCAGCAGCGACAACAAUAGCGAUAGAGUAACAGUAGCAGCAGUGACAGCAAUAGCGGCAAAGUAACGUAGAAAGGACCAGUAGGAAAAACUCGUAGGCAUUGGAUAGGUGAUGGAUAAUUAUGCCGGAUGAUAUUCAUCAUGCAACAGUUAUAACACGGAGAGAUAUGUAACUAGCUCCAGUUCGUCAAUGUAAUGUAGGCAUGUAUUCCGUAUGUAGUCAUACGUGCUUAGGGAAAAGAACUUGCAUGACAUCUAUUGUCCAUCCCUCCCGUGGCAACGGGUUCCUAAUGGAAACUACGGGAUAUUAAGGUUCUCCUUUUAAUAGAGAACCAGAACAAAGCAUUAGCACUUAGUGAAUACAUGAACUCCUCAUACUAUGGUCAUCUCCGGGAGUGGUUCCGGCUAUUGUCACUCCGGGGUUGCCGGGUCAUAACACAUAGUAGGUGACUACAACUUGCAAGAUAGGAUCAAGAACACACAUAUAUUAACGAGAACAUAAUAGGUUCAGAUCUGAAAUCAUGGCACUCGGGCCCUAGUGACAAGCAUUAAGCAUGGCAAAGUAGCAACAUCAAUCUCAGAACAUAGUGGAUACUAGGGAUCAAUCCCCGCCAAAACUAACUCGAUUACAUGAUAGAUCUCAUCCAACCCAUCACUGUCCAGCAAGCCUACGAUGAGAUUACUCACGAAUGGUGAAGAGCAUCAUGGAAUUGGCGAUGAAGGAAGGUUGGUGAUGACGAUGGCGACAAUCUCCCCUCUCCGGAGCCCAGAACGGACUCCGGAUCAGCCCUCCAGAGGAAGAACAGGUGGUGGCGGCGCCUCCUAUCGUAAAAUGCGAUGAACUCUUCUCCUUGAUUUUUUUUCCGGACGAAAGGGACUAAAUAGAGUUGGAGUUGGAGGCGGCGGAGCUCCGUGGGCCCCACAAGCCUGCUAGGCGCGGCGGGGGGGGGCCUGGUGGGCUUGUGGGCUCCACGCUCCACUUCUCCGGUCGAUUCUUGUGCCAGUAUUUUUUAUAUAUUCCACAAAAAAUCCUCGUAAAUUUCCAGGUCAUUCCGAUAACUUUUAUUUCUGCGCAAAAACAACACCAUGGCAAUUCUGCUAAAAACAACGUUAGUCCGGGUUAGUUCCAUUCAAAUCAUGCAAAUUAGAGUCCAAAACAAGGGCAAAAGAGUUUGGAAAAGUAGAUACGACAGAGACGUAUCACUAUGCCGCAAGCUGAGUUUUUGAUUCGCCGGAAGAUCAACCCCUAUGUCAUCGAUACGGUUCAUCUCCAGGGAUGUGAACUGUUCUGGUCCAAGCAACAGGCUCUCAUUUAUGAAGAUGUGAUCAAGACCAAGAAGAAUAUCUAUGUACCGGUUCAGUGGAUUGACAUGGAUCAUCUCAAGAAGGACCCGCAUACUUUGGUGAACCUCUGGCCAUGGUGCAACAACUUGGGAUUGAGGAGCUCAUCUCGUUUCACCUUGACUUUGAUCCUGAGAUUGUGGCUCAGUUCUUUGUUACAGUCCACUUCCACACUGAUGCGGAGCGCACUAUGACUUGGAUGACCAAUGGAGAGAGGUUGUCUGCUACUUGGAAGGAGUUUAUGGAUCUUCUGAACAUUCAUGACGAGGGGCUUGAGAACCCAGUUGGUUUGCGCCCACACGCCAAGCCAUCUGCUAGACCUAAGGAAAAGUUGGUGCCCUACUUUAUUGAGAAGGCGUCCUCAUCUGGUGAGAGCUCCCACGUACUGAACCCAUUCCUUGAUGUCAUGCACCGAAUCUUUCGCAACACUCUGUUUUUGCGCGUUGGCAACAAGGACCAGGUGCAUUCAUAUCUGGUGGAUAUGCUUUUGAUGUGUCAGAAAGAGCGGGCUCGUGCUUCUGGACCACUUGAUGUGUCUCACAUCAUGUGGAGUGAGCUUCAAUCGGCAGUUUUUCACCGUAAGGUUCCCAUCUAUGGAUCUUAUUUAUAUUACUUGAUACGGGAUAAGUGGUCGGUGGCCUUUCCAGAAAUAGAGUUUCAUGCUCCCGGCUGGAUCCGCCAUGACCCUAUUAAGCUGUGUCAAAAGAACAAGUGGGCCAACACUACCACUACCCCUGCUGCUGCCACCAUGGAUACUGAUGAGGAUAAGGAUGAGGCUGAGGAUGAGGGCAUUCCAAAGACACAUGUGCCUUCCUCUGCCAAGCCAUCUUGGGUCCAGAAGCUCUAGGGCCGGAUGAAGACUUUAUUUUGCAUGCAUGCAAAGGGAUAGUAUAUGACUCAUGUCGCUCAGAAGGAGAGCCGCCAGCACGACAAGCUGAUUCUGAGGAAGCUCGACAUGCACAUCUCCAGUGGGUCUGAGCAAGACAUUACUCCUGAAGCUGCCUGGAUGGAAAAGAAGAAUCUUUAGUUGGCUGAGUCUGAUUAGGAGUCUGAUGAGGAGACCGAUGAGGAGUCUGAUGAGGAGUCCGAUGGAUGAUUCCUCUACAUUUCGAGAUACCACCUGUGUCUUAGGUGACCUCUCUGCCUUUUUGGUGCCCCGAUGACAAAGGGGGAGGGAGUGUAGGAUUUGCUAGUUUCUUCGUUUUCUGUGUCGCUUUGUUCGUUGAACUUCCGUUGCUACUUUGGCUGGUUUUGUUUUGUGUGUGAGACCAGGAGACGUCGUAAUCUAUCAUAUGGUGUGAGACAUAUGCUAUCACUCCUCUAUCUUUAUUAUCUCAUUAUUAUCCAGUAUGUUAGUAGCUUGUGAGUCUAAUUAUUAUGUGUCCUUAUCUUCAUGCUCACAUGCUAUGCUUUGCUUCUAUGCUUAGUGUUUAUUCAGUUUGUUGCAAGGAAUGCCUCGUCUAUAAAAUCUAGGGGGAGUGCUAUUCCUUGGUUGUGUGCUGUACAGACCAUGUCCUUUAUCUAAAGUAUGCACACAUCCAGGGGGACCUUAUCUCUAGUUUAUAGAUUUUGGGUUUGCAUAUGUUAUUUUUAUAUCCUCUAGUGCAAAUCCUGUAUUGUCAUCAAUUCACCAAAAUGGAGGAGAUUGUUAAGGCAUAUUUCUCCCUAAGUGGUUUUGGUGAUUGAUGAUAAUGCGUGUGCGGACUAAUCGUGUGCAUUGAGCAUUUCAGAUAAUCCAUGACUAAGCAUAAGACGAUUCGGUGCCCAUCGGAGUCUCUCAAAGACGGUUGCUUUAUACGUUUCUCUUUGGUGGAUUUGAGUCGUAGGAAAGCCGUACUAUUAAGAGGUGGUCCGCUUCGGAAAGGUUAGGGUGGAAUCAACACGUACACAUUUCUAUUGCACCACCUUUCCCUUGCUUUAAUGGAGCUCCAACAUGUUUCUCCCUGUCUGUGCAAAAGGACUAGCGGUAGUACCGCUUUCUCGAGGUAGUAGUUUUUUACUACCGCUUCCUCGGACUUUUUUCGCAACCUCAGCCUGUGCGGUGGUAGGCACGGUACUAAUUUUUUACUACCGUGGUUGGUGAACCUACCGUGCGGUAGUACCGCUUUGCUCGGGCUGUGAGUGGGGUUAACGAUUGGAUUCUUUCCCCCAUUAUAUAGAGGGGUCUUCUUCCUCAAUAAGGUGACCUCUCACCUUCCCAAGCUCCAUUGUUGCUCCAAAGCUCAUUUUCGCCCGAUCUCUCUCCCUAGCCAAUCAAACUUGUUGAUUUUCUAGGUAUUGGUUGAGAAGGUCCUGACCUACACUUUCAUCAAGAGAUAUUUGAUUGCCACCACUAAUCCCAUGCGGAUCUUGUUACUGUUGGGCACUUGAGCACCCUAGACGUCUGAGGUCAUCUCGGAGCCACAUUUCAUUGUGGUGAAGCUUCGUGGUUUUGUUGAGAGCCUUCAAGUUUUGUAUGAAGAUUGCCCCAACCUUGUUUGUAAAGUUUUGUGUAAAAAAAAUUAAUUUUUUUUAUGACAUAUUCGACCGCUUGCACAUUCGUACAAUAAUUUUUUGAUCCAUGUUAUAAAAAUUACGACAUCUUCAACCGCUCACGGUCGUCAUUUAUUGUCACCGUUCUAUAAUAAUAGCCCGUUCUAUAAUACAGCAAUACAUUUGUUGUGAAGAUAGAUAACAGAGGUAAGUGAAGACGGCGGCGGAUGCCUCGCACCAGAUCGGUCGGCUGAACAUAAUUCUUUUCCUUUUUCAGACGGGUUUAACCAAAAACCCUUGCACGAACCGCAAGCCCACCCCGGCCCAGAGGGAGAGGCGGCGCCGAUCCGAGCCCCCAGCCAUGUCGCCGCAGCUCCUCCUCCGCCGCUUCCCCUCCGCCGGCGCCCACCUCUGCCGCUACCAGGGGCACGGCCACCGCCAUCGCUGCCUCAGCUCGGCGUCGGAGGCGGCGGGAAGCUCCGGCUGGCGGCGGCAGCACGAGGAGGAGAGCAAGGCGGUCAAGGUGUCGGUGUGGUGGGACUUCGAGAACUGCCACGUCCCCCAGAACGUCAACGUUUGCCGCGUCGCCCAGCGCGUCUCCGCCGCGCUCCGCGCUGCCGGCGUCCGCGGCCCGCUCUCCAUCACCGCCUUCGGGGACGUCCUCCAGCUCUCCCGCGCCGCGCAGGAGGCGCUCGUCGCCACCGGCGUCGUCAUCUCCCACGUCCCAAGCAGUUGCGUCCUCCCGCCCCAUCUCAUUUCCGUUACAUUCCCUUCUGUCUGUGCGAUUCUCUAUUACAGUAUUUUGGGGAAAAAAAAUCCUGCGCAUUUCGCGUGUUGUGCUGCUCUGCUGGUGGUGGUUUGCGAUGCAUUGCCAUGUUUGGCCUUGUUAGUAUGCUUGAGUUGACGGUCAUGAAUUGCACGGUAUAGUUUUGUUUGUUUGUACUAAUAUUUCAUUCACAUAAUUCAAUACUACAAAUGAGUUACUUUGACAGGAUGGAGUUACACUGGGGUUGCCUAGAAUCGAAUUGAAUCAAUUUGAGACAGUCAGGGCCGGACCAUACAUAUUCGGGCCCUGGGGCGAGACGACAAAUGGGGCCCUUGUGGACAAAUAAAAAAACAGAAUAUAUUGUAUUUCCAAAGCAACUCAGUACAUAGCAUAGAUUGAUGGUCUUUGAACUAAGCAACACAUUCCACAAAUUAUUUGUUUGUACGGUCCAAAGAAUUACUCCCUCCGUUCCUAAAUACUCCCUCCGUCCCAAAAUUCUUGUCUUAAACUUGUCUAGAUAUGAAUGUAUCUAGUCACACUUUAGUAUUUAGAUACAUCUAUUUCUAGAUAAAGCUAAGACAAGAAUUUUGGGACGGAGGGAGUAUAAGUCUUUUUGAGGUUCCACUACAGAACUACAUACGGAUGUAUAUAGACAUGCUUUAGAGUGUAGAUUCACUCAUUUUGCUCCGUAUUUAGCCCCCCUAAUGAAAUCUCUUUAAAGACUUAUAUUUAGGAACGGAGGGAGUAUAUCAUAAUAGUAUGGAAGCAAUAUAGUUAUACAAAGAUCGCUCUUCUAAGUGGCACAAAGAGACUAUCAUCUCGCUUUUCUAAGUAUGGAAACCUUGUCAAAAUAGAUAGCAACUUGAAUCGUUUGUGUUAUCAUGAGACAUUUUUUAGAAGACAUGUCAGCAAACAAUUGCCAAAAAUCAGUCAAUACAGGGAACAAAAUCACCUGAAUAUGGGCAUAUGGCUUGAUGUCGAACUGUCUAUGUAGCUUCCCAGAUCUGCAAGGCUGAAACACUCAUUCCCCGUUCCCCUUGUCAUCCCCAGAUCCAAUGAAGCUUUAGAACAGGCCAACAGAAGAGUAGGAACUAGGAAGAGAAGAAUUGGAGAUGUAGAUGGAGCAAUCAGAUUAGCGAAUCAAAAGAGUAAUUAGGGGAAGGAUGGAUAUGUACCAUCUUUGAUGCGGUGAUGUCUCAAACGUCUACAUGAUGGGGAACAUUGAGGAUGCAAAGAGAGAUGAUUGGGGAAGGGAAUAUCACUGUUGAUCUCCAGUAAUGGAUGCACGGGAGCGGCGCCUCGAAUUUGGAUGUGCACGAGAGUGGCGCCGCUGUUCUUUGGGGUUGGAGAAUUUGGGGGAGGAGACGAGAAGACUAGAAGAGAUCGAUGGAGUGCUGCAGCUGCACAUCGAACUAGCGAUCGAUUCUUUUGGUCCGUGAGUGUUAGCUACGUGAUGGGCUUGGGCCUUCUUUUUCUUUCCUCUUAUUUUCCUGGACCUAAAGAAGAAAUGUCCCAAUAUGUAUAUUGUACUACUAACUGUGCCGGGGCCCCUACCUCCCAGGGGCCUAGGGUGGUCGCCCUGUUGCCCCAGCCUAUGGGCCGGCCCUGGAGACAGUUAGUAGUACAUCAGAGUUUUUGUGUUGGUGUUCAUACAGUGUAGCUUCCCCCGUGUGAAAUUUUAUGCCAGGAAGUAAUAUCAGCAUGGUACUACAUCAUAGCUAGCUAGCUAGCCUGCUACUUGGUUUUACACUUGCCUGCUCUGGAGUUAUGUUGCCUUGUCAAUAGUCAAGCAUAUUUGUAGACGGAUAAAAAGAGUAUCCUUCUACAGUGGAACAGAUUGCAGGGUGUUAAUGGACUGGAACAAGGAAACCAUGUGUGUAUGUGUAUGUGUUUUCUUUAUUACCAGAAAGGUUAAAACUUUGCUUUGAUAUUGCUUCAGAUUUGUGGGAAAUGUGCUUCAUUUUUAUAGCGUGAUAACAUUAGAAGACUCUGAGAAAUAAAUAUUUGAUUUACAAUCACUCGAUUUGAUAACAUCUUCACUGCUUGAUGCUCUUAUAGAAGUAUAAUCUAUAUGGAUUUUAUCAUUGGUUUCGUAAUCUGUAGUCAUUCCUUCAAAUUUUAUAGGGGAAAAUUCAUGAUGUUUUUUAUACAAAUUCUGGAUCGAUAAAAUAUUAGGCAGUGGUGUAGCCAUCUUUCCCCAAUUUUAGGCAACUCCGGUAUCAGGUGAUCAGAUGAUAUUGUUGUCGUAUCAGUCUGUUAAGACCUGAUUGAUAUGAUGGACUAGUAUUUGAAGCUUGGAUUGAGGUGCUAGGAGUUUGUUUGCUAACAAUUGUUAAGUACCAAUAUUAGCAUUCCUCAUUNNNNNNNNNNNNNNNNNNNNNNNNNNNNNNNNNNNNNNNNNNNNNNNNNNNNNNNNNNNNNNNNNNNNNNNNNNNNNNNNNNNNNNNNNNNNNNNNNNNNNNNNNNNNNNNNNNNNNNNNNNNNNNNNNNNNNNNNNNNNNNNNNNNNNNNNNNNNNNNNNNNNNNNNNNNNNAUUAGCAUUCCUCAUUGGCGCUCUCGAAUUUCUUCAAAUUUGGCAUUCUGUAUUAUCUUUGAUUCUUCGCUGAUGUGCUAUUGUGGUUUCUCUGGUAGUACUGACAAUGCUAUUUCAAUAAUGUAGGUGGAAAGAACAGUUCUGACCGGUCAUUUAUGGCUGAUCUUGUCUACUGGAUUGCUCAGAACCCGCCACCAGCUCAUUUUUUCCUCAUAUCUGGGGAUAAAGAUUUCGCCAACAUUUUGCAUCGGUUGCGAAUGAGCAACUAUAACNNNNNNNNNNNNNNNNNNNNNNNNNNNNNNNNNNNNNNNNNNNNNNNNNNNNNNNNNNNNNNNNNNNNNNNNNNNNNNNNNNNNNNNNNNNNNNNNNNNNNNNNNNNNNNNNNNNNNNNNNNNNNNNNNNNNNNNNNNNNNNNNNNNNNNNNNNNNNNNNNNNNNAAUGAGCAACUAUAACAUACUACUUGCUUGUCCUGGUAAAACUACUAGUGUACUAUGCAAUGCAGCGACGAUUAUGUGGCCUUGGGAAGCUUUAGUGAAAGGGGAAAGUUUCUCACCCAAGCAUUUUAACCACCCACCAGAUGGUUUAUCUGGAUCUUGGUAUGGUCACUACAAAGGAGCCCUUGACGACCCCUUCGUGGAGGCUGAAUCAGAAGAAACCAUUGCACCAUCAGCACCAUCUGAUAAAUUAUGCCGUAAUCCCAAAAAUGCAGUUACUGCAAUCCCCAAAGAUGUGGUUGAUGGGAUACGAGAGGCACUGAAUUCGUAUCCUAGUGGGGUCACGCUUUCGACUCUUCUUCGACAACUCAAAAACAACAAUGUGUCUCUUGGUAAUGAUUUCUUUGGCCACAAAAAGUUGUCUUGCCUUCUCCUAUCAAUGCCAGAUAUUGUGAAGUUUGUUACUCCUUCAACUGCUUUAGGCGAGCCGUGUGUAGUUGGGGUGAAGAAAAAAUUACUGGAAGNNNNNNNNNNNNNNNNNNNNNNNNNNNNNNNNNNNNNNNNNNNNNNNNNNNNNNNNNNNNNNNNNNNNNNNNNNNNNNNNNNNNNNNNNNNNNNNNNNNNNNNNNNNNNNNNNNNNNNNNNNNNNNNNNNNNNNNNNNNNNNNNNNNNNNNNNNNNNNNNNNNNNNNNNNNNNNNNNNNNNNNNNAUGUUUUGAGCCCCUGAGUUCUGUUGAAAGUGAUGUGAAGGACAAUAAUCGCGGUCAAGCAACACACAGUGAUAAGAAGCCUCCAUCCUCCGUGUCAACUUCUUUUCCUGAACAAAACUGUAAAACCGUAAGUUCUCAAAGUAUCAUCAGGGACAGAAGCUUCAAGCAGACUGUAAAUGAGAACCCAGCUGCAUCUGCUGUAUCAUCUUCCCCACAAGAUGUCUUACCUGAGGAUCAAAAGGUGUGCCCAGCAGUUGAUAUGAAUGCAAGGCCAGAAUCACCUGCCAACCACAAGGAAGUUGAUGCCCNNNNNNNNNNNNNNNNNNNNNNNNNNNNNNNNNNNNNNNNNNNNNNNNNNNNNNNNNNNNNNNNNNNNNNNNNNNNNNNNNNNNNNNNNNNNNNNNNNNNNNNNNNNNNNNNNNNNNNNNNNNNNNNNNNNNNNNNNNNNNNNNNNNNNNNNNNNNNNNNNNNNNNNNNNNNNNNNNNNNNNNNNNNNNNNUGGAAAAUACUGUUAACAGUGAUGGGCUAUUAAAAAGGCCAACCACAAGUCCAGAAUCACCUGACAACCAGAAGGAAGUUGAUGCCCCUGGAACUCCCUCUUCCUUAGGGUUGGAAAAUACUGUUAACAGUGAUGGGCUAUUAAAAAGGAUCUGGGUACUAUGGAAUGGCCCUGAGAGUGCUAAUCGUGAGGUUCCUCCAUGUCACGAAGGCACUUCUGCUGAAGUCGUUGAUUUGGGAACUCCUCAGCAAGAUCGCAGUACUGAUCAACGUAGCAGGCUUUUGAAUAGGAUCCAUAAGACCUCUUCCCAGAACAGAAGUUCAGAUGUAACAGAUGGCUCUGCAGCGAUGAUUGUUAACUUUUCAAUUUUGUCUGACCAUGACCAUUCUGAAAAACAUGCAGAAGAGGCAGAAAACUUAAAGAGGGAUCCACCUAUCCUCCAGAGCUCGAAGCCAUGUAGUGGACCUGCAUCUGUUCCAUUGUGUAAAGAUGGGGGUGAUGCCUCCAAGAUGAGCAAGGGCUUAUUUAGUUGGGUACCGCGGUGGUGGAAAUUUGGAAAAUUGGAUGGAGAUAAUGGUAUAGCCAUGAAAAAUGGCAUUGAUGAAGCAAAGACAGACAUAACCGAGGAAUCACAAUCUUUGAAGGCUUCAACUUGUGAAAAUGAGCAGCAAGUAGUUAAUAAAAUAUUCACAAGAUUUUACUUUUGGGAUGUUCUAGGGAAACAGCUAUCAAAGCCCAUUGGGUCUGAGCUUGUUUCGAAAGCGAAGACAAGGUAAAGCUUUUAACCCUGAUAAUUUUAUUUCAUGCCUUCUAGUGAUCUCAGUUCUUACGAAAGUGUUGAAGAUUUUAGCAGUAACUAAAGAUUGUGAAAUAUGAUGUCUUGCAUGUAACAUAUUUUUUAGAUUUAUAGUGUUUCUGUUUGUGUGUCUGAAGCAAUAUGACCGUAUGUAGAUUGUCCAGUUCAACUAAGGAGAAGGAAAUAGCAUUCAUUGCCAACAGGUUUAUAUUUUGUGCUGUCAACAAAUAUGCCCAUCUAUAGAUAGGUUUGCUUGCAUGAGAUCUUGUAGCCUGUUAACAUAGGUCUACAAUUUUGCCUUGCUGCUUUAAAACUUCGCAUUAAUUUGGUUGGAUGUGUUAUGAUCACGUUGCUCAAAUAGUUAGCUUAGUGCCGGGAACACCUAUAUCUUUCACGAGCAUGUGUUGUCCACUCCAGAACUAAUUACAGGCAAAAAAUGGAUCCAACCCAAACUCACAUAAGCUAAUGCUGCAAAUCAUGUUUGGCUCGAUCACUUUAAGAGAGAUUAUUCUUAUAUGAUUCUUUUAUUGGCAGGGAGGAGUUGGUACAUGGAUUGCAGAAUUUAGAGUGUUGGCCUCUCAGAGGCCUUGUCGAGAAAGAUGUCAGUCAUCUGGUUCAUUUGUUACUUUCAGAAAAGAAAUGGAUCGAGGAAACUCCUUCCAGCGAAUUUCCUUUCCGUCUUACACUCCCUCAAAAGAGAACAUGCACUCCACCAAAUUCNNNNNNNNNNNNNNNNNNNNNNNNNNNNNNNNNNNNNNNNNNNNNNNNNNNNNNNNNNNNNNNNNNNNNNNNNNNNNNNNNNNNNNNNNNNNNNNNNNNNNNNNNNNNNNNNNNNNNNNNNNNNNNNNNNNNNNNNNNNNNNNNNNNNNNNNNNNNNNNNNNNNNNNNNNNNNNNNNNNNNNNNNNNNNNNNNNNNNNNNNNNNNNNNNNNNNNNNNNNNNNNNNNCCAAAUUCUAGCACAACAUGCACUGCACCAAAUUCUAGUAAGUUUGAUCUGAGUACUCUGUUUAAUGUUAAGCCAUUGGAGCAGGGUAAAUAUGGUGGUGACAAAGGCAGGACAAACAGGACUCCGAAUAGGGAGGAAACAUUGUCUGAUUGCCACAAGCUAUUAAAGGACCUUCUCGUGCAAUACAAAUAUGGAUUUAACAUCAGCAUUUUCAAGCGUCAGUUUGCUCAGAAGCAUGGGUACGAGCUUGACCACCAGAAGCUGGGAUAUGCAGACAUUGAGUCACUGUUGCAGAUUAUGCCUGGUAUAAGAGUAAAAUUUCCAAGGGUUCUGCCUGCAGAAAGUGGGAAUGGCCAGGGUGGCAGCAAGGGCGAUGGAAAUCAAAGUAAUGGUGAUGAUUCCAUCUGGGGGGAACUUGGCCCUGUGUCUGCCACUGCCAAAACUGCUGAAGAGGGGGUUGAUAAAGGAGCAUGCUACCGGCCUCCCACCUGCUCAGAAGAUGAUUUCUCUGACGAUGAGAAUCAAGCAGACCAAGAGCCCAGAAGAGGCGUUGAGCAGAGCUCACUCCUCAAAAUCAUUGAUUCCUGGAACAGCAGCAAGGACGAUGGCUCUGGCAAGAAACCUCAAGAGAUUGACGGGGUCGUGGACUGUUCCAGGAGCAGUCUGGGUUAUCUUGACACUCUGAGGGCUGCAAGGCAGCAGCUGCAGCAGCCACAGAAGCAGUAUUCCUUUGUUUCAUCAGAAUCAGACUCGGAAGAGGAUAAAAGCAAGGAUAAGCUUGUGGACAGCGUCUUGGGCAGCCUGCAAAAAGCGCGGGGCGCAAAGGCGUCUAAUUGAUGAGCUGGUAAUCGCAGCAACGUCUGUUUUCCUUUUCUCUUUUGAGCGGCAAAUUGCAGCAGCGAUCCUGUUACCAUAGAGCUGGCGUGUUCCUCCUUCGUAUUAUGUUCAUCGUCAGCUCCUCGAAACAGCAGGACAUGUUGGGCGGCGUCCAUAUACAUUUCAUCUCCUUAGUUUAGAUUUUAGAAGGGUAUUUAUAUUUAUUUUUGUAAGGCUAACCAACGAGCUUCAUUUAGCAUGGCCUUUUUAUUCGGCUGAGGGUUGUUCACUAGUAUCGAAUAAACUGGAGCACUGCGAUUCGUUGGUAAGGCCUCCUUGGUACUACGUAUACUGAUAAGGCUGAGUUUCUACAUCAGGACUGUUAGGCUACACCGUCUUUACCGCAUGCACUCUGUAUAGCUAGAAUGCGGUAUGAGAGUGCAUAGCUAGCAUGCGGUAUGAGCCGAUCGUGGCUUAGGCUGUUCGAGUAGUGGCUGUUCGAGUGGUGGCUGAUCGUGGGUUAGUGGAGGUAGUAGUGGUGCAUGCAUGAUCAGCUCCUGGUCUGUCAACUGUAUAUAACACCCAGCCCAGAGCUUAAUCAGCUCCUGGUCUGUCAACUGUAUAUAACACCCAGCCCAGAGCUUAAUCAAAGUGCGUUGAAACCAAUCCUCUCUCUCGCACACCCCCACGAACUCCUGCUUGACGUCGCUCCAGAUUGCUCGCUUCUCCGCGUCUUUGGGUGCUUGUGCUACCCCAACAUCUCCUCCACGGCCAAACACAAGCUCGAGCCACGGUCUCUCGCCUGCGUUUUCCUUGGCUAUCCCUCCGAUCACCGCGGGUACCGUUGCUUUGAUCCCACCACACGACGCGUUUUUUCCCUUCGCCACACUCCCUGCACCUCGCCCCACCACACCACCAUCACCUCCCUUCGCGCCACCCAUUUUGCAGGUACCCGUGAUCGCGUCGAGUCCCUCCGCGUCCACCACUACCUCGCCCUCAGCUGAUAACCUCCGGCGCGCGCGGGCUGCGCGUUCAUCCUCCUCGAGCACGUCGGGCACACCCCCAAGCACGGCUGACGAGGCUGCGAGCUCCUCUGUCGCGAGUUCCAGCAGCUCCGCGGGGGCGUUCGCGCCACCGUCUCCAGCGGCUCAUGGUCACACACUCGCAAACGGGCAUCUUCCGCUCGAAUCGGCGUUACCACGGCAGCCUCGUCGCCACCACCGGCACUGCGGAGGUCUCGCCAGUAACCUCCUCGGUGCGUGUCGCCCUUCGCGACCCUCUCGCCGUGAUGCGCGACGAGUUCGACGCCCUCGUCCGCAACCGUACCUGGGAGCUGGUGCCUCGACCCCCCGGCGCCAACCUCAUCACCGGCAAAUGGGUGUUCAAACACAAGUACAAGGCCGACGGCUCCCUCGAGCGUCACAAGGCGCGAUGGGUCGUGCGCGGUUUCCGACAGCGCGCCGGCGUCAACUACGGCGAGACCUUCUCGCCUGUUGUCAAGCCACCACUGUCCGCGUCGUGCUGACUCUGACCGCAUCGCGCAACUGCCCGUUCACCAACUGGACGUGUCGAACGCGUUCCUGCACGACACGUUAGACGAAGAGGUAUACUGCCUUCAGCCCGCCAGCUUCGUCGCCGCCGCCAAACCUCAUCACGUCUGCCGCCUCUUCAAGUCCCUCUACGGUUUGAAGCAGGCUCUGUGUGCAUGAUUCCUGCGCUUCACCGGCUUCCUCCAGUCCAUCGGCUUCACCGUGACACGCUCCGACUCGUCGCUGUUCACGCGACGCCACGACCACGACAUCGCCUUCCUGCUUCUCUACGUCGACGAUAUCGUGCUCAUUGCGUCCUCGCCUGCCGCCCUCCGCCACGUCGUCACUCAGCUCACUGCGGAGUUCGCCAUGAAGGACCUCGGCCCCUUGCACUUCUUCCUUGGCAUCCGCGUCACGCGCACACUGGCUGGCUUCUUUCUCUGCCAGCAACAGUAUGCCGCCGACAUCCUGGAUUGCGCCAGCAUGGACACCUGCCGCUCGUCUCCCACGCCGAUCGACACCAAGGGCAAACUGCCGAUCGCCGAUGGGUCGCACGUCGACGAUCCCUUUGCCUACCGCAGCAUUGCCGGUGCGCUUCAGUACCUGAUGAUCGCGCGGCCGGAGAUUGCCUACGUUGUCCAGCAAAUCUGCCUCCACAUGCACGAUCCCCGUGAGUGUCACCCCGGGUUGAUCAAGCGUGUGCUCCGGUACGUGCGUGGCACGCCUGCUCUCGGUCUUCACCUUCGCGCCUCGCACACCCUUGACCUGCGGGCGUUCACUGAUGCCGACUGGGCGGGCUGCCCCGACACUCGCCGAUCUACCUCCGGUUUCUGCGUCUACCUCGGUGACGCGCUCAUCUCCUGGUCGUCCAAGCGCCAAGCCGUCGUCUCCCGCUCCAGCGCUGAGGCCGAGUACUGCGACGUCGUCAAUGCCGUUGCUGAGUGCGUCUGGCUCCGACAGCUCCUCGGCGAGCUGAUCUCCCCCGUCGCCAAGGCUACGCUGGUUUACUGCAAUAACGUCUCCGCAGCCUACUUGUCGGCCAACCCGGUUCACUACCGCCGCACCAAGCACGUCGAGCUGGACAUUCUCUUCGUGCGUGAACGGGUUGCUCUCGGCGAGUUCCGCGUUCUUCACAUCCCCACUCGUCAGCAGCUCGCCGACAUCAUUGACGAAAGGGCUCCCCUCGGGGUGUUCUCUAACUUCCGUUACAGUCUCUGCGUUGCUUCCGCCGACGUCACGACUGCAGGGGGUUGUGGUAAGCUACACCGUCUAUAUCGCAUGCAUCUGUGUAGCUAGCAUGCGGUAUGAGCCGAUCGUGGCUUAGGCUGUUCGAGUAGUGGCUAUUCGAGUGGUGGUGAUCGUGGGUUAGUGGAGGUAGUAGUGGCGCUGUAUAUAACACCCAGCCCAGAGCUUAAUCAAAGUGCGUUGAAACCAAUCCCCCCCUCUCUCUCGCUAAACAAGGACGAGACAAAUAAGUACUCCCUCCGUUCGAACAUUUUGUAAAAAAGAAGAAGAAAAAAAAACCUUUCUCUUAUCCCAACACAACCGGUAGUCCCCGUCCCUUCCUUGACCACACUCGUUGGUGCCACAGCUCUCCUGCAGUCCCUCUUCCCUUCUGUUGCGUUGCAGGUGUCCCGCACAGUCCCUCUUUUAUUCCCUCAUGAAGGUCAAGGAAUCCGUCUUCUGCCUUGCUGUAGCUCUCACGCAAAGCUCAAGGAUCAGCUUUUCUACUCCAUGACGAGUCGCUCGCCGUCGCUUUCCUUGUGUCCCCCGUCGUUGCCAUGGCGAGCUCGUCCAUGCCGCCUCGGCUUGCGGACAAUCCUCCUUCCUUCUCCAUGGCGUGCUCCUCCCUAUUGUCCCCAUACUUGCAUACCAUAGAGCAGGCCAUGAUGGCGGCCAGAUCCGCGCUUGCUUGUCAAGGUUCGACCGUGGUGAGUGCCGGCCCCGCGCUAGCGCCGCAGGAUUCAAGUUUUCCCUGUUUGAUUCAAGUUUUCCCUGCUCGUCAAGGUUCCCCUGCUUGAUUUAGGUUCAGAAAAUUUUGUGUACUGAACAUCUUGGACUACAUCUUUGCAGAAUCAUCAGUCGCCAUGGAGCUCCGAUCCCACAGUUGCCGCACCUCGACAAAAUCCCUGGAGGAUGAGCGCGUGAGGAUCCCAUAGCUGUCGCAACUCUGUUCAGAAUUCUUGAUUUUUCCCCUGUGAUUAGAGUGAGUAGAUGCUUCUGUGUUGAUGCAAUACCUGGAUUGAUUUGACUUUCACUUAUGCAAAUACCUCUAAAUAUCAUGCAAAUACAAUUUGCCUUUCAAUGAAUUAAGAAACAGGUGCUUACAGUAAUGUAGGAGUAUCUUAGUUGUGUCAUCACACAAGAAGUUGUAGUGCUUACAACUAAGGUGAUAAAGAUUAAGCAAAGCAAAUGAUGUUGGUGGUUAACUUUGUAGAAUGCCUAGUUUGCACUCUGGUUUCUAACAGGAGUAUCACCCACUCUUAUUAAGAAAAGAACUUCUCUUGGGACCUACAAGUUGUCAUUUCUUCUCUGAACUUCUGACUACAAGACAACAUGGUUCUCUAAAAAACAGACUUCAGAGCUUACUAGUUUAGCACAAGAAUGAUUCAAACUACUAAAAAAGCAUUUAGUACAGUAAGUGACUGCUAAUUUGUAAACAACAUAAUCCAAAUUCUAUCCCUGAAUUUGCAGAAUUCCAUUGUCUUGUAAUGCAGGUUGAUCACCUUAAGCGGUGGACAUGGUUUAGGAGAGCAAGGUCCUCAUGGAGAGCUGGGGAGGUAGAUAUCGUCAUUUCUUUCUUCUUACUCCAUGAGCUCAACAGUCAGUCAGUAGCAUGAGACAGUCUUUUGACAAUUAGAUGUGUGUGCGUGGUUUGUAGAAACCAAGAGAUUGUGCAUGAAAAAUGGAACUUUCAGAAUCAGAACCGGAUAGAGCGGUGCUUUUAAAUCAUCAAUUCUUUUAGGCAAAUUCAGUAGUCUAUGUUCAGACAAUUGCUUCUGAAUUUAUACUCUUAACUGAAUUUUGCCGAGGAGUAUACUCUUAACUGAAUUUAGAUAACUGCUGAAAAAAGAUGUGGCAAGCAUAGUCGAUUAAUUGAGGUGCCCACUGUCGAGUGCAUUGGGCUAAGCCUGCCUAGUAGAGUGCUAGUAGUUUCAUGUGCAAUUGAUUAUGCAAUCAACAUGUAAGCACAUCUAGUACCCCUUAGUGGUUUUGGUGUACUGAAGACUUAUAGGUUAAGGGACUAAUGUGUUUGUGAGUGUACACAUGCUCUAUAAGCCGUUGCGGAGUUUGAUAUAUUCGAAGAAUGUCGACCCCUAAAAAUGAAUGUCUUCAACUGAAAAAUUUGAUAUUUUCCUGAAAACUUUAGAAGUGAGGAAAUUGGUGUGUUCUUGAAGAUAUUGAUGCGAGGACUAUGAAGUGUGAAGACUUUUCUUUUUAUAGUUUCAUUUCUUUCUUUUGAGUCAUAGGAACACCAUACUAUUAAAAGGGGUCGAGGUAAUACUAAGGAAAAUUUCCAAGUGAUGCUCAUCUCAAAGCCUACACAUAACCAAUCCUUUGAGUGAAGCCUUUGGAAAUCUCUUGCAGUUCAGUCAAAUUCUUCAGUGACACAGACGGAGUUCUUUUGGUCUCUGAGGAAAUUGCACUGACUGAGGAGUUAAGAUUUCGCCAGUGCGACCUGCCUACAAGUGAAGAAUAUGAUAGCUGUGAGAAUUUUUCAUAGUUCAAAAUUCCAAGCGUUGUUUUGCUUCGCGCCCAUCUGCCCCCAAAACCUUAUCCACAAAACGGUCAUAUCAUUGGUAGCAUUUAAGUCAAAUCAUGUCGGGUUGCACCCUAACUAUAAAUAGAUGCCCCCAUAACCACUAAUUGGUUGGCUGCUCCGAGAGAGAACUUGGCACUUGUCAUCUGAGAGCAACCCAUCCUUUGAGGACUUUGACAGAAAAUCAUCAACGAGGAAAAACCCUAAACCCCAGAACCCCAAAACCAGAAACUCAAAGUGAUUAAGCAUCACUGAAGAGAUUGUUCCUAUGUGGAACCGACGCUUUUUACCUUUGAAGAUUAUGUAUCUUUCAGACGGUUAGAAUCACAUGGUGCAUUUUGUUUCCCUAUUAAAUUAUUAUAAAUAUGGUUAAUUCAUAUCUGGGCCAAUUUCAAAAUUAACAUAUGGGGUCGUUUCAGAAAUACUAUAAGUUGUUUCCGGCCUCAUUUAAAAAGCCUAGAUAAAUAGUUUAAUUACGCCUCACCUCUUGCCAUGCAUAAUAACAUUUAAACUUGUCGUGUCAUUAAAUGAGUGUGAACUAAAUAGUUGAAUGUGGAGUUUUGUCAAUAUGGAACCCGUUGCAUAUUGAGCUUCACUUAAUGUGUAGAAAUUGAUUGUUGUGCUUGGCCAUGUCAUGCAUAAUUAAAUGGACAUGCAUCAUAUUUGAUUGUGCGUCAUGUCAUGAAUAUGUUGUGGUGUUUAUCGUGUGUUGAUUGUUUGUUUCCGGAUUGUUUCUUCUCGAUGGAGUUCCCAAACCAAUUCAGAGUGUGAGGACUCGUUCGACUAUGUUGGUUCAUCUACUUCAUGGAUUCGUUCUUCUUCCAAGCGGGAUCACACGCAAGACGACUAUUUCCCUGGAUACCACUACUAUCAUUGUCAUGCUAGUUGUCUCGUUUCUUUUGCUAUGUCUCGUUGCCUACCACUUGAAUGUCAAGCCUCCUAACAUUGCCAUAAAAAGCCUCUAACCCCUUCACAUCCUAGCAAACCAUUGUUUGGCUAAGUUACCGCUUGCUCGACCCUUCUUAUAGCCUUGAUAGUUGCAGGUGCAGGUUGUUCCAUGUGACAACAUGGAUAUCUUUGGGAUAUCACAAUAUUAUUGCUAUUCAAUUCAAUGCACAUAUAUAC
Molecule: long non-coding RNA, 106030 nt
Filed under: Hordeum vulgare
Lineage: Eukaryota; Viridiplantae; Streptophyta; Magnoliopsida; Poales; Poaceae
Description: long non-coding RNA (HVUL_LNC018525)
Source: RNAcentral